UAGCACAUACUUCAUGGUUUUGCUGUUUUAUAGAUUGAAACAGCAGAAACUGCUCCGGCUUCGUUACGUUGGGAUUGUAUAAAUUGUAUGUACAGUUAGUUGCCAGCGCUGCGUGUGUAAAAAAAAAUCCUUGCAUCUAUUGCAAGCAAAUUGUGCUGGCCAAACAGAACCGAAAAAGAAAUUGUCUCAAGGGAGAUCAACUCCUGAUGAAAUAUGAGUUGUGCAGCAACCAUGAUUUUGAGUCGCUUUUGGUGGUACCAAGGAAUGCUUGAUGAAACUAUGCAAUCAUGCAAAAGAAGAAAAGAAAAAGGCAAGCAGCAAAACAUGAGAAGUCUUAAACAUUGGCAGAUCUGUCUUUCCUAAAUUGCAUUUGAUGGACAUAUGUCUGAACAAAGGAAGCGCGAUGCGAGUAUUAUAGAACUGUAGAACACAGCUCUUAACCAACAUUUUGAUAGCAAAAAACAACUUUUUUUCUGCACAAGUAGAGAAGUAGAGAUACUAUAGCAUUGUGUAUGUAUACCACCGUUCUCGGGCACCUCUUCCCACGAGUUAGCAGAAGAACGGGGGCACCUACCAUCAGCAAUUAUCAUUUAACACACCAGGAGCUCAAAAAACUUGCACCUGAUAUCGUUUCUAGGCAGAAACAUGAGUUGCCUGGUUGUCGCCCUGCUUCACGGCUGGGUUCCAUAUGAUUUGCUUCUUCUUUUUUGUCUUCUCUACAUAACCCCUAUCAUCAUAUUUUAUUUCAUCCAUAGUGCUAUAUUCAUGGCUCACGCUCAUGUAUUACGUGAAAAUUGAAAAAAGUUUGAAAUUACUAAAGUAUGAAACAAUUGCUUGGCUUGUCAUCGGGGUUGUACAUGAUAAAAGCAUUCUUGUGUGACGAAAAUAGAGCAUGACCAAACUAUAUGACUUUGUAGGGAUGAAUUUUCUUUUGCCAUGUUAUUUUGAAAAGACAUGAUUGCUUAGUUAGUAUGCUUGAAGUAUUAUUAUUUUUAUGUCAAUAUUAAAAUUUUGUCUUCGAAUCUGAACAUUCAUGCCACAAUAAAGAUAAUUACAUUGAGAAUUAUGCUAGGUAGCAUUUCACAUCAAAAAUUCUGUUUUUUUAUCAUUUACCUACUCGAGGACGAGCAGGAGUUAAGUUUGGGGAUGCUUGAUACGUCUCCAACGUAUCUAUAAUUUUUGAUUGUUUAAUGCUAUUAUAUUAUCUGUUUUGGAUGUUAAUGGGCUUAUUUAUACACUUUUAUAUUAUUUUUGGGACUAACCUACUAACCCAAGGCCCAGUGCAAAUUGCUGUUUUUUUUGCCUAUUCAGUGUUUCGCAGAAAAAAAUAUCAAACGGAAUCCAAACGGAAUGAAACCUUCGGGAGAGUUAUUUUUGGAACAAACUUGAUCUAGAGGACUUGGAGUGGACGUCAAGAAAUCAACGAGGAGGCCACGAGGCAGGGAAGCGCGCCUUGAAGGAAAUAUGCCCUAGAGGCAAUAAUAAAGUUGUUAUUUAUAUUUCCUUAUAUCAUGAUAAAUGUUUAUUAUUCAUGCUAGAAUUGUAUUAACCGGAAACUUAGUACAUGUGUGAAUAUAUAGACAAACAGAGUGUCACUAGUAUGCCUCUACUUGACUAGCUCGUUGAAUCAAAGAUGGUUAAGUUUCCUAGCCAUAGACAUGAGUUGUCAUUUGAUUAACGGGAUCACAUCAUUGCAGAAUGAUGUGAUUGACUUGACCCAUCCAUUAGCUUAGCACGAUGAUCGUUUAGUUUGUUGCUAUUGCUUUCUCCAUAACUUAUACAUGUUUCUAUGACUAUGAGAUCAUGCAACUCCCAAUGCCGGAGGAACACUUUGUGUGCCAUCAAACGUCACAACGUAACUGGGUGAUUAUAAAGGUGCUCUACAGGUGUCUCCGAUGGUGUUUUUUGAGCUGGCAUAUGUAACACCCUCGAUGCGACUAUAUCUCCCACGUGUCGAGGAACGACUUAGAGGCAUAAUCGCAUUGAAGGCAUAUGUCGCAAGUUAGGCAAUCUUCACAACAUCCCAUGUAAUAUAGAUAAUAAAAGGGGAGAUAACAUAGUUGGCUUACACUCGCCACGUCAAUCAAGGUACAUAAUUAACAUUACAUCAUCCAAACACUCAUGGCCCGACUACGGCGCCAAAAUAAAAGAUAACCCAACAUGCGACACGGUCCCGAUCACCCCCAACUGGGCACCACUACUGAUCAUCAGGAAAGGAAACAUAGUAUCGGAGAGUCCUCAUCGAACUCCCACUUGAGCUCGAGCGCGUCACCUGGAGCAGAAUCAUCAGGCCAUGCAUCUGGUGUAAUAGUAAUCUAUGAGCCACAGGGACUCAGCAAUCUCGCACCCUCGCGAUUAAGACUAUUUAAGCUUAAUAGGUAUGGCAAGGUAAAUAUGUGUGGAGCUGUAGCAAGCGACUAGCAAAUAUGGUGGCUAUCCUGUUCGCAAAAGAGAGCAAGAAGAGGAGGCAAAGCGCGAGCGAGAAACUAGAGAGCAACCUGCGCAAGCAUUACUCCAACACCGUGUCCACUUCCCGGACUCCGCCGAGAAGAGGCCAUCACGGUAACACACUCAGUUGAUUCAUUUUAAUUAAGUUAAGGUUCAAGUUAUCUACAACCGGACAUUAACAAAUUCCCAUCUGCCCAUAACCGCGGGCAUGGCUUUCGAAAGUUCAAAUCCCUGCAAGGGAGUCCCAACUUAGCCCAGGACAAGCUCUCACGGUCAACGAAGGAAUAGACCUCUUCCCGAGACGUUCCGAUCAGACUCGGUACCUCGGUUCUUCAAGACACUUCGACAGGUUAAAACAAGACCAGCAACACCACCCAGAUGUGCCGACAAAUCCCGAUAGGAGCUGCACAUAUCUCGUUCUCAGGGCACACCGGAUGAGCAAGCCGUCGGGUAGGCCAGCCCAGAGUUGCCCCUGNNNNNNNNNNNNNNNNNNNNNNNNNNNNNNNNNNNNNNNNNNNNNNNNNNNNNNNNNNNNNNNNNNNNNNNNNNNNNNNNNNNNNNNNNNNNNNNNNNNNNNNNNNNNNNNNNNNNNNNNNNNNNNNNNNNNNNNNNNNNNNNNNNNNNNNNNNNNNNNNNNNNNNNNNNNNNNNNNNNNNNNNNNNNNNNNNNNNNNNNNNNNNNNNNNNNNNNNNNNNNNNNNNNAGAAGAUGACCCUUGGGCUCCGGAAACCCAAGGGAAAAGAGGCUAGGUGGCAAAUGGUAAAACCAAGGUUGGGCAUUGCUGGAAAAACUUUAAUAAAGGCGAACUAUCAAGGGGUUCCCAUUAUAACCCAACCGCGUAAGGAACGCAAAAUCCGGGAACAUAACACCGAUAUGACGGAAACUAGGGCGGCAAGAGUGGAACAAAACACUAGGUGAGAGGCCGAGCCUUCCACCCUUUACCAAGUAUAUAGAUGCAUUAAGAUAACAUGGCAAUAUAAUGAUAUCCCAACAAGUAAAUAAAUGUUCCAACAAGGAACGGCCUCCAAUCUUCACCUGCAACUAGCAACGCUAUAAGAGGGGCUGAGCAAAGUGGUAACAUAGCCAAUCAACGGUUUGCUAGGACAUGGUGAGUUAGAGGUUUGACAUGGCAAUUUGGGAGGCUUGAAAGCAAGUGGUAGGCAUCGUAGCAUUGGCAUAGCAAAAGAGCGAGCAAUCUAGCAUAGCAAAGAUAGUAGUGAUUUUGAGGGUAUGAUCAUCUUGCCUACAAAGUUGUCAGAGUUGACUGGAUCCUCGAAAGCAAACUCAACGGACUCCUCGUUAGCGAACUCGUCUCCCGGCUCUACCCAAACAAGACAAACAAGCAACAAGGACACAAUCAACCACGUGCAAGGAUCAAACAAUAUGAUGCAAGGAUGGUAUGCUAUGCGGGAUGCAUAUGCAAGAUUUGACAAGGGAUGCAUGAACCUGGCCUCAACUUGGAAAACCAAGUGUGCCACUGGGAAGAUGAGAUGAAAUCGCUUGAAAACGAUAUAAAGAACGCCGGAAUCGGAGCUACGGUUUGGAAAUGGCAAGCGAUUCGAAUAUGACACCGGUCUGCAAUUUACAGCAAGUAGCCAUCUAAAUGCAACAAGAUGAACAUGCUACAGCACCCAAACAUGACAACAAAAUACAUAGCAGGGAUGCAUUCAAGAUGCUUAACAAAAGUCUAGCACUGAGCUACGACCAAUUCAUCUAUUAACAGGUUCAAACAAACAUGUCAAAAAUGCAUAUGGUAAACAGAUCUCAGACUUAGUGAAAUUAACACUUGUCUGGAAUUUCAGAUCAGGUAGCACUCUUUGGAGCAACAAAACUACAUGCUACAUGACCUGAACAUGGCAAAGUAAAGCAUGGCAUGGUGCUACUCAAAGAUCUUAACAAAAGUUCCUUAGUGACCUUGAGCCAAAAGGGAUCUGAAAAUAUAAUUGCAAGCAUGUGAACAUGGCAAAAACAUAAUCAGAUCACAGACUUAGAGAAAAACUGGAGCAUGCAAAACAGAUAUCAAGUAGGCAUGUUUACAAGCUCGAUGCACUCACUACAGAGCAAGUCAUGAUAAUCUAAGCUUACAACCAUCAAGAAUACACAAAAUGCAAUCUAGACAUGGCAAGAACAAUCGCAUAGCAUGCACAGAUCAACUACAACAUCCUCGGCAAAAUCGCUAACAAGUAGACAAUCUGCCCAGAUUCACGAAGUAGCAAAAGUAGAGCUCGAUUGACUCAAGCUAGGGUGCUCCAUAAUUGCAAACAAAGACAUGGAUGGAUAAAGCACUACAAGAUUAACAAAACAUCCUUACUGAUCAUCCUCAAAAGAGGCACGGAUCACUAGGAAACAACAUGAACAUAUGCCAACAUGAGAUAAACAGAUCAAGGACUUGGUGGAAAUGCUAAGUCCCUAAAAUCAGCAUUACCAAGUGCCUCACUUUGCAAGCUUGUGCUAGUCACCACACACAUCACAAAAAUACAUGGGUUGCACCUCUGGAAAGAUGGCAAAACCCUUAACAAAACAUAUGUAGAGCUCAUGGGCAUAUCUUGCACACAAUAAUCGUGGCAAAAAUGACAAAUAUCUAAAUGGAGCAGCAGAUCUGACAAUUAUCUCAAGUAGCCCGCUUCUAACAACAUUUCGGGCAUCAAGAUGAACUCAAAUGAAAAUGAGACGAUGGAAAUAAAUGAUGUGCUCUCUGAGACGAACAUUUUGAUAUGCUAUAUGCCCAAAACGGAGCUAGGGAUGCAAAGUUACGAUGCGAUGAAUAUGCCAAAAAUAUUAGGGUUUCGGGGCAAAAGUCAACCCGAGGCAAUCUCAGAUCCAGAUCUAGAUCGGCACGCUUUAUGAGGUUCGCCGGAAAUGGAGUUGGCCGCCGGAGACGGAGAGGAAGCCGGGGCGGAGGGCAGCCGGAGCUCAUCGGUGGUGGCCAGCGCCGGUGCGGCGAGGCGGCNNNNNNNNNNNNNNNNNNNNNNNNNNNNNNNNNNNNNNNNNNNNNNNNNNNNNNNNNNNNNNNNNNNNNNNNNNNNNNNNNNNNNNNNNNNNNNNNNNNNNNNNNNNNNNNNNNNNNNNNNNNNNNNNNNNNNNNNNNNNNNNNNNNNNNNNNNNNNNNNNNNNNNNNNNNNNNNNNNNNNNNNNNNNNNNNNNNNNNNNNNNNNNNNNNNNNNNNNNNNNNNNNNNNNNNNNNNNNNNNNNNNNNNNNNNNNNNNNNNNNNNNNNNNNNNNNNNNNNNNNNNNNNNNNNNNNNNNNNNNNNNNNNNNNNNNNNNNNNNNNNNNNNNNNNNNNNNNNNNNNNNNNNNNNNNNNNNNNNNNNNNNNNNNNNNNNNNNNNNNNNNNNNNNNNNNNNNNNNNNNNNNNNNNNNNNNNNNNNNNNNNNNNNNNNNNNNNNNNNNNNNNNNNGGGCCUCGGGGGCCCCUCCUGGGCCUCCCGGGCCGGCGGCGAUGGCGAAGUGGGGCGGGGGCGCGGCGAAUGGCAGCGCGCCACGUGGCGGCGGCGGGGCGGACCGGACACGUCCGCCGGCAGUGGUUUUGUCCGGCGGCGGCGGGUGGAGAUGGAUCUAGGGUUUUCGGGAGGAAGGAGAAGGAGAUUUUUGGGGUGUCUUUAAAUAGGCAUAGAGGGAGCUAGGAUAGUCCAAAUGAGGUGCGGUUUUCGGCCACGCGAUCUUGAUCGAACGCUCUAGAUGAUGGAGAGGGUCAUGGUAGGUUUUGGUCCAACUUGAAGGGGUGUUGGGCUGCAACACACACGAGGCCUUUUCAGUCCCUCGGUUAACCGUUAGAGUAUCAAACGAAGUCCAAAUGAUACGAAACUUGACAAGCAGUCUACCGGUAGUGAACCAAGGCUGCUUGGCAAGUCUCGGUCCAAUCCGGAAAUGUUUAAACCCCACACACAAAAGAAAGCUAGAAAUGACCACCAGAGGAGAACGAAGCGCCAGAAUGCAAAACGGACAAUGGGGAAAAUGCUCGAAUGCAUGAGAUGAACACGUAUACAAAUGCAAUGCACAUGAUGACAUGAUAUGAGAUGCAUGACAACAAUAACAACACACGGAGACAAAAACCCGAACCCGAGAAAAUAAAAUAACUUAACGCCGAAAACGGCAAGAGUUGGAAUACAAAUUGGGAAAGUCAUAUCCGGGGUGUUACAACACUCCACCACUACGAAAGGAUCUCAUCCCAAGAUCUAGGACUGAAAGAACACCGGGUACUCAGAACGGAGGUGAUCCUCGCGCUCCCAGGUAGCUUCACGGUCGAAAUGGUGUGACCACUUGACUUUGAGGAAUUUGAUUGACUUGUUGCGAGUCUUGCGUUCAGUCUCUUCAAGAAUAGCAACGGGGUGCUCACGAUAGGAGAGAUCUUUUUGGAGCUCAAUGUCCUCGAAGUUGACGGUGCGGUCAGGAGUCUUGAAGCACUUUCGAAGCUGAGAGACGUGGAACACAUCAUGAACAUUUGCAAAGUUUGAAGGAAGCUCGAGUUGAUAGGCGAGAUCGCCUCUCUUGCUGAUAAUCUUGAACGGUCCCACAUAUCUGGGGGCAAGCUUCCCUUUGAUACCGAAGCGACGAGUACCUUUCAUAGGAGAGACGCGGAGGUAAACAUGAUCUCCGAUCUCGAAAGCCAAAUCACGGUGCUUACUGUCAUAGUAGCUCUUUUGGAGGGAUUGGGCUGCUUUGAGGUUAUCUUGAAUGACUUUGCACAUCUCCUCUGCCUCUGUGAUUAAGUCAUUUCCCAAAAGUUGACGUUCACCGGUUUCAGACCAGUUGAGAGGGGUACGGCACUUCCUGCCAUAUAGAAUUUCAAAUGGGGCCUUGCCCGAACUUGCUUGAAAACUGUUGUUGUAGGAGAAUUUAGCAUAAGGAAGACAAUCCUCCCACUUCAUGCCGAAGGAAAUCACACAAGCCCUGAGCAUAUCUUCAAGAAUCUGGUUGACACGCUCGACUUGACCGCUAAUUUGAGGAUGGAAAGUUGUGCUGAAGCGGAUGUUGGUGCCCAUGGCCUUCUGAAAAGAAUCCCAAAACUUGGAGGUAAAGAUGCUGCCACGGUCUGAAGAGAUCACCUGUGGAAUACCGUGCAGAGAGAUAAUCCGAGAGGUAUAGAGCUCCGCCAAUUGAGCUGCAGUGAUCGACUCUUUGAUAGGCAGAAAGUGAGCCACUUUGGUGAGUUUGUCGAUGACAACGAAUAUAGCAUCAUUGCCACGUUUGGACUUUGGAAACCCAGUCACGAAGUCCAUUUCAAUGUGGUCAAACUUCCAUUCUGGAAUGGCAAGCGGUUGGAGGAGACCAGCUGGCCUUUGGUGUUCUGCCUUCACUCUUCUGCAGACAUCACAUUCAUUCACGAAUUGAGCAAUCUCGCGCUUCAUUCGAGUCCACCAAUAAGCCUGCUUGAGGUCCUGAUACAUCUUCGUACUCCCAGGGUGGAUGGAGAGGAGAGAAUUGUGAGCCUUGUUCAUGAUCACUUUACGGAGGUCACCUUUGGGUACAACAAUACGAUCCUCAAAGAAGAGAGUAUCCUUGUCAUCAAGGCGGUAGCACUUGUACUUGGGUUGACUCUUGGCAAUCCCAAUCUUCACCUUUUUCACCAUAGCAUCAAGAAGCUGGGCUUGGCGAAUAUGGUCUUCCAAGGUAGGAGAGACUUGAAGGUUGGAGAGGAAACCUUCAGGAACAACUUGCAGGUUAAGUUUGCGGAAAGCUUCACAAAGCUCGGGUUGAUAAGGCUUGAGAAUAAGACUGUUGCAAUAAGCCUUUCUGCUCAAUGUGUCAGCAAUCACAUUGGCCUUGCCUGGAGUAUACUCGAUACUCGGAUUAUACUCUUGAACCAUUUUGACCCAUCGAGUUUGCCUGAGGUUGAGAUUAGGCUGAGUGAAGAUGUACUUGAGAUUCUUGUGGUCAGUGAAGAUGUCCGCUUUUCUUCCCAAUAAGAGAUGUCUCCAAGUCAAAAGAGCAUGCACAACUACCGCCAACUCGAGAUCAUGAGUGGGGUAGUUCUUCUCAUUAGGCUUCAACUGGCGACAGGUAUAAGCAACAACUUUCUUCUCUUGCAUCAACACUGCGCCAAGACCUUGGAGAGAGGCAUCACAAAAGACCUCGUACGGCUUGGAUUCAUCAGGCGGAGUCAGAACUGGAGCAGUGAUCAAUUUCUCUUUCAAAGUGUUGAAAGCAAUGUCACACUCCGGAGACCAAACGUACUUGACGUGCUUCUGGAGAAGAUUUGAGAGAGGCUUCACGAUCUUAGAAAAGUUUUCAACGAAUCUUCGACAGUAGCUUGCGAGAACGAGGAAGCUGCGGAGUUGCUUCACGUUCUGAGGAGGUUCCCAAUUCACAAUUGCAGACACCUUCUCAGGAUUCACCGCAAUGCCCUUGGCAGAGAUGAUAUGACCAAGAAAAAGAACCUCAUCGAGCCAAAAUUCGCACUUGGAGAACUUGGCGUAGAACUGGUGUUCCCUCAACUUAUCAAGUACCAAACGCAAGUGCUUGGCAUGAUCUUCCUUGUUCUUCGAGAAAACCAGAAUGUUGUCGAGAUAGACCAAAACGAAGUCAUUGGUGUAGGCGUUGAAGAUGAAGUUCAUCAUGCGAGAGAACGUCGGAGGAGCGUUGACGAGGCCAAAAGACAUGACAGUGUAUUCGUAUGAACCAUAGCUUGUUCUGAAAGCCGUCUUGGGAAUAUCUUGCUCAUGGAUUCGAAUCUGAUGAUAACCCAUACGGAGAUCAAGCUUGGAGAAUACUUGGGCACCUUUGAGUUGUUCGAACAGCUCGUUGAUGUUGGGAAGUGGGUAUUUGUUCUUGAUGGUCUUCUUGUUCAAUGGACGGUAAUCAACACAAAGUCGGUCCAUUCCAUCCUUCUUCUUCACAAAAAGAACACCACAACCCCACGGAGAAGAACUAGGCCGGAUGAGACCCAUUCUUUCUUGAAUAUCGAGUUGCUUCUUCAGCUCCUUCAACUCUUCAGGUCCGAGCUUGUAAGGACGCUUGCACACUAGUUCCGUGCCAGGACCAAGAUCAAUAACGAAUUCAACUGGCCGGUGCAGAGGCAUUCCUGGAAGCUCUUCUGGAAAGACGUCUUGAUAUUCGCAAACGACUGGCAUUUGCGAGAUAGCAUCGAGUUCACCCUUCUCAUUGAGAGAAAACAGACGGAUAGUAUCAUCACGAGCGGCAAAGACAAUUACAUCCUCAGACGAAUGAGUCAAUUGAAUCUGCCUGGCUGCACAGUCAAGAUGUGCCUUGUGCUUAGAGAGCCAAUCCAUCCCGAUAAUAAGAUCAAUAUCCGAGUUGCCAAGAACCAUAGGAGAAGAAAGGAACUUGUAGUCACCCAAGGUGAUAGUAAUGUCCGGAGCCAUCAUUUUAGUGUUCAUGAACAAACCCGGAGAAGAAACCGCUAUCGGCUUAGGCAAAUCAAUAGUAUGCACAUAAUGCAUGGAUGCAAAAGGCUUCGAUAAAAAUGAUAAAGAUGCACCAGUGUCAAAAAGAACUCUUGCGGGAAUAUCAUUAACAGGAAGGUUACCCAUGAUGACAUCUGGUGAGUCCUCUGCCUGAGCUGCAUUCAGCAAGUUGACCUUGGCGGACUUGGGGUUAUGCUUGACCACAGCUGUACUUGCUGAUCUGACAGGAGGAGGAGGAGGAAGACGCCUUUAGUUGUAACACUUGUUGGCAUAGUGACCCUUCUGUUGGCACUUGUUGCACGUGACCUCUGAAAGCGGACGGUGGUACGGAGCACUCGAUCUUGGAGCUUGAGACGAAGUCUUGUUCUGAAAGCCAGGGUUGGGUGGGUGGGAAGAUCCACUGCCACCUUUGCUCUUCUGCUGAUACGGCUGACGGAACGGAGGAGGAGGAAGCCAAUACUUCUGCUGCUUGGCCACUUGAGUAGAGGAAGAAGGAGUAGCAUCUCUGACUCGCCUCUUGAAAGCAUCACACCUCAGUUGAGCGGCCUCUUGCUUCAGUGCCAUGUUGUAGAACUCAUCGUACCUCAAGGGCUCAAAGAGAACAAGAGCUAGCUGAAUUUCUUCUCUGAGACCACCCCUGACCUGGUAUAUCAUGCUCUUCUCAUCAGGCACGUCCUGCUUGGCAAAGCGGGCGAGCUUCUGAAACAACUUGUUGUAGUCAUAGACAGACAAAGAGCCUUGCUUCAGGUUGCGGAAUGCCUCACGCUUGCUUUCAAUCACGCUCUUAGGGAUAUGGUGAGCUCUGAAAUCUUGACGGAAUUCAUCCCAAGUAAUUACACGUCCACCUCUGGAAUCCUUGUACUGCUGGAACCAUUCUGCAGCUUGAUCUUUGAGUUGGAAGGAAGCAAACUUGACGAAGUCCUCAGGCCUGACGUUACUGCACUCGAAAUGCUUGCACAGAUCCACAAGCCAAUCAUCAGCAACGGUUGCCUCAACACAAUUGCUGAAAGUCUUUGGCCCGUUAGCAAGGAACUGGUUGAGUGUAGCAAAGUGAUUCUGAUUGUUUCCUUGGUUCCCUUGGUUGCCUUGAUUGCGCUCUUGAAGAAUUUGCAUGAUCAACUGUGUGUUUGCAUUGGUUGCGGCCAUCACAGCUUGCCAUGCCUUCGGAGGAGGUGGAGGUGGUGGCGGAUCAGGAUUCGGAGUCGUGCGCGUUGGAGGAGCCAUCCUGAAGAGGUUGACAUCCAUUAGCACAUUGAUAGAUAAAUAUUGAAGCUGAAUCCAACGGAAUGAAAAUUUCAACAUAUAGUCUUCACAUCCGAACAAAAUGAACGAAUGCAUUCCUCUUGAAAUGGUCACAUAUCCAUAAAUUGAGAAGCCACGUAGAAUUUAGGUAGAGAAAUAAAUCAACAAGGUACGGAUCAAGAACGAAUAAUCGGUAAGAAAUCCCAAUCUCAAACCAACUAUCCGUGGAAGAAGAACUAGAGCUACUAAAAUUCCCACCUAUGAAACUCCCGAACCUUUCCGGUUAUGCAAUCAGGUGUUGGGGAUACAGGGGAAGCAUAAUAUCUCACCCAAAUCUAGCAAAUCCUACAUCCAGCUGUAUCCAUCCUUCAACACAUAACCGAGAAAAACUUCGGAAACCAUCUACCUCAACCUUCGAAAAGCAUCCGUUAUACAAGUUAUGGCGAUACUCCCGAACUCCCUCCCCAGUACUGGGUGGCGUCGACGUUAUCUCACCAAAGAACUGCAUAAAAGAGAUUUUCAAUGUCGGCGUACUAAACUCAGGUAUUCCAGAACUGCAACGAUAAAAUUAUGAUGACAACACCUCAGAGCUCAACUCCCCGGGACACUUCCACAAAACCCCUGACAGGAGGCACCAAGACAAUGUUCUCAUCAUAAAACCAUCGGAACGAUUCCAAGAUACCCGCGUGAUCCUAAAUUUUUUUAGUGAAAUUUGAGAAGAGAAGAGUCAAAACUCUACGUCAGGAUGCCUUACCAGAGCGAUGAGGAGACUGGGAAGUAAAAAGAAUUCCUAAACUCUCUGAUAUAUAAUUCCUAAAUGACUCAAAAACAUUUUUCUAGACACAACUCGGCUGCUAAAAACGAUCAAGCAAUGGGGCUCCUAAGGUCGGGGAAGGCUCUGAUUACCAACUUGUAACACCCUCGAUGCGACUAUAUCUCCCACGUGUCGAGGCACGACUUAGAGGCAUAAUCGCAUUGAAGGCAUAUGUCGCAAGUUAGGCAAUCUUCACAACAUCCCAUGUAAUAUAGAUAAUAAAAGGGGAGAUAACAUAGUUGGCUUACACUCGCCACGUCAAUCAAGGUACAUAAUUAACAUUAGAUCAUCCAAACACUCAUGGCCCGACUACGGCGCCAAAAUAAAAGAUAACCCAACAUGCGACACAGUCCCGAUCACCCCCAACUGGGCACCACUACUGCUCAUCAGGAAAGGCAACAUAGUAUCGUUGAGAGUCCUCGUCGAACUCCCACUUGAGCUCGAGCGCGUCACCUGGAGCGGAAUCAUCAGGCCAUGCAUCUGGUGUAAUAGUAAUCUGUGAGCCACAGGGACUCAGCAAUCUCGCACCCUCGCGAUCAAGACUAUUUAAGCUUAAUAGGUAUGGCAAGGUAAAUAUGUGUGGAGCUGCAGCAAGCGACGAGCAAAUAUGGUGGCUAUCCUGUUCGCAAAAGAGAGCGAGAAGAGGAGGCAAAGCGCGAGCGAGAAACUAGAGAGCAACCUGCGCAAGCAUUACUCCAACACCGUGUCCACUUCCCGGACUCCGCCGAGAAGAGGCCAUCACGGUAACACACUCAGUUGAUUCAUUUUAAUUAAGUUAAGGUUCAAGUUAUCUACAACCGGACAUUAACAAAUUCCCAUCUGCCCAUAACCGCGGGCACGGCUUUCGAAAGUUCAAAUCCCUGCAAGGGAGUCCCAACUUAGCCCAUGACAAGCUCUCACGGUCAACAAAGGAAUAGACCUCCUCCUGAGACGUUCCGAUCAGACUCGGUACCUUGGUUCUUCAAGACACUUCGAUAGGUUAAAAUAAGACCAGCAACACCACCCAGAUGUGCCGACAAAUCCCGAUAGGAGCUGCACAUAUCUCGUUCUUAGGGUACACCGGAUGAGCAAGCCGUCGGGUAGGCCAGCCCAGAGUUGCCCCUGGUAGCCCCGGACAUCCCUCGGUUGGACCAACACUCAAGAGGAGCACUGGCCCCCGGGGGGGGGGGGGUUAAAAUAAGAUGACCCUCGGGCUCCGGAAACCCAAGGGAAAAGAGGCUAGGUGGCAAAUGGUAAAACCAAGGUUGGGCAUUGCUGGAAAAGAUUUAAUCAAGGCGAACUAUCAAGGGGUUCCCAUUAUAACCCAACCGCGUAAGGAACGCAAAAUCCGUGAACAUAACACCGAUAUGACGGAAACUAGGGCGGCAAGAGUGGAACAAAACACUAGGUGAGAGGCCGAGCCUUCCACCCUUUACCAAGUAUAUAGAUGCAUUAAGAUAACAUGGCAAUAUAAUGAUAUCCCAACAAGUAAAUAAACGUUCCAACAAGGAACGACCUCCAAUCUUCACCUGCAACUAGCAACACUAUAAGAGGGGCUGAGCAAAGCGGUAACAUAGCCAAUCAAUGGUUUGCUAGGACAUGGUGGGUUAGAGGUUUGACAUGGCAAUUUGGGAGGCUUGAAAGCAAGUGGUAGGCAUCGUAGCAUUGGCAUAGCAAAAGAGCGAGCAAUCUAGCAUAGCAAAGAUAGUAGUGAUUUCGAGGGUAUGAUCAUCUUGCCUACAAGGUUGUCAGAGUUGACUGGAUCCUCGAAAGCAAACUCAAUGGGCUCCUUGUUAGCGAACUCGUCUCCCGGCUCUACCAAACAAGACAAACAAGCAACAAGGGCACAAUCAACCACGUGCAAGGAUCAAACAAUAUGAUGCAAGGAUGGUAUGCUAUGCAGGAUGCGAUGCGGGAUGCAUAUGCAAGAUUUGACAAGGGAUGCAUGAACCUGGCCUCAACUUGGAAAACCAAGUGUGCCACUGGAAAUAUGAGAUGAAAUCGCUUGAAAACGAUAUAAAGAACGCCGGAAUCGGAGCUACGGUUUGGAAAUGGCAAGCGAUUCGAAUAUGACACCGGUCUGCGAUUUACAGCAAGUAGCCAUCUAAAUGCAACAAGAUGAACAUGCUACAACACCCAAACAUGACAACAAAAUACAUGGCAGGGAUGCAUUCAAGAUGCUUAACAAAAGUCUAGCACUGAGCUACGGCCAAUUCAUCCAUUAACAGGUUCAAACAAGCAUGUCAAAAAUGCAUAUGGUAAACAGAUCUCAGACUUAAUGAAAUUAACACUUGUCUGGAAUUUCAGAUCAGGUAGCACUCUUUGGAGCAACAAAACUACAUGCUACAUGACCUGAACAUGGCAAAGUAAAGCAUGGCAUGGAGCUACUAAAAGAGCUUAACAAAAGUCCCUUAGUGACCUUGAGCCAAAAGGGAUCAGAAAAUACAAUUGCAAGCAUGUGAACAUGGCAAAAACAUAAUCAGAUCACAGACUUAGAGAAAAACUGGAGCAUGCAAAACAGAUAUCAAGUAGGCAUGUUUACAAUCUCGAUGCACUCACUACAGAGCAAGUCAUGAUAAUCUAAGCUUACACCCAUCAAGAAUACACAAAAUGCAAUCUAGAAAUGGCAAGAACAAUCGCAUAGCAUGCACGGAUCAACUACAACAUCCUCGGCAAAAUCGCUAAGUAGACAAUCUGCCCAGAUUCACGAAGUAGCAAAAGUAGAGCUCGAUUGACGCAAGCUAGGGUGCUCCAUAAUUGCAAACAAAGACAUGGAUGGAUAGAGCACUACAAGAUUAACAAAACAUCCUUACUGAUCAUCCUCAAAAGAGGCACGGAUCACUAGGAAACAACAUGAACAUAUGGCAACAUGAGAUAAACAGAUCAAGGACUUAGUGGAAAUGCUAAGUCCCUGAAAUCAGCAUUACCAAGUGCCUCACUUUGCAAGCUUGUGCUAGUCACCACACACAUCACAAAAAUACAUGGGUUGCACCUAUGGAAAGAUGGCAAAACCCUUAACAAAACAUAUGUAGAGCUCAUGGGCAUAUCAUGCACACAAUAAUCAUGGCAAAAAUGACAAAUAUCUAAAUGGAGCAGCAGAUCUGACAAUUAUCUCAAGUAGCCCUCUUCUAACAGCAUUUCGGGCAUCAAUAUGAACUCAAAUGAAAAUGAUGCAGUGGAAUGAAAUGAUGUGCUCUCUGAGACGAACAUUUUGAUAUGCUAUAUGCCCAAAACGGAGCUACGGAUGCAAAGUUACGAUGCGAUGAACAUGACAAAAAUAUUAGGGUUUCGGGGCAAAAGUCAACCCGAGGCAAUUUCAGAUCCAGAUCCAGAUCGGCACGCUUUACGAGGUUCGCCAAAAAUGGAGUUGGCCGCUGGAGACGGAGAGGAAGCCGGGGCGGAGGGCGGCCGGAGCUCGGCGGUGGUGGCCAGCGCCUGCGCGGCAAGGCGGCGUGGGCGCGGCGGCUGAGGCGGCGUGCACCGGCAGCCAGGGCGGCGCACGCUGGUGAGGGCGACGGGCGACGGAGGAAGUCCGGUGGGCGGCCGGCAGCGGGGACGAUGGCCCCGGGUGGNNNNNNNNNNNNNNNNNNNNNNNNNNNNNNNNNNNNNNNNNNNNNNNNNNNNNNNNNNNNNNNNNNNNNNNNNNNNNNNNNNNNNNNNNNNNNNNNNNNNNNNNNNNNNNNNNNNNNNNNNNNNNNNNNNNNNNNNNNNNNNNNNNNNNNNNNNNNNNNNNNNNNNNNNNNNNNNNNNNNNNNNNNNNNNNNNNNNNNNNNNNNNNNNNNNNNNNNNNNNNNNNNNNNNNNNNNNNNNNNNNNNNNNNNNNNNNNNNNNNNNNNNNNNNNNNNNNNNNNNNNNNNNNNNNNNNNNNNNNNNNNNNNNNNNNNNNNNNNNNNNNNNNNNNNNNNNNNGGCGGCGCGAGUCAACGGGCCUCGGGGGCCCCUCCUGGGCCUCCCGGGCCGGCGGCGAUGGCGAAGUGGGGAGUGGCGCGGCGAAUGGCAGUGCGCCAUGUGGCAGCCACGGGGCGGACCGGACAUGUCCGCCGGCGCUGGUUUUGUCCGGCGGCGGCGGGUGGAGAUGGAUCUAGGGUUUUCGGGAGGAAGGAGAAGAAGAUUUUUGGGGUGUCUUUAAAUAGGCAUAGAGGGAGCUAGGAUAGUCCAAAUGAGGUGCGGUUUUCGGCCACGCGAUCUUGAUCGAACGCUCUAGAUGAUGGAGAGGGUUAUGGUAGGUUUUGGUCCAACUUGGAGGGGUGUUGGGCUGCAACACACACGAGGCCUUUUCGGUCCCUUGGUUAACCGUUGGAGUAUCAAACGAAGUCCAAAUGGUAUGAAACUUGACAGGCGGUCUACCGGUAGUGAACCAAGGCCGCUUGGCACCUCGGUCCAAUCCGGAAAUGUUUAAAUCCCACACACAAAAGAAAGCUAGAAAUGACCACCGGAGGAGAACGAAGCGCCGGAAUGCAAAACGGACAACGGGGAAAAUGCUCGAAUGCAUGAGAUGAACACGUAUACAAAUGCAAUGCACAUGAUGACAUGAUAUGAGAUGCAUGACAAUGAUAACAACACACGGAGACAAAAACCCGAACCCGAGAAAAUAAAAUAACUUAACGCCGGAAACGGCAAGAGUUGGAAUACAAAUUGGGAAAGUCAUAUCCGGGGUGUUACAGCUUAGAUCAAGAUUAGGAUUUGUCACUCCGAUUGUCGGAGAGGUAUCUCUGUGCCCUCUUGGUAAUGCACAUCACUAUAAGCCUUGCAAGCAAUGUAACUAAUGAGUUAGUUACGAUAUGUUGCAUUACAGAACGAGUAAAGAGACUUGCCGGUAACGAGAUUAAACUAGGUAUUGAGAUACCGACGAUCAAAUCUCGGGCACGUAACAUACCAAUGACAAAGGGAACAACGUAUGUUGUUAUGUGGUUUGAUCGAUAAAGAACUUCAUAGAAUAUGUAGGAACCAAUAUGAGCAUCCAGGUUCUGCUAUUGUUUAUUGACCGGAGAUGAGUCUCGGUCAUGUCUACAUAGUUCUCGAACCCGUAGGGUCCGCACGCUUAACGUUCGGUGACGAUCGGUAUUAUGAGUUUAUGUGUUUUGUUAUACCGAAGGUUGUUCGGAGUCCUGGAUGAGAUGAGGGACAUGACGAGGAGUCUCGAAAUGUUCAAGACAUAGAGAUCUAUAUGUUGGAAGGCUAUAUUCGGACAUCGGAAAGAUUCCGAGUGGUUCGGGUAUCUAUCGGAGUACCGGAGAGUUGCGGGAAUUUGCCGGGGAGUAUAUGGGCCUUAUUGGGCUUUAGGGGAAAGAGAGAGGGGCUGCCUAGGGCAGGCUACGCGCCCCCAAGGCCUAGUCCGAAUUAGACUAGGGGGAGGGGCGGCGGCCCCUCCUUCGUUCUCUUCUCUUUUCCCUUUCCUUCUCUCCUACUCCUACUACAUGGAAGGGGGGGAUCCUGCUCCCGGUGGGAGUAGGACUCCCCACGGAGCGUCAUAGUAGAGGGCCGGCCCUCCCCCUCCUCCACUCCAUUAUAUACGAGGGAGGGGGUCACCCCAUGGACACACAAGUUGAUCAUUGAUCUCUUAGCCGUGUGCGGUGCCCCUCCACCAUAAUCCACCUUGGUCAUAUCGUAGCGGUGCUUAGGCGAAUCCCAGUUCCGGUAGCAUCAUCAUCACCGUCAUCACGCCGUCGUGUUGACGAAAUUCUCCCUCGACACUUUGCUGGAUCGUGAUUUCGUGGGACGUCACUGAGCCGAACAUAUGCAGAUCGCGGAGGUGCCGUACCUUCGGUGCUAGAUCGGUCGAUCGUGAAGACGUACGACUACAUCAACCGUGUUUUCAUAACGCUUCUGCUUACGGUCUACGAGGGUACGUAGACGAUACUCUCCCCUCUCGUUGCUAUGCAUUGAUAACCCACAAGUAUAGGGGAUCAAUUGUAGCCUCUUUCGAUAAGUAAGAGUGUCGAACCCAACGAGGAGCUAAAGGUAGAACAAAUAUUCCCUCAAGUUCUAUCGACCACCGAUACAACUCUACGCACGCUUAACGUUCGCUUUACCUAGAACAAGUAUGAAACUAGAAGUACUUUGUAGGUGUUUUUGGAUAGGUUUGCAAGAUAAUAAAGAGCGCAUAAAUAAAAAAUAGGGGCUGUUUAGAUAAAGAAACAAUAAAGUUAGUAUAGUGAGUUUGGAAAAGUGGUGGUAGGAGUUGUGAUUGUCCCUAAGCAAUUGACUACUUUACUAGACCGAUAGCAAGUUUUAUGUGGGAGAGGCCACUGCUAGCAUGUCAUCCCUGACUUGGAAUUCUAUACACUUAUGAUUGGAACUAUUAGCAAGCAUCCGCAACUACUAACGUUCAUUAAGGUAAAACCCAACCAUAGCAUUAAGAUAUAUUGGCCCCCCUUCAAUCCCGUAUGCAUCAAUUUCUAUGAUAGGCUGAAGUUUCUGUCACUCUUGCCCUCCAAUACAUAGUCCUAUCAACAUACAACUAACCCUAUGGUGUGAUCCACGCGCGCGCUCAUAUGAUGGGCACCAAAGGACAACAACAUAACCACAAGAAAAUUAAGUCAAUCAUAGCAAUUCAUCAACCACCGAUAGGACAACGAAAAUCUACCCAGACAUCAUAGGAUGGCAACACAUCAUUGGAUAAUAAUAUGAAGCAUAAAGCACCAUGUUCAAGCAGAGGGUACAACGGGUUGUGGGAAAGUGGACCGCUGUAGAUAGAGGGGGGCAGGUGAUGGAGAUGUUGGUGAAGAUGGCGGAGGUAUUGGUGUAGAUUGCGGUGAUGAUGAUGGCCCCCGGUGGCGUUCCGGCGCCACCGGAAGCGAGGGGGAGAGAGCACCCCUCCUUCUUCUUCUUCCUUGACCUUCUACCUAGAUGGGAGAAGGGUUUCCCCUUAGGUCCAUGGCCUCCAUGGCAUGGGAGGGGCGAGAGCCCCUCCGAGAUUGGAUCUGUCUCUCUGUCUCUCCCUUUUUCUGCGUUCUCAGAUUCCGCCCUUUCACCAUUUCUUAUAUUCCUGGAGAUCCGUAACUCCGAUUGGGCUGAAAUUUUAACACGAUCUCUAUCCGUAUAUUAGGUUUCUUGCGGAGAAAUAAGGGCAUCCGAAUAUCGCAAAACUAUUGCGAGGAAUCAAACAUAUCAUAUUCAGUGAUCUACAAGUUUUAUGUAGGAUUUUAUGACUAACCAUGUGAAUGACCAAUUCCUGUCAUCUCUCUAAAUAGAUAUAAGUGAAUCAAGAGAGUUUAAUUCUUUCUACAAGAGAUAUGCCCACGCUCUAACAAAUAUAAGUGAAUCAAAAGAGCAUUCUACAAAUGGCGGUUUUCCAUGUGAAGAGAGAUAGGCAAUCCAAACUUCAAAUGAUAUAAGCGAAGCACAUGAAGCAUUCUAUAAAGCCAUACUCAAAAGAUAUAAGUGGAGUGCAAAGAGCAUUCUAUAAAUCAACCAAGGACUAUCUCAUACCAUCAUGGUGCAUAAAAGAAAAAUGAAAACUAAAUGCAAAAGACGCUCCAAGAUUGCACAUAUCGCAUGAACAAAACGAAUCCGAAAACAUAUCGAUACUUGUUGAAGAAAGAUGGGAUGCCUUCCGGGGCAUCCCCAAGCUUAGACGCUUGAGUCUCCUUGAAUAUUUACUUGGGGUGCCUCGGGCGUCCCCAAGCUUGAUCUCUUGCCUCUCUUCCUUCUUCUCACAUCGAGACCUCCUCGAUCUUCGAACACUUCAUCCACACAAAACUCAACAAAAAACUCGGUAAGAUCCGUUAGUAUAAUAAAGCAAAUCACUACUCUGAGUACUAUUGUAAACUAAUUCAUAUUUUGUUUUUGCAUUUUAGCUACUGUAAUAUAACUUUUCCAUGGCUUAAUCCACUGAUAUAAAUCGAUAGUUUCAUCAAAACAAGCAAACUAUGCAUCAAAAACGGAAUCUGUCUAAAACAGAACAGUCUGUAAUAAUCUGAACAUUCACCAUACCUCUGGUACUCCACAAAUUCUACAAAAAUUAGGAAAAAUAAACAAUUUGUAUAGAAAGACAGUGCAAAAAGUUUCAAAACCAUUUGACGUUCCAGUAAAAAAAUGUAAAAUCGCGCACUACAGCCGAAGUUUCUGUCCUGCACCGUACAAACCAACAAGUAAUCUAAAACAUCCUAAAGGCAAACCUUGGCACAUUAUUUUUAUUUUUAAACCUUAUAAAGUCACACAAUGUAAAUAAAUGACUCUCUAAAACUUCCGGGUUGUCUCCCUGGCAGUGCUUUCUUUAAAGCCAUUAAGCUAGGCAUAUAGUGCUCAAGUGAUGGAUCCACCCGGAUCCCAAGGUAUAUCAAAGCCAAUUUUAAUUAACAAUGAUUUGGCAUUUAGUAGUGAGCACAAAGUAACAUAUAUCAUGUAAUUACGAAGUUUAAAUCUCUUCCUAUGCAUCGGCAUGUCAUAAAAGAACAAUUCAUGCACACAUAGUAAAGGCCAAUGCAUAGUAUAAGCAGUUUCUUGCAAUUUUAUCAUGUUGGAAAUAUAAAGAGGUGGAGAUGUAGUUCCUAUCUCAGAAUAAUUGCAAGUAGGAGAAGCAAGCACAUGCAUAUUAUAUCUAUCAAAAUCAUCAUGUGUAAUAGUAAAACACAACCCAUCAAUAUAAUCCUUAAUAAGGGUAAACUUCUCCGAUAUAGUGUAGUUGGGAUAAUUCAAAAAGAUAUUAGGACUAUCAUGCGUGGGUGCAAUAGCAACAAUUUCAUGUUUAACAUAAGGAACUAUAGCAAGUUCAUCUCCAUAAGCAUAAUUCAUAUUGGCAUCUUGGCCACAAGCAUAGCAAGCAUCAUCAAAAAGGGAUAUUUCAAGAGAAUCAACGGGGUCAUAACAGUCAUCAUAGCAAUCAUCCUUCGGUAAGCACGAAGGGAAAUUAAACAAUGUAUGAGUUGAAGAGUUACUCUCAUUAGAAGGUGGGCACUGGUGAUCAAUCCGCUCUUCCUCCUUUUGUUCUUCGCUCUCCUCCUCAUCUUUUUCAUCCAAUGAGCUCACAAUGUCAUUAAUUUCUUCUUCCAUAGACUCCUGCAAAAUAUUAGUCUCUUCUUGGACAACAGAGGAGUCCUCAAUAUAUGGUUUAACAUAUGCAUUAGAAGCAUAAUUAUCAUAACAAUAUUUAAGUAUGGAAAAAAUUUCAGAUUUGUAAAGAGUAGCAUCAUACUUUUCAAUCAAAGAAGCAAUUUCAUAAGCACCCUUAAAAGCAACAAAUUCUUCAAUUUGUUGAACAUCAUAGUAAUUAUAAAAACCCUUAGCAUAUGAAGAUAUGAUUCCACUAUCACUAAACUCACAUUGGUAGGGAAGGUGUUUCUUAGGGUUUUCAGAACAACAAGUAACAUCACAUAUUUCACAAAAAUUCCAAGCAUAGCACUGCAAACGAUGAAUUUAAUCCAAUAAAACUUCCCCUUUUUGAGAUAAGCGGUGUUGCAUAUAACAAGCAUGCUCAUUUAAAGAUUUGCCCUCAACUAAGCUAGUUGGGGUUUCAGCACGAGCACAAAGGGAUCGAAGAUGAUCCAAGUAAAAAGCUUUAGGAGUGUGAUAGAUUUUGAAUGGUUCUUCAACCAUUGAUGUAGUAGGUACAACUAAUUUUUUUGGUAUUUUGUGUUUCCUACCCAUAACUAAAGGUAGAAAACAAGAGCACAAAAUAAAAACUACUUAGUGAUAAAGCAAACAAGCACACACGAGAAUAUUCACCCCACGCUAUUGCUCCCCGGCAACGGUGCCACAAAAAGGUCUUGAUAAUCCACAAGUAUAGGGGAUCAAUUGUAGCCUCUUUCUAUAAGUAAGAGUGUCGAACCCAACGAGGAGCUAAAGGUAGAACAAAUAUUCCCUAAAGUUCUAUCGACCACCGAUACAACUCUAUGCACGCUUAACGUUCGCUUUACCUAGAACAAGUAUGAAACUAGAAGUACUUUGUAGGUGUUUUUGGAUAGGUUUUCAAGAUAAUAAAGAGCGUGUAAAUAAAAAGUAGGGGCUGUUUAGAUAAAGAAACAAUAAAGUUAGUAUAGCGAGUGUGGAGAAGUGGUGGUAGGAGUUGUGAAAUUGUUCCUAAGCAAUUGACUACUUUACUAGACCGAUAGCAAGUUUUAUGUGGGAGAUGCCACUGCUAGCAUGUCAUACCUGACUUGGAAUUCUAUGCACUUAUGAUUGGAACUAUCAGCAAGCAUCCACAACUACUAACAUUCAUUAAGGUAAAACCCAACCAUAGCAUUAAGAUAUAUUGGUCCCCCUUCAAUCCCGUAUGUAUCAAUUUCUAUGCUAGGCUGAAGUUUCUGUCACUCUUGCCCUCCAAUACAUAGUCCUAUCAACAUACAACUAACCCUAUGGUGUGAUGCAAGCGCGCACUCAUAUGAUGGGCACCAAAGGACAACAACAUAACCACAAGCAAAUUAAAUCAAUCAUAGCAAUUCAUCAACCACCGAUAGGACAACGAAAAUCUACUCAGACAUCAUAGGAUGGCAACACAUCAUUGGAUAAUAAUAUGAAGCAUAAAGCACCAUGUUCAAGUAGAGGGUACAGCGGGUUGCGGGAGAGUGGACCGAUGUAGAUAGAGGGGGGAGGUGAUGGAGAUGUUGGUGAAGAUGGCGGAGGCGUUGGUGUACAUUGCGGUGAUGAUGAUGGCCCCCCGUGGCGUUCCGGCGCCACCGGAAGCGAGGGGGAGAGAGCACCCCUCCUUCUUCUUCUUCCUUGACCUUCUUCCUAGAUGGGAGAAGGAUUUCCCCUCUGGUACAUGGCCUCCAUGGAAUGGGUGGGGCGAGAGCCCCUCCGAGAUUGGAUCUGUCUCUCUGUCUCUCCCUUUUUCUGCGUUCUCAGAUUCCGCCCUUUCACCGUUUCUUAUAUUCCCGGAGGUCCGUAACUCCGAUUGGGCUGAAAUUUUAACACGAUCUCUAUCCAGAUAUUAGCCUUCUUGCGGCUAAAGAAGGGCAUCAACCGCCUUACGGGGUAGCCACGAGGGCCCAGGGCGCGCCUGACCCCCUGGGGCGUGCCCCCUGCCUCGUGGCCCCCUCGGGAAUCGUCUCAUGUUGAUUGUUCUUCCAAAAAAUCACAUAUAUUCCAAAAAAAAUCUCCGUUAGUUUUUAUCCCGUUUGGACUCCGUUUGAUAUGGAUUUACUGCGAAACAAAAAAACAUGCAACAAUCAGGAACUGGCACUUGGCACUGGAUCAAUAUGUUAGUCCCAGAAAAUAGUAUAAAUAGUUGCCAAAAGUAUAUGAAAGUUGUAUAAUAUUGGCAUGGAACAAUAAAAAUUAUAGAUACGAUGGAGACGUAUCAGGCAUCACCAUGAUCCUGCGUGUGUGUAGGAAAUUUUAAAAUUACUACGUUCCCCAAUAGUGGCAUCCGAGGCAGGUUUAUGCGUAGAUGUUAUAUGCACGAGUAGAACACAAAGUAGUUGUGGGCGUGGGUAUAUACAUAUUGCUUGCCGUCACUAGUUGAUUCUUGAUUCAGCGGCAUUGUUGGAUGAAGCCGCCCAGACCGACAUUACGCAUACGCUUACACGAGACUGGUUCUAUCGACGUGCUUCGCACACAGGUGGCUGGUGGGUGUCAGUUUCUCUAACUUUAGUUGAAUCAGAUUCAAUGAACAAGGUUCUUUCUGAAGAUCAAAAAGCAAUCAAUAUACCGCGUUAUGGUUUUUGAUGCGUAGGUAAGAACAGUUCUUGCUAAGCCCAUAGCAGCCACGUAAAACUUAAACAACAAAGUAGAGGACGUCUAACUUGUUUUUGCAGGGCAUGUUGUGAUGUGAUAUGGUUAAGACGUGAUGAGAUAUAAAUUGUUGUAUGAGAUGAUCAUCUUUUGUUAAAGUUAUCGGCAACUGGCAUGAGCCUUAUGGUUGUCUCUUUAUUGCAUAAGAUGCAAGUCCCAUGUAAUUGCUUUACUUUAUCGCUAUGCGAUAGCAAUAGUUGCAAAAGCAAUAGCUGGUGAGACGACCAUGUGACGACACGUUGAUAAAAGAUCAAGUCGAUGAAGAUCAUCGUGUCAUGCUGGUAACAAUGAAGAUCAUGACAGUACUUUGGAGAUGGAGAUCAAAAGCACAAGAUGAUGAUGGCCAUAUCAUGCCACAUAUUUUGAUUGCAUGUGAUGUUUAUCUUUUAUACAUCUUAUUUUGCUUAGUUCAGCGGUAGCAUUUAAAGAUGAUCUCUCACUAAAUUUCAAGGUAUAAGUGUUCUCCCUCAGUAUGCACCUUCGCGACAGUUCGUCGUGCCGAGACACCACGUGAUGAUCGGGUGUGAUAAGCUCUACGUUCACAUACAACGGGUGCAAGCCAGUUUUGCACACGCAGAAUACUCGGGUUAAACUUGACGAGCCUAGCAUAUGCAGAUAUAGCCUCAAAACACUGUAGACCGAAAGGUCGAGCGUGAAUCAUAUAGUAGAUAUGAUCAACAUAGUGAUGUUCACCAUUGAAAACUACUCCAUCUCACGUGAUGAUCGGACAUGGUUUAGUUGAUUUGGAUCACGUGAUCACUUAGAUGAUUAGAGGGAUGUCUAUCUAAGUGGGACUUCUUAAGUAAUAUGAUUAAUUGAACUUUAAUUUAUCAUGAACUUAGUCCUGAUAGUAUUUUCAUGUCUAUGUUGUAGAUCAAUAGCUUGCGAUGUAGCUCCACGUUUAUUUUUGAUAUGUUCCUAGAGAAAAAUAAGUUGAAAGAUAUUAGUAGCAAUGAUGCAGACUAGCUCCGUGAUCUGAGGGUUAUCCUCAUUGCUGCACAGAAGUAUUAUGUCCUUGAUGCACCGCUAGGUGACAGACCUAUUGCAGGAGCAGAUACAAACGUUAUGAACGUUUGACAAAGCUCGGUAUGAUGACUACUUGAUAGUUUAGUGCACCAUGCUUUACGGCUUAGAGCCGGGACGUCAAAAAUGUUUUGAACGCAACGGAGCAUAUAAGAUGUUCUAAGAGCUGAAAUUGGUAUUUCAGACUCAUGCCCGAGUCAAGAGGUAUGAGACCUCUGACAAGUACUUUGCCUACAAGAUAGAGGAGAAUAGCUCAACCAGUGAGCAUGUGCUCAGAUUGUCAGGGUACUACAAUCGCUUGAAUCAAGUGGGACUUAAUCUUCUAGAUAAGAUAGUGAUUGACAGAGUUCUCUAGUCACUAUCAACAAGUUACUGGAACUUCGUGAUGAACUAUAAUAUGCAAGGGAUGACGAAAACAAUUCCCUGAGCUCUUCAUGAUGCUGAAAUCGGCGAAGGUAGAAAUCUAAAAAAGCAUCAAGUGUUUAUGGUUGACAAGACCACUAGUUUGAAGUAAAAGGGCAAGGGAAAGAAAGGGAACUUCAAGAAUAAUGGCAAGCAAGUUGCCACUCCCAUGAAGAAGCCCAAAGCUAGACCCAAGCUUGAAACUGAGUGCUUCUAUUGCAAAGGAAAUAGUCACUAGAAGUGGAUCUGCCCUAGAUACUUGGCGGAUAAGAAGGAUGGCAAAGUGAACAAAGGUAUAUUUGAUAUACAUGUUAUUGAUGUGUACUUUACUAGUGUUUAUAGCAAACCCCUUGGUAUUUGAUACUGGUUCAGUUGCUAAGAGUAGUAACUCGAAACAGGAGUUGCAAAAUAAACAGAGACUAGUUAAGGGCGAGGUGACGAUGUGUGUUGGAAGUGAUUCCAAGGUUGAUAAGAUCACCAUCGCACACUCCCUUUACCUUCGGGAUUAGUGUUGAACCUAAAAUAAAUGUUAUUUGGUGUUUGCGUUGAGAAUAAUAUGAUUGGAUCAUGUUUAUUGCAAUAAAAUUAUUCAUUUAAGUCAAAGAAUAAUUGUUAUUCUGUUUAUAUGAAUAAAACCUUUUGUGGUCAUACACCCAAGGUGAAUGGUUUAUUGAAUCUCUAUCGUACUAAUACACAUAUUCAUAAUAUUGAAGCUAAAAGAUGCAAAGUUAAUAAUGAUAGUGCAACUUAUUUGUGGCACUGCCGUUUAGGUCAUAUUGGUGUAAAGCGCAUGAAGAAACUCCAUGCUGAUGGGCUUUUGGAAUCACUUGAUGCUUGCGAACCAUGCCUCAUGGGCAAGAUGACUAAGACUCCGUUCUUCGAAACAAUGGAGCGAGCAACUGACUUAUUGGAAAUAAUACAUACUGAUGUAUGCGGUCCAAUGUGUGUUGAGGCUUGUGGCGGGUAUCGUUAUUUUCUGACCUUCACAGAUGAUUUGAUAAGAUAUGAGUAUAUCUACUUGAUGAAACAUAAGUCUGAAACAUUUGAAAAGUUCAAAGAAUUUCAGAGUGAAGUGAAAAAUCAUCAUAACAAGAAAAUAAAGUUUCUAUGAUCUGAUCACGGAGACGAAUAUUUGAGUUACGAGUUUGGUCUUCAAUUAAAACAAUGUGGAAUAGUUUCACAAACUCAUGCCACCUGGAACACCACAACAUAAUGGUGUGUCUGAACGUCGUAAUCGCACUUUACUAGAUAUGGUGCGAUCUAUGAUGUCUCUUACUGAUUUACCGCUAUCAUUUUGGGGUUAUGCAUUAGAGACAGCUACAUUCACGUUAAAUAGGGCACCAUCUAAAUCUGUUGAGAUGACAUCAUAUGAACUAUGGUUUGGCAAGAAACCUAAGCUGUCGUUUCUUAGAGUUUGGGGUUGCAAUGCUUAUGUGAAAAAGUUUCAACCUGAUAAGCACGAACCCAAAUCGGAUAAGUGCAUCUUCAUAGGAUAUCCAAAAUAAAAUAUUGGGUACACCUUCUAUCACAGAUCUGAAGGCAAGAUCUUUGUUGCUAAGAAUGGAUCCUUUCUAAAGAAGGAGUUUCUCUCGAAAGAAGUGAGUGGGAGGAAAAGUAGUACUUGAUGAGGUAACUGUACUUGCUCCCUUAUUGGAAAGUAGUUCAUCACAGAAAUCUGUUCCUGUGACUCCUACACCAAUUAGUGAGGAAGAUAAUGAUGAUGAUCAUGUAACUUCAGAUCAAGUUACUACCGAACCUCGUAGGUCAACCAGAGUGAGAUCCGCACCAGAGUGGUAUGGUAAUCCUGUUCUGUAGGUCAUGUUACUUGACCAUGACGAACCUACGAGCAAUGAGGAAGAGCCCAGAUUCCGCGAAAUGGCUUGAGGCCAUGAAAUCUGAGAUAGGAUCCAUGUAUAAGAACAAAGUGUAGACUUUGGUUGACUUGCCCGUUGAUCGGCAACCCAUUGAGAAUAAAUGGAUUUUCAAGAGGAAGACGGACGUUGAUAGUAGUGUUACUAUCUACAAAGCUCGAAUUGUCGCAAAAGGGUUUUCGACAAGUUCAAGGUGUUGACUACGAUGAGAUUUUCUCACUUGUAGCGAUGCUUAAGUCUGUCUGAAUCAUGUUAGCAAUUGCCACAUUUUAUGAAAUCUGACAAAUGGAUGUAAAAACUAUAUUCCUUAAUGGUUUUCUUAAAGAAGAGUUGUAUAUGAUGCAACCAGAAGGUUUUGUCAAUCCUAAAGGUACUAACAAAUUGUGCAAGCUCCAGCGAUCCAUCUAUGGACAAGCAUCUUGGAGUUGGAAUGUACGCUUUGAUAGUAUGAUCAAAGCAUAUAGUUUUAUACAGACUUGCGGUGAAGCCUGUAUUUACAAGAAAGUGAGUGGGAGCACUACAUCAUUUCUGAUAAGUAUAUGUGAAUGACAUAUUGUUGAUCGGAAAUAAUGUAGAAAUUUCUGGAAAGCAUAAAGGAGUGUUUGAAAGGAGUUUUUCAAACAAAGACCUUGGUGAAGCUACUUACAUAUUGAUGCGGAGCAUCCCAAGGUCAUCCCCCUGGACCUACCACCGUCUCACCAAGUGCCUAGCGGACCCUGACACGAGCACGUGCAAGAGCUCUCGAAACCGAGGUGACAUCUCUCCUCUCACACUUCCACUUCGAUACACAUGAGACAUGGUUACUACCUCAAACUGAGACAUUAUGCAUACUCAGGUAUCUAGGAGUUGUCCAUGAAGAAGCUAAGGAGCAAGGAGAAGAAGAAGAGGAAGAUGGACGUGAAGAUGGAGAAGAAGAAGAGAUGCAGAAGAAGCUACAGGCUCCGGACGACCGACCAGGACCGGACGUCCGAUGAUCUCCAGGCUCCGGACGUCUGACCCAGACCAGACGUCUGGCACCUCCGCACUCGAGCCAAAACAACAGAAUUCCGAGGCCUCCCGGACGACCGAUGCCCGGACAACCGACCCCGACCGGAUGUCCGACCGAAGAACACCCGAGCCGAAUCUACGGAUGUCCGACAGGCACCGGACCCUCGCGAGCCUCCAGACGACCUGUGACUCCCGGACGUCCGACGCCUAUGUGCUUCCAUGAGUUGGGCCACAGCCCAUGUAUCCCCCACUUCGCCCCCUUUUGCACUAAGGCUAUAAUAGACCUCCUAUUCCUUGUAGCUAAGGUUAGCAUUGGUUCAGCUCAUUUUAGAGAUAGAGCAUUGCUCAUCCACAUCAGAUCUACUCCACGAGAGAGACCGCGGCCAAUCUUCGGAGAAGAUCCCUUUGGAUUCAAGAACUCCUUGCAGAGAAGAACAUCAAGACCUCCUCACGGAGAAGACUGGCUACCUUUGUAUCGUCCUUAGUUGUCCGUGGAUCAUGUGAUCUCUUAUGUACUCGAGGAUCUAGCACAUGUGUGACUAUUUCGUGUUGGUUUAGUGAUUUUCUCGUGUUUCCCCUUGUUUUCCCCCUUGUGUUCUUCGUGUUCAUUGCGGGAUCCGCUCCUUUCGUGAAAGAUCGGGCGACUAAGGGUUCUGCCCUACAUCAUCUUGGUAUCUAGAGCCACGUUGAUCAUGAUUUAGGAGCCUUCCCAUUGUGUUGCUAGCCUAGUUUUUGUUGAUUUCGUCCCUAAUUCGAAAAGUCCCCACAAAAAUAGACCCAAUUUUUUUUGUGAUUUGUUGGUGUGUUGAAAUUUUGUUGGAUUUGAUCCGUGGAUUUUCUUUGUCUUGAGUGGAUCUACCUUUCCCCCCUUGUCUCCCCACCUCUUCCAUCCACGAAAUCACCCAGAUUCGAUGAAUUUUGACCUCUCCACCUCGUACAUGUGUUGUUCUUCCUGUGCCCGAAAAUCGCCCAGGCACCGGACGUCCGAACCCUUCCAGACGUCCGACGACCAAACGAUCGGCCCAGCCCGGACGUCCGACGAUACCUGACGAAACUGAUUUUUUUUUCAGUUUAGUCACCACCACCGCCCCACAUUUCCGCAUACGCACUCCAACCACCUAUACACCAUCACCACUUCCGCAUACCACCACCAUUGCUUACUCGUUUCACACUCUGACGUGUUUUGUCAUUUAGAGCUUUGAUAAUUUGAGUUGUGGUUCCAUAUCCUUUUGUGUUUCGGCUAUCUAGGUACGGUUCGACAUCAACAUCACCGCCGCUCAUCUUCGCCACGGACGCGUCAUCAACAACAACCAGCUCGACUACAUCUUGGUAUUCGUGCCACCAUUUUGACACCAUACCGUAAGCAAGAACGGUAACCUCGUCUUGGUAUUGGACAUAUCACUCUUGCCAUUACAUUGAUAGCAAUCAUAGACUUACUCCUUUGCGUCGCUUACCCAUCGAGACUAGCCGUUGAGUAUUGCCGGCAACGUGACUUGUGCACAUUUGUGAUCAUACUUCCCAUAGCAUACAUACAUCAUUGUUGCAUAUCUUGGUAUCAUCUCUUCUGUCACAAGGUUGUCAUCACAUACACAAUUGCUAUCUUGGUUCGUGAAGCAUUGCAUGAGAAAAGAGCUCAGACAACAAAGAUCCAAACAAGCUUUUAAGCAAAACGGAAAGAUAAGCAAAGAGCUUUUAAGCAAAAACCAUAGCAUCAUACAACAUUAAGAUUGUCAUAUUAGAUCAUCUUGGAUCAUAUCAUAGAAACACCUUGCAUAGAGCAUACUUGGGAUAGAAGUCGUUGCAUUUUUGCUUAGUAGGUUGUGCACAAGUCUUUGUAUCCGCCUGUUGUGCAAUCGUGCUAGCGUCUCUCUAGUGUUGUGCAAUAAGAGCAUUUUUGUGGAUUCCACAUUUUGGCUCACCCUUGGUUGCACGACCCCACCUAUCUUUUUGCGUGUGUGUUUCCGUGUACCUUAUAUUGCUUGGUCUACUUGUUGCAUUGCAAUCUUGUGAAUCUUUUCCAACAUUAUUGAAGCUCACUUACAAUUGCAUUAAAUUUUGUGCCACCAUCCUAACCAAGCUCCACCAUAAGCUUUUACUUGUGUAGGUGUGAGAAACCGACAAGAAUUGGUACCAAUUGUAGUAUUUCCUUGUCCACAUUGGAGUGAUCAUUGAUCCACUUUCAACUUCGGUCAAGGUACAUUUGGUAUUCGUUCUUCUCUUUCUACCACUCACAUUUUUCUCUUGGAAUGAUGGAUAGACCAAGUACUUCCACCAACCCACUCUUCAUUGAGCACGACGACGACAUGAACUCCUACGUCACCAAGAGCCACCUCUUUGGUGCACAACGUGCUUUGCAUCAAGAGCAACAAGCAAUGAGUGAACGCAUCUACAACCUCGCCGCCGACUUACGACUCUUCGAGCAACGUACAAGGGAGUACUUCGAACACAAGCUCGAUGAUCACAAGCAAGAGAACGGCGCAAGAAUGGACGAGAUUAGCGCUUUGUUUCUCAACCUCUCUUCUUCCACUUCGUCUUCAUCAAGAAGGAGCCGCUCAAGUCGACACUCUGACUUCACUCUUUCCGGCUCAAGUACACCGACAUCGAACACUCUUCGAUGUGCCGCGCGCAACGAUCCUCAAGCAAGCCUUUUUCCUCUACGCGAGAAAAACUCUCAAGAGCACCGACAAUGUCAAACCCAAGAGGCUUUUGCGCUAGCAUGAUAACGACAACGACAACGCCAACAUGAAGAGGAAGAGAGAGCGCGUCUACACCAAGAUGCAGAAGAUGCCGAGGCACAACGCCAAGAACAACAACUCCAUGAAGCUCAAGCACUUGCGGCGCAACAUGACCUUCAAGAUUCAAGUCGAGCCAUAGCCAACCGAGGCCGACAAGCUCGUGAACAUGAAGAAGCACUUCAUGAAGAAGCUCACGAAUGAAGAUUUCAAGCUCGCAUGCAUCAUCAAGUUCCUGAAGUUCCUCCUCGAGCUCGACAAGCUCCUCCACAAGCUCACCAAGAACAUCAAGUUCACCAAGAGCAUGAAGACAAUGGGAAUCCUCCACGACAAGAGCAACAUGAGGUCGACAACCCUCUUCUCCAAGAGCAACACGAGCUUGACAAUCAUCAACAACAUGGACGUCAUCAUCCCCGACCCCAACACAAUGAAGAGAAACGCUAUGGCAAGCUAAAGUUCACCAUGCCCAAGUUCAAUGGAAGCAACAAUCCCGAAGAGUACCUAUCAUGGUCAUUGAAGGUCGACAAAAUCUUUCGUUUGCACAACUAUGACGAAGAUAAGAAGAUUGUGAUGGCAUCCCUUGAGUUCCAAGACUAUGUCCUCAUUUGGUGGGAACAAGUUAUUGAGCACCGAGAGGCAAGAGGUGUGUCGGUGUCAAAACUGGCGGAUCUCGGGUAGGGGGUCCCAAACUAUGCGUCUAUGGCGGAUGGUAACAGGAGGCGGGGGACACGAUGUUUACCCAGGUUCGGGCCCUCUCGAUGGAGGUAAUACCCUACUUCCUGCUUGAUUGAUCUUGAUGAUAUGAGUAUUACAAGAGUUGAUCUACCACGAGACCGUAGAGGCUAAACCCUAGAAGCUAGCCUAUGGUAUGAUUGUUUUUCUCUCUAUCGACUAGCAUGGCCCUGGUUUAUAUAAUGCACCAGAGGCCUAGGAUAACAAGAGUCCUAGCCGAAUACGCCGGUGGGGGAGGAGUCCUUGUCUUGACCAUCAAGUCUUGUGGAAUCUUCCUUGUAUGUGGCAUGGGUUGUCCGAACUGGCCCAAUAGUGAACCACCAUGGGGGUCCUCGGCCUGAUACACCUGUUCGGUAGACGACGUGUUGAGUACCCCCUAGUCCAGGACACCGUCAGUAGCCCCCUGAACUGGUCUUCAAGUUGGGGACUCUCCUCGAUUCUUCCAAACUAUUCUUCAUCUUCGGUCGUCGGUCUUAAAAACUGGUUCAACAAAUCUUUCCAUCUUCGAUCUUGAGGAUCGCCAAAGUGAAUCCGAAGAGUUUAUGUGUUGGGUAUCCGAGGAGCCCCUUUAAGUUUCCGGCCUUUAUCCAUUCCUUGUUAUUUUUAUGCCACACCUCAGGUUUGAAGUUGUUCUCGGGUGGCAGUGUCCUCUUGCAUCCGAGCUCCAACGCCAGACUGCAUUCGAUAUAUCUUUUGCAGACGAGCACCAACACCGGACCGCUUUCCGAGCUCCAACGCCGGAAUGUAUCCGAGCUCCAACGCCAUACUAUGUCCAAGCUCCAACGCCGGACUGUAUCUGGGCUCCAACGCAGGACUAUAUCCAAGGUGUCAUAAAUCACCUUGGUUCAAAAAAGUUGAAGGAGUUUAGCCGAGCUUAAUGCCGGAAAUGCCCUCUAUGGAGCCAGCCACUCGCGCUCGAGCUUUAUGCCGGACUGCUUCCGAGGUGGUGCACCACCCCGACUGUGGGCUGAUUUUUUGUCAAUAUUUUUUAUUGGUGCAAUUUAUUAUCUGCCGAGAUAUAUAGCCAGUAGCCCUCAAGGUGUGUAUCGGUCUAAAACCCGAGAUGCGCCUGAAGGAUGACACAAGACCGCUGAUCCCAGUAGCCGCUGAGACUCAGGUUGAUUUGCAAAAUUGAUCUGAGGGUCAACAACUAGCUAGGCAGAAUACUUCGGGACACAAAAAGCGCUGUGCAGAGUCCUCGAGACUCAGGUUGGGUGUGGCCGACCAACCUGAGGAUCAUAAUCUCCUCGAAAACUAUAUUGCACUUAAAUUUUCUGCACUGGAUUGCCAAUGCAGUAGCCCCCGAGACACUGGUCGGGUGGCAACACCAGAUUAGGGGAUCGAUGUGCCCCUUUAAUAUUAGUAAAUGAUAAGCCAGAAGACCAGUAGCCCCCGAGCCUUAAUGCGGGCACGGGUGGCCAAAUUGAGGAUCGAUAUCCAUAGUAAAAUCACAAAUUAUGUGUAAUGACUCUAUGUAUCCAAGUACUUUACAUCAUUAAUGCUCGGAUCCGCAUUGUACAAAACUUUGUUGACCAACCAUCGGCUCCAACCUCUUCGGCCAGUAGCCAAGGAGUGUUUUCCUACUUUAUAAAGCUAUUUUAAGGGCAAAGAUUUAUGGAAAACAAGGCAAUCUGGCCAUACGGUUUUAUAAACAAAGGUACACGGAGAGAUAUGUUAUAUUACGUUUUAACGUAAGAAACAUCUUCCAAAGAAAAUAGUCCCGCUAUCGGUUCCUUUCUUUGGGUCUUCAUGCUUAUCAUGAUCAUGAAACCUCACCUCCGAUCAAUGUGGGAGGAAAAUAUUGAGGAUUUAGUUCGGGGAAAGUUCCCGAACUCUAUGGUACUAAUGAACCAAAAUUUUCACUUCCGUCAUUGCCGACCAAUGUGAUCCUUUAAGAUUGCUAGCUUUCGGCUUCACCCACUCUACGGUACUUACUCGGAUGACCCGGUAGUAACAAUCACAGAGGUGCUCCCUUUACCGCCUAGCCGAACAAUCGGGGACGUAGGGGUAAGCACAGGAGCCAGGCAACCCAGCUUGGCCAAAAUCUUAAGUCAAAUUGAUGCAUGUUUAUGGCUUUAUAUAAUGAUAAUUAUGGAAGGCAACACUUGUAUAAUGAAUACAAAUGCUGAUGAUAUAUACUUAUUUUGACUCCAUUGCGACCGUUUAUCAGUUGAAAGUGGCCCAUCGUCGGCUUCUACCCCCUUGUAGAUACUACACAGGGUGUUUCUGCAAUAACUACACAACCCUUUAGCCGACGUCUCGGUGCCCGGAGGCGGUUGUGUUAGCAGAAACGAGGCAAUCAAAUAUCUUAGCUUUAUAAAUUUAAACUUAGUCAUAGGAGCUUUAAACUAGGGAAGCUAGCUUCGAGCCCCCGGUUAGUGUUCGGCGAUAGCUGAGGUCAAACCGUAAACACUUCGGCCAAUGUUAUGAACGGCCCAUCAUUUAACACGGUCAUCAGAUCACUGACCAGUUUGCGCUUAUUGUGAAAGUCAGUUUUCUGCUUUCUCCACUGAGGUGCUUAUCCAUGCGAGAUGGAAGCACAAUCGCAGUGGUUCUCCCGUUGCACACCUAGCCGAACAAAGCGGAAUAUAUGAGUGAAGCACAGGAGUCGGGCAACCCAACUAUUGACCGAAGACACAAUUCGAAACCGAUGCAUAUAUAGCAAUAUCCGAGAAUGUUUUUGGCGAAUCUCUAAAGAUGUCCAGCAUUGCACUGCGAGACUUGUGCUGAAAACUCACAAAUAGUUUAAAAGUGCCAUAAGCUUGGAAAACCAAAAAUCGUCAGUAAAAACUUGACGUCCGAACAAGAUCAAGUGUUUGGUGCCAAUCCAAAAAUUGGAAAAAAAUAAAAAAAUUGUGCUUCUGUCGUGCUUUAACAUGACACACCUGAUCUCAACACUUCAAGCGGGCCAGCUAACGGCUUCGAGCUCCUUAUCUCAAAGGCAGAGUACUUCUUUGAGGCCAGUUUAGCGAACUAAACUCGAGCGGUAGAAAAAGACUUUGCAACGGCCAAGAAGAAAACACAUUUACUAUUAAACAACUCAUAUAAAUUUUAAGAGCCCCCAAGUGACUUGGGUAAAAGAAUUUUAUGUAUAAUGAUUGUAUGUACCGAAGUACUUAUAUCAUAUAUGUGUUCACCCGAACUUUAAACGCGUCUUAACCGACCGUCAGCUUCUCCCUCUUCGGCCAAGGGUCGAAAAGUGUCAUGUACUCCACCUGUCGACAGUAUCGACGAUGUUUCCAAUGACCAGGAAAUCAGGCCAUAAGGCUAUAACAGACAAAGAGCGCUCAGGGAACUUAUGCUAUAUUACUGACGAAGUGUAAGAAGAAUCUUCGAAGAAAAUAGUAUCCCCACCGAUACCUUUCUUCGGUGCUCAUUAUUACUAUGAGACUUGUGCAAUAGAUUUUUUGUACUCAUGAGUUCCAUUGUACACCGACCAUGAUUGAAAACAAUAAGAGCGCUAGCUUUCGGCUUCACCCAGUCUAAGGCCAGAGCUCGGAUGACCCGGUCGUGACAAUCGCAGAGGAGCUCCCUUUACUCCCUAGCCGAACAAUCGGGAACGUAGGGGUAAGCACAGGAGCCAGGCAACCCAGCUUGCAAAUCGCUUAGGUCAAUAUGGUGGAUAUUGUGGCGUAAUACACAAAUAAGGAACGAAGCCGUACAAGUACAAUCAUAUGCAAGAGGAAAAGCUCCAUCAAGGGAGCCCCCAAACGAACGGGGUAUUUGAAUAUGCGCGUCACAAAAAAAGUUUUGACAAGGAACUUUGUCACAAAUAACUUUGUGCCAAAAAGUAUAAUGGUUGGUCGAAAUGAACAAAAUUUAAAAUUGAAAGUUUUUAAGCAUGAAAGCAACUUAGCUGGUUAAUGUGCUCGGUGUUGAUGACGCGAUUCGGGCUUGUGGCGGGACGAAGACGCCCAUUGAUCUAUGACAGAUCCGACAAGGUUCGCAGUCCUCAGCAUGGCCGAGGUCCCAGCCCCCAGGCCCGAGGUGUCCGAGCAAGGAGUUCGGCACUCUGGAGUAAUGACCACCUAACGCAGUCAAAAUCGAUUACCUGCACACAUGAAACAAUGCGGUGUAGGAAAUAAUAAUAAUAUAUAUAUAAUCCUUGUAUAAUUGCUUUAUGCAAAAAUAAUUUAUUUAAAGAAAUGUGGCCUGGCGCCGAAGCCAAUGUCGAUGCAGGGCGUCAGCGGACGCAGUGAAGGCAUGACAAAGUCUGAAUUUGCAGGACGGUCCGGGCUCCGGAUGCGGUGUUCGCCGAACUAUGUACGGAAAAUGAUCGAACCACCACGCGACCGUUUUUAAUGUGGCCACCAUUUGAUAGACCUGUGUAAAGAUGAUGGAACAAAUCAGAGUAAUAAUUCCUUAAGAAGAAUAAACCCAACAAGAAAAAAUUGUUAGAUUAAUAGCACCUAGUUUAUUUUUUGUAGCAUUCCGAAGAAAAGCGACUCCCAAAAUCGGGAAUCGAUCCGCACACCCAUUUUCUGAUGGACGAUAAAGUAAUGGCCUGGUGAUGCUGGCAAAGGUUGGCUUGCCGAGGCGAAGCCCUCAGUCCAGCUAACGUGACGAAGCUGGUCGGCUGGUGACACCGAAGUCACCGGAGUAUUUUGAUGAAGAAAUAGCCAAUUCCUCGGUCCAGCCGAGGUGACAGAGCAGGCCGGUGAGGAGUUGUUGUAGCUGCCAUGUCAGCCGACGUGUUGAAGUAGUUCGGCGUGAUGGACAUUGGCUCGAAGAAGCGACAGUGCGGCCAUGCCGACCCAGGUCGUAACUUGUGACGCGAGCAAUGCUGGUUUGAUGAAGUGACCAUGCGGUGAUGCCAGUGUGCCUGUUCCGUGUAAUCCAUGGGGCGGCGAUGUUUGUGAUGAUUUAUCCUUGGCGAUUCCAAACUCUUAUUCGGCUCGCCAAGGUGAGGAUCCGAAGAAGUUGAGCUCGGCUUAAAAAGCGACGCCAUGUCUUGUCACACCCUAGCUAGUUCAAGCAUUAGAGUGUGCAUCAUGUUUAAAUUCCUCUUAAAUUCGAAAUGGUGAAGACAGAACCCCCAGCACCCCCCCUGGAACAACUAGGGUUUACUAAAAACUUUUCCAAUGAACCUGAAAUGCCCUUCUAAAAAGCCCACCCUUUAUGUUUUGGGUUAAAACCUUUGACAAAAAUGGUGCACAUUUUUCUAGGACAUCAAAGGUCAUUGGAUUAAUCCUUAUGGUAUUUGCAUUUGGGCAUUUAAAUGCUAUAAAAUAUUUUAAAUGCUCAAAUAAUCAUAAACUAAAAUGUUGCUGUUGGAUAUAUUCUAAGCAGUGGCCAUGAUUAAUUUUAUGAUUUUUGGUAAUGCCCUGGCAUUUUUAAUAAAGCACUGAAGUUACAGAAAUAUUAAAUAAAUAAAAAAACAGAAAAGGAGAGAAAGAACAGGGACUUACCUGGCGCAGCCCACCAGCCCACCCGGCUCGGCCCAGUCCACUGGCUCAUGCCAGUCGUUCCCCUCCUCUCGCCAGGAGGACGAGGAGCGCGUGGCCGGCGCCCGCGGCCACACGCCGGCCACCUCCUGCUUCCGCCGACGCCCUCGAGGCGUCCACGAGUGCCACGCCGACUCCCACGUCAACCUCACUUUCUUCCCACUCUCCUCGUGGCCUCUCCCCCUCUCUGGCUCUCUCCCCAUCUUCCUACUGAGCGCAGCCGUCGCCGCCGACAAGCUUCACCGCAACCACCGCCGUCCAUUUGUUGCCCCGUCAUGCCAGGAAGCUCCGCCGUCGUCGACUACAUCAAGUAGGCCGAGCCCCGAGCGCUCGCUCGCCCCGGAGACGCUGCACCGAGCUCGUCCUCAACUCCGGCCACCGGAGAUCCCCUUCGCCGCCCCGCUCGCUCCAGCCCUUCCCCGAGCUCGCUGUUCGCUCCCCUGCAACUGCUGUGAGCUCCGCCACCGUUUCCCCCUCUCCCCGCGCUCGUCCGUGUCCUCUAACCACCUCUGCCAUCGAAGCCGAAGCUCGCCGCCGCCACCGCACGUUGCCGUCGUGGCCAUAGCCACGUUUGGAUGCCACCGAGCACGCCUUCGUCUUCCACGCACUCGCAGGAGCCCGUAGCACCCCCGCACGCCCCUCACUGUGCCCCCUAGCGACUAGCUCGACCUCACCCGAGCUCCGGCCGCCGCCAAACUCAUCGCCGGCGACGUUUCCGGCCACCCCAGCUCCACCCACUGCCACCACUCGACGCGGCUUACUCCCUGCAUCACGUAGAUAGUCUCCGCCGCCCAUUUGGUCGCCGGAGUGCAAAUCCCGCACUGCUCCGCCGCGUCUGGCCUCGCCGGCGGCUAAACGCCGGCGAGUUUGACUCUGUUUGACCCCUAUGUGUGCCCAGGUUGACCCCCUUGAGUCUAUGACAGGUGAGGCUGGUCUGCUAAUUAGUUUAGGAUUAGUUUUAACUAAUUUUAAUUAGUUUAGUCACUGACAUGUGGGCCUAGGCCCCACUGACAGCUAACUAGUGUUAAUUUAAUUUUUUCAAUUAGUUGAGUCACUGACAGACAGGGCCCACCAGUCAGGUUUGACCUGGCCAACCCAGUUGACCACUGACGUCACACCUAUGUCAUGCUGACGCAUAAUUUAAUUACUGGAUUUAUUCUUUAAUAGGAAAUUCCAAAAAAUAGCCAAAACUUCUAAAAAUCAUAGAAAAUCAACUAUAGCUCCAAACGCAAAGAUUUAUAUAUGAAAAAUGAUCAGAAAAAUUCAAUCUAUCCAUCUGUAAUGGUUUCAUGCAUGACAAAACAAGUUAACCUUGUUGUUUAAGUAGAAUAAGAUAAUGCACUAAUAAGGCCAUGUUAAAUGAGCUAACAUUUGAAUCUUUGAUUCAAAUGAGUUCAUUCCAUCCUGUUUUAGCUUGCAUUAGGCCAAGACACAUUCAUUUUGCCAUGUCAUAGCAUGCAUCAUACUGUUGCAUAUUUUCAUGUGUUGAUUAUGUUCGGUGUAUCUUUCGUGGUAGGUUCCGCCUUCGAGGAUAACCCCGAGUAUCCGUCAGAAGGGCAGUACCCUACUACCACUACAACAUGCAAGCAACCAUUGAUCAUUCCGAUACAAACCCAUGUUCUUGCUUCUGCUCUUGUUUACUGCAUUAAGACAACACGAUUCAAACUGCUGUGUGCUACGGUAGUUGAACCCUUAUCCUCUGCACGACCUGUCAUUGCCACAGUAACUAGAUGAAACCCACUAGCAUGUGUAGGAGUUGAUUGAGCCAUGUAUGUGAUUCCUACCUUGCUAUGCCUGCUAUGCUUAGAGUUGUGUCAGGUCUGGUCCAUCUGGGUGAUGGGCUAGAGUGAAAUGGUUAUAUCGGUAAUGUGAGGGAUGUGAUGAACAUGAUUUGGUAAAGGUAUCGAUGAGAGGCCAUGUAGGAGUACAUGGUGAGUUGUUUCAUUGAGGCCGUCCAUAAGAACUGAGAUCUGUAUGUGUGAUUUAAGAUGCAGUUACUACCAUACAUUGGGCUCGAAACCAAUGGACCCUCUCGGCUUCUUAUUCACCCUAGUACUCUGUCCAGGAGUUGCAAAUAGUUUCUGGUAUUUGUAGGUUAUGUGUUGGCGGCCGUGCGUAGCACUGAUCCUAGGGGUGGGCUAUGUUGCGGUAGAUACACCAUGGCACGGUGUACCGAGUUGCCCGUUUGGUGUCUCGGGAACCCUGUUCACAUCGUUCGGGGCCGUAUGUGGAAACCUCGGCCGGACUCCCUGCGGAUGGAACCUAGAUAGGCGAUACACAUGGACUAGAGACUUGAGUGUUUGGGUAGGCCGUGGCCGACACCCUCGUUGGGCUUCCGCUUGAAGGUUGCCGAGUACAUGUCGUGUAAACAGCGGUAAGUGAUGAAACCGUGUAUGAAGAAGUACACCCCUGCAGGGUAUAAAACUAUUCGAAUAGCCACAUCCGCGGUAAAGGACUACUUGGUUGCCUAUACAGUUCAUAGACAAGUUAAUGGUUACUACUAAAAGACUCAAGAUAAGUGUGAGUACCGAGGAUGGCCCUCUCGUAGGAUGAUGAGGGAGGAUCCCCGGUGGAGUAUUGUGUUGGUGAGUAGUGGACUCGUGUGCGAAAACUAUUUUACUAGUGGAGUUCCGUAGGAUAGCCUAGCCAAGAGUCAAAGCUGGCUUGCUGCAAUAACCCCACCACCUUCUUGAGAAUGAGCAUGUAUAGUAGGUUCUGUUGUAAGACUUGCUGAGUACCUUUGUACUCAUGUUUGCUUAAUUACUAUUUUCAGACGACAACACCGCCCCCUCCGAUGGGUUCUACGUAGACCUUGAUGUCGACGAGUGACUAGCCACCCAGGUGGUGAUCCUGGCCAUGGAGGGGCCUAUGUAGAUAGACAGGCUACGAAAGCCUUCUUGCUUUCUAGUUCUGUACCCAGACUAUUUACUUCCGGUUGUGCUUGUAUGAUUGUAUGACUUGAGUGUUGGGUCGUGUGACCCCUACUUGUAUGAACAUGUUAUGUAUGGCUGUCUGGAGCCUUUAAAUAAAGUACUUGAGUUGUAGAGUUUUGUUGUGAUGCCAUGUUGUAUGUACUCAUGUCGGGCAUAUUGUGUGUAUGAUUGAAAUGCUUGGUAUGAGUGGGAUCUGACAAUCUAGUUGUUUAUCCUUGGCAGCCUUUCUUAUGGGGAAAUGUAGUCUAGUGUUCCUCGAGCCAUAGUAGUCCGCUACAGCCCGGUUCACUGGAGUCCUGCUAGCCCAGCACUACUGCUCAGGACACUUGACUGGCCGGCAUGUGUUUCACUUCGUUCCUAUGUCUGUCCCUUCGGGGAAAUGUCACGCGGUGACAUCCGGAGUCCUGCCUAGCCUGCUACAGCCCGAGUUCCCCGGAGUCCUGUUAGCCCAGUGCUACAGCCCGGAAUCACUCGCUGAUGACCGACAUGCUCGAUGUGAUUCAUGUAUUCCUGUCUCCAUAGGCCUGUGCCGCUUUGGGUUCACGACUAGCCAUGUCGGCCCGGGUUCUCUGUCAUAUGGAUGCUAGCGACACUAUCAUAUACGUGAGCCAAAAGGCGCAAACGGUCCCGGCCAUGGUAAGGCGACAACCGUGGGAUACCGUGCGUUAGGCCGCAAUGUGAUAUGAGGUGUUACCAGCUAGAUCGAUGUGACUUGGAAUCGGGGUCCUGACAGCGUUGGCAUCAGAGUUGGACUGCCUGUAGGUUCGUUGAGCCAAACUGGUCGAUGUCGAGUCUAGAAAUGCUUUAGUUAUAUGUAGGGGAAUUGAUUGUGGGAGGGAACGUAAGGCUCUUUUACUCCUUUACCAUAUGCCCUCUGAUCUGAGUUAUUUUCUUCUCAUUCAACAUGGGUUAAGGACUAGGCUCUCUUCUUCUAUCAGGUUCACGUGUUACUAAUCCGUAGUAGCUUAUAGGAUUGUUGUUACAAGCCUCAGUACAGUUCCUACUAUUUUUAGUAUGUUGCCAAUUGAAUCAGAACCUUGAUAUGAUGUUGUUGAGUGGUAUUGCAAACUGUUGUGAAUGUCUCAAAUCUUUUUCUGAGCAUUUACAGCCGUUAUGCUGUCCAAUUUCCCCCAGAAAUUCUAAUGUCUUUGCAUUGUGAUUGUGCUUUCAGAUGGCCACUCGUGCUCAAAACCAAGUGGUUCGCCUGACCCGGUGCCUCGAUGUGCCCGGUCAUACUGCUAUGUUAGUCCGGGUAAUGAUCGAGACGGGUUACCAUUGGUAUCCCGAAUACACUGUCGAAGAGCAGUUUCGAGACUUUAAUCAAAGCCAAUAUUUCUGCACCGUCAGGAUAUUUCCUUCUUAUCCUGGAUCUAUCGAGCCCCUCCACUGUUCCUACGGACUCGGGGUUACUGUUGAGAUGGCUGUGCAAGAUGCUGCCUAUUCCAUGAUGACCAUCAUGCGAGUCCGGACUGGCCUGCUUCGGAACACCGACUUCCGUUACAUGCCAGCUUCACUUCCGGGAGCGCAAGGGUAUCUUCAGGCUAUCUAUGCUGACUCCACUCAGGAGGACUCAUUAACUCGUACCACUGCCGAGAUGCUCGAAGAUAAGGACCGAGAGAAUCGGGCCUUGAGGCUGGAGCUUUUCAAUACCCGUGCUGAUCAUUGGGCCACAUUGACUCGGUUUGCACCUGCGGUGCAAGCUGGAUGUAUGGAUACAAGGGAUCUGUAUCCCGUGAGAUCUGCUCUGCCAGACAUGGUGGAUUGGCGUGAUGUGGGAGGCAUCACCCCACCCCAUGGUCCCCGCAGGCCACCGUUUGUUGGUCCAAGACCUCACCCUAGCCCCUUUGGUCCACAAGCUCCUCAGGACCGUCUGUUCCCGGAUGAUCAUGUUGAACUUCCAGGCUAUGGAGGUGACUUCUAUGAGGACUACUACGGAGCCGUCUGAGUUAGCAGCAGUACCACUAGUAUUGUAAUAGUUGUAUCUUCACUGUCCUGCGUGACUUGUGGAAUAUGACUUUGUGUGUAAUCGAUUCUGGAGGUGUAGACAAAUAAUGUAUAGGAGCUUGGAAUGCCUCCGAUGAGAUGUAAUGUCUUCCACCGUAGUUGUACUCUAGCCUGGGCUUGUACUAAAUUAUGUACAGUGUGUAUGACCAAUGGUAUAUAUAUGGCAGUUUCUAUAUUACCAUGUCGUACAAUGAACAUCUUAGCAUUCCAUGUUAUCCAUUACAUUCUGCACUUCCUUGCUAAGUUGUGCCAUCCUUAUCUAAACCAUUGUCUUGUUUUCUCCUAGGAUGGUCAACACCCGCAGCAACCCUGCUGCCCCGGAGCAGGGGGAAGCCAGUGCAGCUAGGGGUGAAAAUCUGCCUCACCCGCCUUCCCUGGCCGAAGUGAUGCUGGAGGCGGAAAGAAACAAGCGUGAGACUAACCGCCUGCUGGAGCGGAUUGAGCAGAACACUGCACGCCAUCCGCAAAAUGACUUGGUGUCAAUCAAUGACUUUAUCAAGCUGUACCCACCAAAGUUUAACCAUUCCGUCGAGCCCCUCGACGCGGAUGACUGGCUUCGCAGCAUCACCCACAAGCUACGUUCUACCAACGUGGCCGAAGCUGAUAAAGUUACUUACGCUGCCUACCAUCUCGAAGGCCCUGCUAGCCUCUGGUGGGAAAAUUUUGAAGCUAUGCGCCCGGUCGGCCAAAUCACUACUUGGGCUGAAUUCAGUGAGGCUUUCCGUGAGCAUCACAUUCUGGAAGAACUCAUAGAUCGUAAGAGGGAGGAGUUCUGCAAUUUCACCUAAGGAAGACUGACUGUGGAUGCAUAUAGCUGUGAAUUUGGGAAUCUGGCACGUUAUGCUCCUGAAGAAGUAUCUACGGACGCUAAGAAGCAGGCAAGGUUCCGCAAGGGCCUUAGCCCUGAGCUUCGCCGUGAUCUUCGUCUGCACGAGUGCACAUCCUUCCAGAAGUUGGUCAAUAAAGCCAUCAGCGCUGAGACAGGCCAGUCUGACUAUGAUGCUUCACGCAAACACUCACGAGAUUUUGGCUCUUCAUCCGGCUCUGGAGCUCAGAAGCACCAGGUGUGGAUCCCAAGCACGGCACUGCCACCCAGGUUCAUUCCGAGGCCAUCCUUUGAGGUGCCUCGUCCUAACCAGCAGUUUGCACCGCCCAAGCCCUAUGGUGGCCCCACUGCUAAUGCUGCUCCACGCCCCAAUGUGGUGACAUGCUUCAAGUGUGGAGAGCCGGGUCACUAUAGUCGAGAGUGUCCCCAGAACAACCCCAAUCAAACUGGAAAGUCCGUUGGCCGUGGUAAGCCAGCGGGAAAGACAUUCUACGCCAAGUCGGUCACCACUGCACGUGGCCAUGUCAACUAUGUCUCAGCCGAGGAGGCUCACGAGGAUCCUAAUGUCGUCCUUGGUACGCUCCUUGUUAACUGCCAUCCGACAUCUGUUCUUUUCGAUACUGGAGCAUCUCAUUCAUUCAUAUCCGAGAACCAUGCUCGAUUGCAUAACAUGACAUUCUGUGACAUGCCCACUUCCAUGGUAAUUCAAACUCCAGGUUCCAAAUGGCAAACUUCUAGAGUAAGCCAUGGGAACGAAAUUCUUGUCGAUAGACUUGUCUUCCUUGCAUCCUUAAUAGCUCUCAAGUCCUUGAACAUAAACUUCAUCUUGGGUAUGGACUGGAUGUCAGCUCAUUAUUCUAAGAUUGAUUGUGCCACUAGAACCGUUCAACUUACUCAUCCAUCGGGCAAGACAGUCAAUGUCUUAACUCGAGUGGCCAAGCGCCAGCUUUAUUCCCUAAAUGCCAACCCCUUCCAGACCUUGAGGAUGUUCUGGUAGUCCGGGACUUCCCGGAUGUCUUUCCCGAAGAACUGCCAGGUGUUCCACCUGACAGGGAUGUCGAGUUCGUGAUAGACCUUGUCCCAGGAACCGUUCCAAUUUCUAGGAGGCCCUACAAGAUGGCACCCUUACAACUAGCCGAGCUUAAGAAUCAACUCGAUGAGUCCUUGAAAAAGGGUUUCAUCCGUCCUAGUUCCUCUCCUUGGGCUUGCCCCGUCCUCUUCGUCAAGAAGAAGGAUGGAACGGAUCGAAUGGUUGUAGAUUACCGACCUGUCAACCUGGUCACCAUCAAGAACAAGUAUCUGCUUCCUAGGAUCAACGAUCUGUAUCAUCAGCUCGCUGGAUCCUCAAUCUUUUGCAAGAUGGAUUUGAGGUUAGGCUACCAUCAGAUCAAAAUCAGAAACGGGGACAUUCCCAAAACGGCCUUUGUUACUCGUUAUGGCCAAUACGAGUACACCGUUAUGUCCUUCGGUUUAACCAAUGCCCCAGCUACCUUCUCUCGGUUAAUGAACUCGUCCUUCAUGGAGUACCUGGAUAAAUUCGUCAUAGUAUACCUCGAUGACAUACUCAUCUACUCCAAGAAUGAAGAGGAACAUGCCGAACAUCUAAGGCUGGUAUUGAUGAAACUUCGAGAGCAUCGCCUUUAUGCCAAAUUCUCCAAGUGUGAAUUUUGGUUGCCAGAAGUGACCUAUCUAGGCCAUGUAAUCUCUGGUAAGGGUAUUGCUGUCAAUCCCGAGCGAGUUCAAGCCGUCCUUCAUUGGACUCCACCUAAGACGGUCAAGCGAGUUCGGAGUUUCCUUGGCUUAGCGAGCUAUUGCCGCCGCUUCGUCGAGAAUUUCUCCAAGGUUGCUAAACCUCUAACUGAACUCCUCAAGAAAGAUAAAAGGUUCGAGUGGACUCCAAAGUGCGAGUUCAGUUUUCAGGAACUGAAAAGACGCCUGACAUCUGCUCCCGUACUGGUACCACCAGAUUUCUCCAAGGACUUCAUUAUCUAUUGCGACGCCUCGCGAUAAGGACUAGGUUGCAUACUCAUGCAGGAUCGUCAGGUAAUUGCCUAUGCUUCACGACAAUUACACCCACAUGAGGAAAACUAUCCCACACAUGAUCUAGAGCUUGCAGCUGUAGUCCAUGCACUCAAAACUUGGCGACAUUACCUCCUUGGUAAUCGUUGCGAGAUCUUCACUGAUCACCAAAGUUUGAAAUAUAUCUUCAGCCAACCGGAUUUGAAUCUCAGGCAAGGACGUUGGGUCGAGUUGAUCUCGGAUUACGACUUAGGAAUAACUUACACCCCGGGCAAAGCCAAUGUCAUGGCUGAUGCACUAAGUCGUAAAUCUUAUUGUAACAACCUGAUGUUACACCAAAGCCAACCACUUCUCCACGAGGAAUUUCGUAAGCUCAAUCUUCACAUUGUUCCUUGAGGAUUCCUAUCCACACUAGUGGCGAAACCUACCCUUACGGAUCAGAUCAUCAAGGCACAGAAGGUAGAUCCGGGAAUCUCCCGUAUUAAGAGAAACGUUAAGAAAGGAGUCGCGAAUUGUUUCUCUGUUGAUGAUCAAGGUGUCGUAUACUUUGGAAACCGCUUAGUGGUUCCAAAGGCACGAAACCUGAGGCGGCUGAUCCUUAAGGAAGCUCAUGAAUCCCCUCUCACCAUUCAUCCCGGUAGUACUAAAAUGUAUCAAGACCUACGCCAGAGGUUUUGGUGGACUAGGAUGAAGAGAGAAAUCGCUCAAUACAUUGCUAAUUGCGACGUUUUUCAUCGUGUUAAAGCAGAGCAUCAAUGACCUGCUAGCACCCUUCAACCUUUGGCUAUUCCUGAGAGGAAAUGGGAUAAAAUCAGUAUGGAUUUCAUCACUGGGUUUCCCAGGACCAAGAGAGGGAAUAAUGCCAUCUUCAUCGUGAUCGACCGCCUUUCCAAGGUAGCCCAUUUCCUACCUGUUCGUGAGAGUAUCACCGCUUGCCAGCUAGCUGAGUUAUACAUCUCCCGAAUAGUGUCACUUCAUGGUGUCCCAUUGGAAAUUAACUCAGACCGUGGGAGUCUCUUCACCUAUCGAUUUUGGGAAAGUUUCCAAAAUACUAUGGGAACUCGUCUCUCUUUUAGCACCGCCUUCCAUCCUCAAUCAAGUGGUCAAGUAGAGCGAGUCAAUCAAAUUCUGUAAGAUAUGCUCCGAGCUUCUGUCAUCUCGUUCGGAAUGGGUUGGGAGAAUUUCCUUCCAUUCGCGGAGUUUGCUUAUAACAAUAGUUAUCAAUCUAGCUUGGGCAAGGCUCCUUUCGAAGUUCUCUAUGGACGAAAAUGUCAAACGCCUCUUAACUGGUCAGAAACCGGGGAAAGACAACUCUUUGGCCUGGAUAUGAUUCAGGAAGCAGAAGGGCAGGUUCGCAUUAUUAGUGAGAAAUUGAAAAUAGCCCAAUCUCAUCAAAAGAGUCAAUAUGAUCGUAAACAUAAGCUUAUGACUUAUGAAGUCGGCGAGAAGGCUUACCUUCGGGUUACUCCGUUAAAGGGAACCCAUCGUUUCAGUAUCAAAGGCAAAUUGGCUCCUCCUUGCAUCGGACCCUUUCGCAUUCUUGCUAAACGAGAAGUUGCCUACCAAUUGGAACUACCUUCGCAUCUUUCCAGAGUUCAUGAUGUCUUCCACGUUUCUCAACUCAGGCAUUGCUUCGCGGAUCCUAUCCAUGGAGUGGACCACGAAACGCUUGAUUUACAAGAUAACCUCUCAUAUCGGGAAUAUCUCGUUCGUAUCCUUGAUCAAGCCGAGUGUACCACUCGAUGCCAUAAUAUCAAGUUUCUCAAGGUUCAAUGGUCACACCAUUCCGAGAAAGAAGCCACUUGGGAAAGGGAGGAUCGUCUUCGACUCGAGUACCCCACCUUCUUUCCGGAGGAUCCUAAAUCUCGGGACGAGAUUCUUUUGAGUGGGGGUGAGUUGUCACACCCUAGCUAGUUCAAGCAUUAGAGUGUGCAUCAUGUUUAAAUUCCUCUUAAAUUUGAAAUGAGGAAGACAGAACCCCCAGCACCCCCUGGAACAACUAGGGUUUACUAAAAACUUUUCCAAUGAACCUGAAAUGCCCUUCUAAAAAGCCCACCCUUUAUGUUUUCGGUUAAAACCUUUGACAACAAUGGUGCACAUUUUUCUAGGGACAUCAAAGGUCAUUGGAUUAAUCCUUAUGGUAUUUGCAUUUGGGCAUUUAAAUGCUAUAAAAUAUUUUAAAUGCUCAAAUAAUCAUAAACUAAAAUGUUGUUGUUGGAUAUAUUCUAAGCAGUGGCCAUGAUUAAUUUUAUGAGUUUUGGUAAUGCCCUGGCAUUUUUAAUAAAGCCCUUAAGUUACAGAAAUAAUAAAUAAAUAAAAAACAGAAAAGGAGAGAAAGAACAGGGACUUACCUGGCGCAGCCCACCAGCCCACUCGGCUCGGCCCAGUCCACUGGCUCAUGCCAGUCGUCCCCCUCCUCUCGCCAGGAGGACGAGGAGCGCGUGGCCGGUGCCCGCGGCCACAUGCCGGCCACCUCCUGCUUCCGCCGACGCCCUGGAGGCGUCCACGAGUGCCACGCCGACCCCCACGUCUCCCUCACUUUCUUCCCACUCUCCCUGUGGCCUCUCCCCCUCUCUGGCUCUCUCCCCAUCUUCCUGCCGAGCGCAGCCGUCGCCGCCGACAAGCUUCAUCGCAGCCACCGUCGUCCAUUCGUUGCCCCGUCCUGCCAGGAAGCUCCGCCGUCGUCGACUACAUCAAGUAGGCCGAGCCCCGAGCGCAUGCUCGCCCCGGAGACGCUGCACCGAGCUUGUCCUCAACUCCGGCCACCGGAGAUCCCCUUCGCCGCCUCGCUCGCUCCAGCCCUUCCCCGAGCUCGCCGUUCGCUCCCCUGCAACCACUGUGAGCUCCGCCACCGUUUCCCCCUCUCCCCGCGCUCGUCCGCGUCCUAUAACCACCUCUGCUAUCGAAGCCGAAGCUCGCCCCUGCCACCGCACGUCGCCGUCGUGGCCAUAGUCACAUUGGGACGCCACCGAGCACGCCUUUGUCUUCCACGCACUCGCAGGAGCCCGUAGCACCCUCGCACGCCCCUCGCCGUGCCACCUAGCGACUAGCUCGACCUCACCCGAGCUCCGGCCGCCGCCAAACUCGUCGCCGACGAUGUUUCCGGCCACCCCAGCUCCACCCACUGCCACCACUCGACGCGGCUUCCUCCCUGCAUCACGUAGAUAGUCUCCGCCGCCCAUUUGGUCGCCGGAGUGCAAAUCCCGCACUGCUCCGCCGCGUCUGGCCUCGCCGGCGACUAGACGCCAGCGAGUUUGACUCUGUUUGACCCCUGUGUGUGCCCAGAUUGACCCCCUUGAGUCUAUGACAGGUGAGGCUGGUCUGCUAAUUAGUUUAGGAUUAGUUUUAACUAAUUUUAAUUAGUUUAGUCACUGACAUGUGGGCCUAGGCCCCACUGACAGCUAAUUAGUGUUAAUUUAAUUUUUUCAAUUAGCUGAGUCACUGACAGACAGGGCCCACCAGUCAGGUUUGACCUGGCCAACCCAGUUGACCACUGACGUCACACCUAUGUCAUGCCGACGCAUAAUUUAAUUACUGGAUUUAUUCUUUAAUAGGAAAUUCCAGAAAAUAGCCAAAACUUCUAAAAAUCAUAGAAAAUCAACUAUAGCUCCAAAUGCAAAGAUUUAUAUAUGAAAAAUGAUUAGAAAAAUUCAAUCUAUCCAUCUGUAAUGGUUUCAUGCAUGACAAAACAAGUUAACCUUGUUGUUUAAGUAGAAUAAGAUAAUGCACUAAUAAGGCCAUGUUAAAUGAGCUAACAUUUGAAUCUUUGAUUCAAAUGAGUUCAUUCCAUCCUGUUUUAGCUUGCUUUAGGCCAAGACACAUUCAUUUUGCCAUGUCAUAGCAUGCAUCAUACUGUUGCAUAUUGUCAUGUGUUGAUUAUGUUCGGUGUAUCUUUCGUGGUAGGUUCUGCCUCCGAGGAUAACCCCGAGUAUCCGUCUGAAGGGCAGUACCCUACUACCACUACAACAGGCAAGCAACCAUUGAUCAUUCCGAUACAAACCCAUGUUCUUGCUUCUGCUCUUGUUUACUGCAUUAAGACAACGCGAUUCAAACUGCUGUGUGCUACGGUAGUUGAACCCUUAUCCUCUGCAUGACCUGUCAUUGCCACAGUAACUAGAUGAAACCCACUAGCAUGUGUAGGAGUUGAUUGAGCCAUGUAUGUGAUUCCUACCUUGCUAUGUCUGCUAUGCUUAGAGUUGUGUCAGGUCUGGUCCAUCUGGGUGAUGGGCUAGAGUGAAAUGGUUAUAUCGGUAAUGUGAGGGAUGUGAUGAACAUGAUUUGGUAAAGGUAUCGAUGAGAGGCCAUGUAGGAGUACAUGGUGAGUUGUUUCAUUGAGGCCGUCCAUAAGAACUGAGAUCUGUAUGUGUGAUUUAAGAUGCAGUUACUACCAUACAUUGGGCCCGAACCAAUGGACCCUCUCGGCUUCUUAUUCACCCUAGUACUCUGUCCAGGAGUUGCAAAUAGUUUCUGAUGUUUGUAGGUUAUGUGUUGGCGGCCGUGCGUAGCGCUGAUCCUAGGGGGGGCUAUGUUGCGGUAGAUACACCGUGGCACGGUGUACCGAGUCGCCCUUUUGGUGUCUCGGGAACCCUGUUCACAUCGUCCGGGGACGUAUGUGGAAACCUCGGCCGGACUCCCUGUGGAUGGAACCUGGAUAGGCGAUACACCUGGACUAGAGACUUGAGUGUUUGGGUAGGCCGUGGCCGACACCCUCAUUGGGCUUCCGCUUGAAGGUUGCCGAGUACAUGUCGUGUAAACGGUGGUAAGUGGUGAAAGCGUGUAUGAAGAAGUACACCCCUGCAGGGUAUAAAACUAUUCGAAUAGCCGCAUCCACGGUAAAGGACUACUUGGUUGCCUAUACAGUUCAUAGACAAGUUAAUGGUUACUACUAAAAGACUCAAGAUAAGUGUGAGUACCGAGGAUGGCCCUCUCGUAAGAUGACGAGGGAGGAUCCCCGGUGGAGUAUUGUGUUGGUGAGUAGUGGACUCGUGUGCGAAAACUAUUUUACUAGUGGAGUUCCGUAGGAUAGCCUAGCCAAGAGUCAAAGUUGGCUUGCUGCAAUAACCCCACCACCUUCUUGAGAAUGAGCAUGUAUAGUAGGUUCUAUUGUAAGACUUGCUGAGUACCUUUGUACUCAUGUUUGCUUAAUUACUGUUUUCAGACGACAAGACCGCCCCCUCCGAUGGGUUCUACGUAGACCUUGAUGUCAACGAGUGACUAGCCACCCAGGUGGUGAUCCUGGCCAUGGAGGUCCCUAUGUAGAUAGACAGGCUAUGAAAGCCUUCUAGCUUUCUAGUGUCUGUACCCAGACUAUUUACUUCCGCUUGUGCUUGUAUGAUUGUAUGACUUGAGUGUUGGGUCGUGUGACUCCUACUUGUAUGAACAUGUUAUGUAUGGCUCUUUGGAGCCUUUAAAUAAAGUACUUGAGUUGUACAGUUUUGUUGUGAUGCCAUGUUGUAUAUACUCAUAUCGGGCAUAUUGUGUGUAUGAUUGAAAUGCUUGGUAUGAGUGGGAUCCAACAAUCUAGUUGUUUAUCCCUGGCAGCCUUUCUUAUGGGGAAAUGUAGUCUAAUGUUCCUCGAGCCAUAGUAGUCCGCUACAGCCAGGUUCACUGGAGUCCUGCUAGCCCAGCACUACUGCUCAGGACACUUGACUGGCCGGCAUGUGUUUCACUUCGUUCCUAUGUCUGUCCCUUCGGGGAAAUGUCACGCAGUGACAUCCGGAGUCCUGCCUAGCCUGCUACAGCCCGGGUUCCCCGGAGUCCUGUUAGCCCAGUGCUACAGCCCGGAAUCACUCGCUGAUGACCGACAUGCUCGAUGUGAUUCAUGUAUGCCUGUCUCCAUAGGCCUGUGCCGCUUUGGGUUCACGACUAGCCAUGUCGGCCCGGGUUCUCUGUCAUAUGGAUGCUAGCGACACUAUCAUAUACGUGAGCCAAAAGGCGCAAACGGUCCCGGCCAUGGUAAGGCGACACCCGUGGGAUACCGUGCGUGAGGCCGCAAUGUGAUAUGAGGUUUUAUCGGCUAGAUCGAUGUGACUUGGAAUCGGGGUCCUGACAGUGUCUAGUGCAGGUCGGCAGUCAUGGAGCUAUAUUGCCGGACUUGUUUGACACCAGCGUGAUGGCGAAAAUUACCUCAGAGAAGGAUUAAAAUUUCAUGGGCGCAUGUUAAAAACACCGCACAAUAUCUUAGAAGGAAAUUCCUUUUAAAAAGGUUAUCAAAUAUCACGUUCAUAAAGAAACAUGAAUUCGGGUCGGAUCCGUAUUCACGCAGGAAACAGAUCUGAAAAGUGAUGCACUAAUCGGAAUGUACCCGGAGUUUGGACGGUUAGAUCGAGCUGAAAUUUUAAGGGGUGGUAGAUAUGGGAAUUAUGCAGAAGAUGAAUGGUUGGAUUUUCCAAAGGACUUUCGAGCUGGACUCUAGAGACCACGCCCUAAACUCGUCCAGAUUCUCGUCUGGAUUUGACAGGGCUCCGGUAUAUCGUAGAUUGUCAGAGAUUCCUCCAUCGGAACUCGACCAAAUUUUCCAGGGUAGUUGUAGACUCGAUUCCGCACAAUUCCACCGAGGAGAUCGUUAAAAUGACACUCGAGGAGGCGGUGGCGGCGGAUACGCGUUCGCUGACCAGAAAAACAGCACGGUCGCCCGAGGGCAAUGUUGACGUUGAGCCCCCGAGCUCCAUGGACGAUUUCUCCAUGAUAUCAAUAGAGAUUGAAGUUGGUGUUGAUGAAGGCCCUCGUCCGAACAUGAUGAUCGGAGGCAGGGCACAGUUCUCGGUCAAGCCAAGGUGACCAAUCAAGCCGGUGAUGAAAAUGUUGAUGUCGCAGUUAAUCUGCAGACGAGCCAUCGAUCCUUUUGCCGAUCGCACAACGGAACUCUCAAUGAAAGCACCAAUGUCGGUGUCAAAACCGGCGGAUCUCGGGUAGGGGGUCCCGAACUUUGCGACUAAGGCGGAUGGUAACAGAAAGCGAGGGACACGAUGUUUACCCAGGUUUGGGCCCUCUUGAUGGAGGUAAUACCCUACUUCCUGCUUGAUUGAUCUUGAUGAUAUGAGUAUUACAAGAGUUGAUCUACCAUGAGAUCGUAGAGGCUAAACCCUAGAAGCUAGCCUAUGGUAUGAUUGUUUUUCUCUCUAUCGACUAGCCUGGCCCUGGUUUAUAUAAUGCACCAGAGGCCUAGGAUAACAAGAGUCCUAGCUGAAUACGCCGGUGGGGGAGGAGUCCUUGUCUUGACCACCAAUUCUUGUGGAAUCUUCCUUGUAUGCGGCAUGGGUUGUCCGAACUGGCCCAAGAGUGAACCACCAUGGGGGUCCUCGGUCUGAUACACCUGUUCGGUAGACAACGUGUUGAGUACCCCCUAGUUCAGGACACCGUCAAGGUGAACCACCCAUCACUACUUGGGCGCAAAUGAAGGAUGUCAUGAGAGCGCGCUUCGUACCUACCUACUACAACCGCGACCUCUUCAAGAAACUUCAACUAGUCAAGCAAGGAACCAAGAGCAUUGAAGAAUACUACAAGGAGAUGGAGAUUGCCAUGAUAAGAGCCAACGUCACGGAAGAUGAUGAGAAAACAAUGGCACGUUUCUUGAAUGGACUCAACCAUCCUAUCAAGAAGAUCGCCGACUUCCAACCCUACUCGAAUCUUCUUGAGCUAGUGCACCAAGCUACCAAAGUGGAACAUCAUGUGCAAGAUGAUUACAAGUAUGACAAGUUCUCAUCCAAGUCAUACGGCUUCUCCAACACCCAAGCUUCAACGACUCCAACACCGUCAACCAAGCCUUCUACAAGCAACAUCGACAAGUCGAGUUCCAAGAAAGCUUCGUCAACUCCAAGUCAUACUCCUACUACAAGCAAUUUCAAGCCGAAAACUUCAUCAUCAUCAACCCCCACUGAUGAGACUGUCAAGACAAGUUCCUUCAAAUGCUUCACAUGCGGAGGCCGAGGCCACAAGUCCUAUGAGUGCACUAACAAGCGGACCAUGAUCCUCAACGACGACGGCACUUACGACUCAAUGAGUGAAGGAGAAAUGGACGCCCUCGAGCAAGUCUCCAUGCACCGGCAAGUGAACGAUGAAGAAUAACAAGUCUUUUGCGAUGAAGAUUCAAGCCCCGCUCUUGUUUUCUCCAAGGUCUUGACUCUCCAACAUCACCAAGAAGAAAACCAACAAUGCCACAUCUUUCAUACCAAGGCCGGCAUCAAUGGACGAUCCGUCAAGGUCAUCAUCGAUGGAGGGAGUUGUCAUAACCUCGCAAGUGAAGAACUUUGCUCCAAGCUCCAAUUGCCCAAGACGAAGCACCCACAUCCAUACAAAUUUCAAUGGCUUAGCGACUCCGGCACUAUCCAAGUCAAGCAUCGAGUACAAGUCUCCUUCAAAAUUGGCGUAAAGCAUCUCAUAGACCAUCGGCAUUGCUACCUCUUGAGCACUGCGUUGGUUUUCCCCGAAGAGGAAGGGAUGAUGCAGCAAAGUAGCAUAAGUAUUUCCCUUAGUUUUUGAGAACCAAGGUAUCAAUCUAGUAGGAGGCUACGCGCGAGUCCCUCGUACCUGCACAAAACAAACAAAUCCUCGCAACCAACGCAAAUAGGGGUUGUCAAUCCCUAUAAGGCCACUUAUGAGAGUGAGAUCUGAUAGAUAUGAUAAGAUAAGAUUUUUGGUAUUUUUGUGAUAAAGAUGCAAAGUAAAAUAAAGGCAAAUUAAAUAGCAAAGGAAAUAACUAAGUAGUAGGAGAUCAAUAUGAUAAAGAUAGACCCGGGGGCCAUAGGUUUCACUAGUGGCUUCUCUCGACAGCAUAAGUAUUCUACGGUGGGUGAACAAAUUAUUGUUGAGCAAUUGACAGAAUUGAGCAUAGUUAUGAGAAUAUCUAGGUAUGAUCAUGUAUAUAGGCAUCAUGUCCGAGACAAGUAGACCGACUCCUGCCUGCAUCUACUACUAUUACUCCACUCAUCGACCGCUAUCCAGCAUGCAUCUAGAGUAUUAAGUUAAAAACAGAGUAACGCCUUAAGCAAGAUGACAUGAUGUAGAGGGAUAGACUCAUGCAAUAUGAAGAAAACCCCAUCUUGUUAUCCUCGAUGGCAACAAUACAAUACGUGACUUGUUGCCCCUACUGUCACCGGGAAAGGACACCACAAGAUUGAACCCAAAGCUAAGCACUUCUGCCAUUGCAAGAAAGAUCAAUCUAGUAGGCCAAACCAAACUGAUAAUUCGAAGAGACUUGCAAAGAUAACCAAUCAUACAUAAAAGAAUUCAGAGAAGAUUCAAAUAUUGUUCAUAGAUAGACUUGAUCAUAAACCCACAAUUCAUCGUUCUCAACAAACACACCGCAAAAAGAAGAUUACAUCGAAUAGUUCUCCACAAGAGAGGGGGAGAACAUUGUAUUGAGAUCCAAAAAGAGAGAAGAAGCCAUCUAGCUACUAACUAUGGACCGGUAGGUCUGAGGUAAACUACUCACACUUCAUCGGGGAGGCUAUGGUGUUGAUGUAGAAGCCCUCCGUGAUUGAUGUCCCCUCCGGCGGAGCUCCGGAACAGGCCCCAAGAUGGGAUCUUGUGGAUACAGAAAGUUACAGUGGUGGAAUUAGGGUUUUGGCUCCGUAUCUGAUCGUUUGGGGGUACGUGGAUAUAUAUAGGAGGAAGGAGUACAUCGGUGGAGCAACAGGGGGCCCACGAGGGUGGAGGGCGCGCCUGGUGGGGGUGGGCGCGCCCCCUACCUCGUGGCCUCCUCUCUUGUGCCUUGAUGUAGGGUCCAAGUCUCCUGGGUCGUAUUCGUUGAGAAAAUCACAUUCCCGAAGGUUUCAUUCCAUUUGGACUCUGUUUGAUAUUUGUUUUCUUCGAAACCCUAAAACAGGCAAAAACAACAAUUCUGGGUUGGGCCUCCGGUUAAUAGGUUAGUCCCAAAAAUAAUAUAAAAGUGGAUAAUAAAUCCCAAUAAUGUCCAAAACAGUAGAUAAUAUAGCAUGGAGCAAUCAAAAAUUAUAGAUACGUUGGAGACGUAUCAAGCAUCCCCAAGCUUAAUUCCUGCUCGUCCUCGAGUAGGUAAAUGAUAAAAACAGAAUUUUUUAUGUGGAGUGCUACUUGGCAUAAUUUUAAUGUAAUUCUUCUUAAUUGUGGUAUGAAUAUUCAGAUCCGAAAGAUUCAAGACAAAAGUUCAUAUUGACAUAAAAAUAAUAAUACUUCAAGGAUACUAACAAAGCAAUUAUGUCUUCUCAAAAUAACAUGGCUAAAGAAAGUUAUCCCCACAAAAUCAUAUAGUCUGGCUAUGCUCUAUCUUCACCACACAAAAUAUUUAAAUCAUGCACAACCUCGAUGACAAGCCAAGCAAUUGUUUCAUACUUUUGACAUUCGCAAAACUUUUUCAAUUUUCACGCAAUACAUGAGCGUGAGCCAUGGACAUAGCACUAUAGGUGGAAUAGAAUGGUGGUUGUGGAGAAGACAAAAAGGGAGAAGAUAGUCUCACAUCAACUAGGCAUAUCAACAGGCUAUGGAGAUGCCCAUCAAUAGAUACGUAACACCCACGAUGCGGCUAUAUCUCCCACGUGUCGGAGCACGACUUAGAGGCAUAACCGCAUAGUAGGCAUGUCGCAAGAGGGGUAAUCUUUACACAUCCCAUGUACUGAAUAAGAAAGGGAUAAAGAGUUGGCUUACAAUCGCCACUUCACACAAUACAUAAGUAUAGCAUUACAACAUCCAGAAUACAAUCAUGGUCCGACUACGGAACCAAAAUAAAAUAAGACCACCCCUAAUGCUAGAUCCCCGAUCGCCCCGAAUGGGCUCCACUACUGAUCAACUGGAAACGAAACAACACAACGAACACAAUCUUCAUCAAGCUCCCACUUGAGCUCGGCUGCGACAUCUGCACUGGUAUCAACGGCACGUGCAACUGUUUUGGAAGUAAUCUUUGAGUCACGGGGACUCAGCAAUCUCACACCCGCGAGAUCAAGACUAUUUAAGCUUAUGGGUAGGAAAAGGCAGUGAGGUGGAGCUGCAGCAGGCACUAGCAUAUAUGGUGGCUAACUUACGCAAAAGAGAGCGAGAAGAGAAGCAAAGCACUGUCGUGAACUAGAAGUGAUCAAGAAGUGACCCUGAAACUACUUACGUUCAAGCAUAACACAAGAACCAUGUUCACUUCCCGGACUCUGCCGAGAAGAGACCAUCAUGGCUACACACGUGGUUGAUACAUUUUAAAUUAAGUUAGGUGUCAAGUUCUCUACAACCAGACAUUAACAAAUUCCCAUCUGCCCAUAACCGCGGUCACGACUUUUGAAAGUUCAAAACCCUGUAGGGGUGUCCCAACUUAGCCCAUCACAAGCUAUCACGGUCAAUGAAAGAUAUUCCUUCUCCCAGGAAGACCCGAUCAGACUCGGAAUCCCGGUUACAAGACAUUUCGACAAUGGUAAAACAAGACCAGCAAAGCCACCCAGAUGUGCCGACAAAUCCCGAUAGGAGCUGCACAUAUCUCGUUCUCAGGGCACACCGGAUGAGCAAGAUGUCGGGUUGGCAUAAACCCUGGUUGCCCAGGGGGCGCCGGACAUCGCUCAUGUUGGACCAACACUUAGAGAAGCACUGGCCGAGGGGGUUAAAAUAAAGAUGACCCUUGGGUUGGCCGACCCAAGGGAAGGGUAAUAGGUUGUUAGGCAAAUGUAAAACCAAGGUUGGGCCUUGCUGGAGGAGUUUUAUUCAAAGCAAACUGUCAAGGGGUUCCCAUUAUAACCCAACCGCGUAAGGAACACAAAAUCAAGGAACAUAACACCGGUAUGAUGGAAACUAGGGCGGCAAGAGUGGAACAAAACACCAGGCAUAAGGCCGAGCCUUCCACUCUUUACCAAGUAUAUAGAUGCAUUAAUUAAAAGAAGAGAUAUUGUGAUAUCCCAACAAAUCUCCAUGUUCCAACAUGGAACAAACUCCAUCUUCACCUGCAACUAACAACGCUAUAAGAGGGGCUGAGAAAAGCGGUAACAUAGCCAAACAACGGUUUGCUAGGACAAGGUGGGUUAGAGGCUUGACAUGGCAAUAUGGGGGGCAUGAUAUAGCAAGUGGUAGGUAUCGCGGCAUAGCAAUAGAUAGAGCAACUAGCAAGCAAAGAUAGAAGUGAUUUCGAGGGUAUGGUCAUCUUGCCUGAGAUCCCGCAAGGAAGAAGAACGAGUCCAAGAAGAAGGCAAACAGACGUAGUCGAACGAAUCCUCACAACUCCGGAUCAAAACUGAAGCUAACGAGAGAAGCAAACCGGAAAGAAACAAGCAACAUAGUAAACAACCAUCACCUCAACAUGGCAUGACGCACAACCAAGUAUGAUGCAUGUCCGGUUUAAUGAUUCAUGGCAUGGCAAAGUGCACAAACAAUACUACAAGUUAAGUGGAUCUCAAUAUGCAACGAGUUGCAUAUUGACGGAACACCACAACAAUUAUUUAGUUCACUCCCGGUUAGGUACCCUACAAUAUUAAAUGUUGUUAAACAUGGCAAGAGGUGAAACAUAAGUAAACUAAACCUCUAUCUAAACAAGUUUAAAUGAGGCCGAGACAAACAACAAUUCUGGUAAAUCCCCAUAUGCAUUUAGCAAUUUAAAGCAAACAACAAUUUUAAACAUUUUAAUUGUUGUUAUCAUGAUGCGGAUGACAUGUGAAAGUUUAUGCAGUUUUUAUUAAAAGUUGACGAGAGCAUUAUGAAACAUUUGUCACUGUGGUGGAAAGAAAAGGGGCCACGACGACGAAUCCGAAAAUGAUGCCACGGCACCAUAUCGGUUCCGGUAGCCACGGAGAUACCGGUGCAAAGGAAGCAAGGGUGCGGAUGUUCGGAACAUGCUAGAGAUGGUGGGGUGAUCCCGGAUUCCGGGUGUCCUACGAGUUGGCGACAAGGAAAUGAGUGAAAAUUUGGACACGGUGCAAACACGAGCAUCUUAAACAUCGCAAGCAUUCGUUCAUGGACGUCGUCUCGGGGUUAUACCUUCGAAGCGUGCAAACAAGACGGUUCGGGUUUGAUGGGACAUAGUGGUACUUUCGGUCCUUGGCGACGGAAGAGGUACAGACGUUCUCAAGGCACUUGUCGGUACGGACUUGGUGUAGUUGUACAUGGCAAAUGUAGUGGUACUCGGAGUCUUGUCAAACCCAAGCGACGGUAGUCGUACACGACGCAUUGUGGAAGUAGUUGUACUCGCGGACUUCGGCGACGGUAGUCGUUCAGGGUCUUGGCGGUUCGUCGUGUAGCCGUACAUGUUCGACGUGGUACACGGUUCGAAGUCGUGCAUGUCCCGUAGAUGUUCAGGGUCACCGUGAGGAACUUGUCGAAUCCAGGGUCUCAGUCGUCGGUGGUGGUACACGUUUCGAAGGUGAACUUGACAAACUCGAAUCCCUUCAGGGUUGUCGUGGUACUUGGGGUCUUCGGACCCGCCGGUCUCGUUCUUGUGACAAUAGUUGAACUUGAAGUUGUUGGUUCAUGGGUCUUCGGCGUCGGUAGUCGUACACAUAUCAUAGAGGAACUUGGUCUUGCGAAGAGGUACUUGACGGUAGUGGUACUUGACACGUUCGAGGGUCAUCAUGUCAUGGUACUUGGCAAAAUCCUCGGAGAAGGUGCUUGACGGUCCGGGUACGGGUCUUGGCGUGUCGUUCUUGCAAAUCCAAAACCCAGCGAGACGAAAGGACCUCAGGCGGGCAGCAGCAAGGAGGCGAUGGCGCACACACUGGACAUGGAUGCAGGGCGAGGAGAAGGCGCACAGCUCGGUGACGAGGAGGACCAGCGGGUACAGGGGUGGAGGUGACCAGCAGGAGGCGGUGCUGGGGAUGCUGGGGGUGGCCAGCGACGAUGCUGGGGCGUGGGAGGCCGCUUCCAGCACGGACGAGGCAAGGAGGAGGAGGCGCUGGCCUUGCCGAGGCCGGCAGCAGGCCGCGUUGGGACAGGAGGCCGACGAAGUCCUAGGGCGGCGCGGCAAACUGGGAGUAGAGGAAGGGGUCCGGCGAGUCCCGAGGGCGCAGGCGGGACUUGGCGGCAAGGCUUCGGCAGCAGGGAGGCGCAGCCAUAGCAGGGCCUGACGGUUCCGGACGGGGGCAGCACUUGACAGCGGAGGGCGACGCGAGGCAGAGGAGGAGCGAUCGUCGACCUGCUGGGCUCCGAUGGCACGGGAUGAGGGAGCAGGGCAGCGACCUGCAGGGUCGCCAGCGCGGGCGCCAUGGCCGGAGGAGCUCCGACGUCGGCAGCUGCGAGCUCCUCUCGAGCGGACGACGAAGUCUGGGGGAGGAAGCCGCGAGGUCUUCUGGGCAUUCGUGGCGGGGCAAAGCAGGGUGCGAGGUAGGAGAGGGCGUCGGGGAGGAUGGGAUCGAGGGAGUGGGUGAGGAGGCGGCGGGAGGAGGAACGAGGAGGGGAUCGAGCAGAGGCCUCUCUUGCGGCUAGGGUUAGAAAUGGUUCAGGUGGGCCGGCCCAGAGUUAGGACAGGAAGGGGGUAAGCUGGCCUCGGUGGGACAGUGGGGAAGCGGGCCGGCCUAGCUCUAAGGCCCAAGUGCCCAGCUGGGCUUCUCUCUCUCCCUUACUCUAAAGAACAAAAAAAUAGAGAUAUGAAAGAAAAAGAAAGAGAGGUUAGGGGAAAAGUUGGACAUGUGGAUAAAUUCCCUGGACUCAUAAAAAUAUGAGGAAUUUAAAUAAAAUGGCGAAAGGAAUUUUAGAGAGAAUAAAGUUCACACAAAGGAACAUGUCUGAAUUUUUGAAGCCCAUUUGAAAAGGCUCUAAACGGGCUGAGAUUUGAGGAGAUGAUCCCACACAUUAGAUGUGAUUUAUGGGGAAAUUUGGGACAUUUAUGGAUGGAUUAAAAUUGCAACCCAAUUCUACUAAAAGGCCCCAAAGGAAGAAAUGAAGUUGAGUUGGAUAAAAGAAAUUUCAAGAACGGUGCAAAUGUGUUAUGGGUGAUUCCAAGACAAUGGAAUGGUUUUAUAUAGCUCCCUAAAUAUUGGGAGGAUAUGUUUUAAAGAGAAACCACCAUGUGAAUUCCCUCGAUUUAAAUAGAUCGAAAGAUCUAUGCAAUUUAUUUAGUUGAGUUGAGAUGCAAAGAUUAAUGACAUGUUGGCAUGAUGACAUGAUGCAAUGCACAAGAUGCAAUGAUGAAUGCAACAAACCAACAACUCACAUGACGAAACUCGGAAAAACAUGGAAGGCGUCUGAAGCACUGGUCUUGGGGCAUCACAAGAUAUCAAUGUGAGUGAGUAGGGAUUGGCAUGCAACGGGUGCACUAGAGCUAUAAGUAUAUGAAAGCUCAAAAAGAAACUAAGUGGGUGUGCAUCCAACUUGCUUGCUCAUGAAGACCUAGGGCAUUUUGAGGAAGCCCAUCAUUGGAAUAUACAAGCCAAGUUCUAUAAUGAAAGAUUCGCACUAGUAUAUGAAAGUGAUAACAUGAGAGACUCUCUACUAUGAAGAUCAUGGUGCUACUUUGAAGCACAAGUGUGGUAAAAGGAUAGUAACAUUGUCCCUUCUCUCUUUUUCUCUCAUUUUUUUAUUUUUUUAUUUGGGCCUUUUUUAUGGCCUAUUUUCUUUCUCUUUUUUUCGUCCGGAGUCUCAUCCCAACUUGUGGGGGAAUCAUAGUCUCCAUCAUCCUUUCCUCACUGGGACAAUGCUCUAAUAAUGAUGAUCAUCACACUUUUAUUUUUCUUACAACUCAACAAUUACAACUCGAUACUUAGAACAAAAUAUGACUCCAUAUGAAUGCCUCCGGCGGUGUACCGGGAUAUGCAAUGACUCAUGAGUGACAUGUAUGAAAGAAUUAUGAAUGGUGGCUUUGCCACAAAUAUGAUGUCAACUACACGAUCAUGCUAAGCAAUAUGACAAUGAUGGAGUGUGUCAUAAUAAACGGAACGGUGGAAAUUGCAUGGCAAUAUAUCUCGGAAUGGCUAUGGAAAUGCCAUAAUAGGUAGGUAUGGUGGCUGUUUUGAGGAAGGUAUAUGGUGGGUGUAUGAUACCGGCGAAAGGUGCGCGGUAUUAGAGAGGCUAGCAAAGGUGGAAUGGUGAGAGUGUGUAUAAUCCAUGGACUCAACAUUAUUCAUAAAGAACUCAUAUACUUAUUACAAAAAUCUACAAGUUAUCAAAGCAAAGUAUUACGCGCAUGCUCCUAGGGGGAUAGAUUGGUAGGAAAAGACCAUCGCUCGUCCCCGACCGCCACUCAUAAGGAAGGCAAUCAAAAAAUAAAUCAUGCUCCGACUUCAUCACAUAACGGUUCACCAUACGUGCAUGCUACGGGAAUCACAAGCUUCAACACAAGUAUUUCUCAAAUUCACAACUACUCAACUAGCAUGACUUUAACAUCACCAUCUCCAUAUCUCAAAACAAUUAUCAAGUAUCAAACUUAUCAUAGUAUCCAACACACUCAUAAGAAAGUUCUAUUACUAAUCUUGUGUACCAAGCAUAUUAGGAUUUUAAGAAAAUUACCAUGCUAUUAAGACUCUCAAAAUAAUCUAAGUGAAGCAUUAGAGAUCAAUAGUUUCUAUAAAACAAAUCCACCACCAUGCUCUAAAAGAUAUAAGUGAAGCACAAGAGCAAAACUAUAUAACUCAAAAGAUAUAAGUGAAGCACAUAGAGUAUUCUAACAAAUUCCAAAUCAUGUAUGGCUCUCUCAAAAGGUGUGUACAGAAAUAAUGAUUGUGUUAAACUAACAAAUAAAGACUCAAAUAAUACAAGACGCUCCAAGCAAAACACAUAUCAUGUGGCGAAUAAAAAUAUAGCUCCAAGUAAAGUUACCGAUAGAAGUAGACGAAAGAGGGGAUGCCUUCCAGGGCAUCCCCAAGCUUUGGCUUUUAGGUGUCCUUAGAUUAUAUUGGGGGUGCCAUGGGCAUCCCCAAGCUUAGGCUCUUGCCACUCCUUGUUCCAUAAUCCAUCAAAUCUUUACCCAAAACUUGAAAACUUCACAACACAAAACUUAAAGUAGAAAAUCUUGUGAGCUGCGUUAGCGAAAGAAAAUAAAAGACCACUUCAAGGUACUGUAAUGAACUCAUUCUUUAUUUAUAUUGGUGUUAUACCUACUGUAUUCCAACUUCUCUAUGGUUUAUAAACUAUUUUACUAGCCAUAGAUUCAUCAAAAUAAGCAAUCAACACACGAAAAACAGAAUCUGUCAAAAAAAAAGAACAGUCUGUAGUAAUCUGUAGCUAGCGCAAGAUCUGGAACCCCAAAACUUCUAAAAUAAAUUGCUGGACGUGAGGAAUUUAUCUAUUAAUCAUCUGCAAAAAUAAUUAACUAAAUAUCACUCUCCAAAUAAAAAUGGAAGCAGUUCUCGUGAGCGCUAAAGUUUCUGUUUUUUGCAGCAAGUUCAACAAGACUUUCCCCAAGUCUUCCCAACGGUUCUACUUCGCACAAACACUAAUUAAACACAAAAAACACAACCUAAACAGAGGCUAGAUAAAUUAUUUAUUACUAAACAGGAGCAAAAAUCAAGGAAUAAAAAUAAAAUUGGGUUGCCUCCCAACAAGCACUAUCGUUUAACGCCCAUAGCUAGGCAUAACAAGCAAGAAUAGAUCUAGGUAUUGCCAUCUUUGGUAUUAGGAAAGAAAAGAGAAAACUUGCUAUCUAUAGAAUUAAUCCUUCUAUUUUGAUAAAGCACAUGGCUAUUAAUGGUAGAAGAAAGAUUAAGUAUGUUACGGAAAUUUGUAUCUAGGCUAGACUUUAUCUAUUUAAUAGAUUCAUUUUGGUAAGAGAGCAAAAGAGAUGUAGAUUCAACUUUCUCAUUCAUGGGGUGCCCAAAUAUAGUUUUCAUUUUUUCAUAAGUGUCUACGACAUCCCCUUCAAAAAAACCUUCUUCAAAUAUAGAAUCUAAUACAUGCUUAAAAGAAGAAAGAAGGGCAAUAUAGAAGCUUUUUAAGUAAACUUCUAUUUGAUAUUGAGGAACAUAACUAGCCCUGAUCCUUAAUAGUCUAUACCAAGCAUCUUUCAAAGAUUCAUCAAGUAAAUAACGAAAAAUUCCAGAAUCAUCUUCAUCAAAAUUAUUAAGACUCUCAUUGAUAACUCCAGUAGGUUUUUCCCUAGUAUUCUUAUUUAUAAGCUUAGCAAGAAUACAAGGGUUAUCCAAAGUACUAAAACUCUGGAGAGAACCCCCAACCCUUUUUGAUUCAGACAUGGCGGAAGAAAGGCGAGCGGAAAGAGAGGGUGGAUGGAGAGAGAGAGAGGGCGAAUAAAACGGCAAGGGUGAAGUGGGGGAGAGGAAAACUAGAGGCAAAUGGCAAAUAAUGUAAUGCGGGAGAUAAGGGUAUGUGAUGGGUACUUGGUAUAUUGACUUUUGCGUAGGCCUCCCCGACAACGGUGCCAGAAAUCCUUCUUGCUACCUCUUGAGCACUGCGUUGGUUUUCCCCGAAGAGGAAGGGAUGAUGCAGCAAAGUAGCGUAAGUAUUUCCCUCAGUUUUUGAGAACCAAGGUAUCAAUCCAGUAGGAGGCUACGCGCGAGUCCCUCGUACCUGCACAAAACAAACAAAUCCUCGCAACCAACGCAAAUAGGGGUUGUCAAUCCCUAUAAGGCCACUUAUGAGAGUGAGAUCUGAUAGAUAUGAUAAGAUAAGAUUUUUGGUAUUUUUGUGAUAAAGAUGCAAAGUAAAAUAAAGGCAAAGUAAAUAGCAAAGGAAAUAACUAAGUAGUAGGAGAUCAAUAUGAUAAAGAUAGACCCGGGGGCCAUAGGUUUCACUAGUGGCUUCUCUCGACAGCAUAAGUAUUCUACGGUGGGUGAACAAAUUAUUGUUGAGCAAUUGACAGAAUUGAGCAUAGUUAUGAGAAUAUCUAGGUAUGAUCAUGUAUAUAGGCAUCACGUCCGAGACAACUAGACCGACUCCUGCCUGCAUCUACUACUAUUACUCCACUCAUCGACCGCUAUCCAGCAUGCAUCUAGAGUAUUAAGUUAAAAACAGAGUAACGCCUUAAGCAAGAUGACAUGAUGUAGAGGGAUAGACUCAUGCAAUAUGAAGAAAACCCCAUCUUGUUAUCCUCGAUGGCAACAAUACAAUACGUGACUUGUUGCCCCUACUGUCACCGGGAAAGGACACCGCAAGAUUAAACCCAAAGCUAAGCACUUCUCCCAUUGCAAGAAAGAUCAAUCUAGUAGGCCAAACCAAACUGAUAAUUCAAAGAGACUUGCAAAGAUAACCAAUCAUACAUAAAAGAAUUCAGAGAAGAUUCAAAUAUUGUUCAUAGAUAGACUUGAUCAUAAACCCACAAUUCAUCGUUCUCAACAAACACACCGCAAAAAGAAGAUUACAUCGAAUAGUUCUCCACAAGAGAGGGGGAGAACAUUGUAUUGAGAUCCAAAAAGAGAGAAGAAGCCAUCUAGCUACUAACUAUGGACCGGUAGGUCUGAGGUAAACUACUCACACUUCAUCGGGGAGGCUAUGGUGUUGAUGUAGAAGCCCUCCGUGAUCGAUGUCCCCUCCGGCGGAGCUUCGGAACAGGCCCCAAGAUGGGAUCUUGUGGAUACAGAAAGUUACAGUGGUGGAAUUAGGGUUUUGGCUCCGUAUCUGAUUGUUUGGGGGUACGUGGAUAUAUAUAGGAGGAAGGAGUACAUCGGUGGAGCAACAGGGGGCCCACGAGGGUGGAGGGCGCGCCUGGUGGGGGUGGGCGCGCCCCCUACCUCGUGGCCUCCUCUCUUGUUCCUUGACUUAGAGUCCAAGUCUCCUGGGUCGUAUUUGUUGAGAAAAUCACAUUCCCGAAGGUUUCAUUCCAUUUGGACUCCGUUUGAUAUUCGUUUUCUUCGAAACCCUAAAACAGGCAAAAACAACAAUUCUGGGCCAGGCCUCCGGUUAAUAGGUUAGUCCCAAAAAUAAUAUAAAAGUGGAUAAUAAAUCCCAGUAAUGUCCAAAACAGUAGAUAAUAUAGCAUGGAGCAAUCAAAAAUUAUAGAUACGUUGGAGACGUAUCAGACAUGUGCGUGAAAGUUUGAGCCCUUGUGUCGUCCCGGUCAUUCUUGUGCCAAAACGAGACGGUAGCUUUCGCAUGUGCUCCGAUUGUAGAGCUAUCAAUGCUAUUACCGUUCGUCAUAGGUAUCCCAUUCCACGCCUUGAUGAUAUGCUUGAUGAACUUAGUGGUGCCACUAUCUUUUAAAAAAAUUAUCUUAAGAGUGGUUACUAUCAAAUCCGCAUACAAGAGGGUGAUAAAUGGAAAACUGCUUUCAAAACCAAGUUCGGGUUGUAUGAUGGUUAGUCAUGCCUAUGGGUUUAUCGAAAGCACCGGGUACUUUUAUGCGUCUUAUGAAUCAUGUCUUUCACCCUUACAUUGGUGUGUUUGUUGUGGUCUACUUCGAUGAUAUCCUUGUUCAUAGCAAAUCUCUUCAAGAUCAUGUCACCCAUGUUCGAACCGUUUUACAAACUCUUCGAAAUAAGAAUCUCUUUGCUAACAUGGAAAAGUGCCUCUUCGGCGUGGAUAAGCUCGUUUUCUUGGGUUUUGUUGUUUCUUCUAACGGUGUUCAUGUUGAUGACUCCAAGAUCAAUGCUAUUAAAACUUGAGCACAACCAACAGACUUGCAUCAAGUGCAUAUCUUUCUUGGCCUUGCGGGUUUCUAUCGUCGCUUUGUGAAAUAUUUUAGCACCAUUGCUUUGCCUUAGCAUGCUUUGAGCAAGAAGAAUGUGCCUUUUGUUUGGGGACCAUCCCAAGAUGCCGCUUUCAAUGAGCUUAAGAAUUUGCUAACUCAUGCUCUCGUGCUUGCAUUACCCAACUUUGACAAACCCUUUGAGAUUCAUUGCGAUGCUAGUGGUAAUGGCAUAAGAGGUGUCUUAACGCAAGAGAAGCGGCUCAUAGCUUACUUUUGUGAGAAACUUUCCAGAGCGCAACUCAAUUACCCCAUAUAUGACAAAGAGCUCUAUGCCUUAGUGCGCGUUUUGCAUGAAUGGGAACACUAUCUUCGCCCUCAUGAAUUCAUCAUUCAUACUAUCAUGAAAUGCUCAAAUAUCUUAAGGGCCAAACCAAGUUAAACAAGCGUCAUGCUAAAUGGAGUGAAUUUAUUGAGUCUUUUCCUUAUGUUGUCAAAAGAUUAAAGGCAAGGAAAAUAUUGUGGCGGAUGCCCUCUCCCGCAUAUGCAUGCUUGUUACUCAACUUGAAUUGGAUGUCAUUGGAUUUGAUCAUAUAAAAUACUUCUAUGAGCAUGAUCCUAGUUUUGCUAUUCCUUAUGCCAAAUGUUUGACGCAUACAUCUUGGGAAUGCUAUUACAUCAAAGAUAGAUAUCUUAUGAGAGCUAACAAGGUUUGCAUCCCUGAGUCUUCUCUUCAUUUGUUGCUUUUGCAGGAAUCUCAUGUAGGAGGCUUAAUGGGACAUUUUGGACGCGACAAGACUUUCGCCACGCUUUCCAAGAACUACUAUUGGCCCAAGAUGUUUCGCGAUGUCAACCGCUUCACCAAUCGAUGCUCUACAUGUCGCAAAGCUAAGUCUAAAUCUCAAUCCCAUGGCCUUUACGUGCCUCUCCCAAUUCCAUAUCAACCAUGUGAAGACAUUAGCAUGGAUUUUGUACUUGGAUUUCCUAGGGCUAGAAAUGGAAAGGAUUCGGUAUUUGUCAUUGUGGACCAUUUCUCUAAGAUGGCCCAUUUCAUUCCUUGCAACAAGAUAGAUGAUGCUUCACAUGUUGCUAAUCUCUUUUGUAGGGAAAUAUUGCGUCUACACGGAGUGCCAAAGACGAUCAUCUCGGACCGCGAAGUCAAGUUCUUUAGCUACUUUUGGAAGACCCUAUGCGCCAAGCUCGGAAUCAAGCUACUCUUCUCCAUGGCGUAUCAUCCACAAACAGACGGCCAAACGGAGGUGACCAACUGCACAUUCUCCACUCUACUUCGAGUACUCAUCAAGAUGAACAUCAAGGAGUGGGAGGAGUGCCUACCUAUAACCGAGUUUGCCUACGACCGAGCAAGACACUCAACAACCGGCAAGUCCCCCUUCGAGGUCGUCUACAGAUUCAACCCAUUGUCACCAUUGGACAUCCUCCCUCUACCACUACAAGAGCGCAUCAAUUUGGACGCAAGUGCAUGUGUGAAUCAUCUCAAGAAGGUGCAUGAAGGUACAAGGCAAACCAUCGAGCGCCAAGUACAAUGCCUUGCUGAUACGUCUUCAACGUAUCUAUAAUUUUUGAUUGCUCCAUGCUAUAUUAUCUACUGUUUUGGACAUUAUUGGGCUUUAUUAUCCACUUUUAUAUUAUUUUUGGGACUAACCUAUUAACCGGAGGCCCAGCCCACAAUUGUUGUUUUUUUGCCUAUUUUAGGGCUUCGAAGAAAAGGAAUAUCAAACGGAGUCCAAACAGAAUGAAACCUUCGGGAACGUGAUUUUCUCACCGAACAUGAUCCAGGAGACUAGGACCCAACAUCAAGAAACAAAGGAGGAGGCCACAAGGUAGGGGGGCGCGCCUACCCCCCCCCCCCCUCGGCGUGCCCUCCACCCUCGUGGGCCCCCUGUUGCUCCACCGACGUACUCCUUCCUCCUAUAUAUACCUACGUACCCCCAAACGAUCUGAUACGGAGCCAAAACCCUAAUUCCACCGCCGCAACUUUCUAUAUUCACGAGAUCCCAUCUUGGGGCGUGUUCCAGAGCUCCGCCGGAGGGGGCAGCCAUCACGGAGGGCUUCUAUAUCAACACCAUAGCCUCUUCGAUGAAGUGUGAGUAGUUUACCUCAGACCUUCGGGUCCAUAGUUAUUAGCUAGAUGGCUUCUUCUCUCUUUUUGGAUCUCAAUACAAUGUUCUCCCCCUCUCUUGUGGAGAUCUAUUCGAUGUAAUCUUCUUUUUAUGGUGUGUUUGUUGAGAUCGAUGAAUUGUGGGUUUAUGAUCAAGAUUAUCUAUGAAAAAUAUUUGAAUCUCCUCUGAAUUUUUUUAUGUAUGACUGGUUAUCUUUGCAAGUCUCUUCGAAUUAUUAGUUUGGUUUGGCCUACUAGAUUGAUCUUUCUUGCAAUGGGAUAAGUACUUAGCUUUGGGUUCAAUCUUGCGGUGUCCUUUCCCAGUGACAGUAGGGGCAGCAAGGCACGUAUUGUAUUGUUGCCAUCGAGGAUAACAAGAUGGGUUCUUUUAUCAUAUUGCUUGAAUCUAUCCCUCUACAUCAUGUCAUCUUGCUUAAGGCAUUACUCUAUUUUAUGAACUUAAUACUCUAGAUGCAGGCUGGAUAGCGGUCGAUGAGUGGAGUAAUAGUAGUAGAUGCAGGCAGGAGUCGGUCUACUUGUCUCGGACGUGAUGCCUGUAUACAUGAUCAUACCUAGAUAUUCUCAUAACUAUGCUCAAUUCUGUCAAUUGCUCAACAGUAAUUCGUUCACCCACCGUAAAAUACUUAUGCUCUUGAGAGAAGCCACUAGUGAAACCUAUGGCCCCGGGUCUAUCUUCAUCAUAUUAAUCUUCCAAUACUUAGUUAUUUCUUUUGCUUUUUUACUUUGCUUUUAUUUCACUUUGCAUCUCUAUCAUAAAAAUACCAAAAAUAUUAUCUUAUCAUAUCUAUCAAAUCUCACUCUCGUAGUGACCGUGAAGUGAUUAACAACCCCUUAUCGCGUUGGUUGCGAGGAGUUAUUUGUUUUGUGCAGGUACGAGGGACUUGCGCGUAGCCUCCUACUGGAUUGAUACCAUGGUUCUCAAAAACUGAGGGAAAUACUUACGCUACUUUGCUGCAUCACCCUUUCCUCUUCAAGGAAAUCCAACGCAGUGCUCAAGAGGUAGCAGAGAAGAUUUCUGGCGCCGUUGCCGGGGAGUCUACGCAAAAGUCAACAUACCAAGUACCCAUCACAUACCCUUAUCUCCCGCAUUACAUUAUUUGCCAUUUGCCUCUCAUUUUCCUCUCCCCCCACUUCACCCUUGCCAUUUUGUUCGCCCUCUCUCUCUCUAUCCUCCAUCUCUUCGUCUAUUUUCCUCUUUCCCCUCGCCAUGUCAGAACAAAAAAGAAUUUGGGGUUCUCUCCCAAGUUCUAGUGCUUUAGACAAUCCUGCUAUCUUAUCUAAACUCAUAAAUCGGAAUGCUAUGGAACAACUUGCCGAAGUUAUCAAUGAGAACCUUAGUAAUUUUGAUGAAGAUGAUUCUGGAAUUUUUCAUUAUUUACUUGAUGAAUCUUUGAAAGAUGCUUGGGAUAGGCUGUUAAGGAUCUGGGCUAGCCAUGUACCCCGGUAUCAAAUUGAGGUUUACUUAAAAAGCUUUAUUGUUGGACUGCCCGCUUCGUUCAAACAAGUUUUAGAUUCUAUAUUAGAGGGGGGUUUUCUUGAAGGGGGCCCCAUAGAUACCUAUGAGAGGAUGAAAACUAUAUUUGGGCACCCCAUUAACGAGAAAGCUGAAAUCACAUCUCUCUUGCUUUCUACCAAAACGAUUCUAUGAAAGAGAUAAAAGCUAGCCUAAAUGCCAAUUUCUGCAAUACUCUUAAUCUUUCUUCUACCAUUAAUGGAAAUGUACUUUGUAAAAAUAGAAAGAUUAAUUCCAUAGAUAACAAGUUUGCUCUCUUUUUCCCUAAAACCAAAGAUGGCAAUACCUAGAUCUAUCCAUGUUAUGCCUAGCUAGGGGCGUUAAACGAUAGCGCUUGUUGGGAGGCAACCCAAUUUUAUUUUUAUUCCUUGCUUUUUGCUCCUUUUUAGUAAUAAAUAAUUUGUCUAGCCUCUGUUUUGGUUGUGUGUUUUUUGUGUUUAAUUAGUGUUUGUGCCAAGUAGAACCGUUGGGAAGACUUGGGGAAAGUCUUGUUAAUCAUGCUGUAAAAACAGAAACUUUAGCGCUCACGAGAACUGCUGCCAUUUUUAUUUGGAAAGUGAUAUUUAGUUAAUUAUUUUUGCAGAUUAUUAAUAGAUAAAUUACUCACAUCCACAAAUUUAUUUUAUAAUUUUUUGGGGGUUCCAGAUCUUGCGCUAGCUACAGAUUACUACAGACUGUUCUCUUUUUGACAGAUUCUAUUUUUCGCGUGUUGUUUGCUUAUUUUGAUGAAUCUAUGGCUAGUAAAAUAGUUUAUAAACCAUAGAGAAGUUGCAAUACAGUAGGUUUAACACCAAUAUAAAUAAAUAAUGAGUUAAUUACAGUACCUUGAAGUGGUCUUUUUUUUCUUUCGCUAACGGAGCUCACGAGAUUUUCUUCUUUGAGUUUUGUGUUGUGAAGUUUUCAAGUUUUGGGUAAAGAUUUGAUGGAUUAUGGAACUAGGAGUGGCAAGAGCGUAAGAUUGGGGAUGCCCAUGGCACCCCCAAUAUGAUCUAAGGACACCUAAAAGCCAAAGCUUGGGGAUGCCCCGGAAGGCAUCCCCUCUUCCGUCUACUUCUAUCGGUAACUUUACUUGGAGCUAUAUUUUUAUUCACCACAUGAUAUGUGUUUUGCUUGGAGCGUCUUGUAUGAUUUGAGUAUUUGCUUUUUAGUUUACCACAAUCAUCCUUGUUGUACACACCUUUUGAGAGAGCCAUACAUGAUUUGGAAUUUGUUAGAAUACUCUAUGUGGUUCGCUUAUAUCAUUUGAGUUAUAUAGUUUUGCUCUAGUACUUCACUUAUAUUUUUUAGAGCACGGUGGUGGAUUUGUUUUAUAGAAACUAUUGAUCUCUCAUUCUUCACUUAGAUUAUUUUCAGAGUCUUAAAUAGCAUGGUAAUUUGCUUAAAUAAUCCUAAUAUGCUUGGUAAUCAAAGAAUAAAAACUUUCUUAUGAGUGUGUUGAAUACUAUGAGAAGUUUGAUACUUGAUAAUUGUUUUGAGAUAUGAAGAUGAUGAUAUUAAAGUUGUGCUAGUUGAGUAGUUGUGAAUUUGAGAAAUACUUGUGUUAAAGUUUGUGAUUCCCGUAGCAUGCAUGUAUGGUGAACCGUUAUGUGAUGAAGUCGGAGCAUGAUUUAUUAUUUAAUUGUCUUCCUUAUGAGUGGCGGUCGGGACGAGCGAUGGUCUUUUCCUACCAAUCUAUCCCCCUAGGAGCAUGCGUGUAAUACUUUGCUUUGACAACUUGUAGAUUUUUGCAAUAAGUAUAUGAGUUCUUUAUGACUAAUGUUGAGUCCAUGGAUUAUAUGCACUUUUCUUCCUUCCACCAUUGCUAGCCUCUCUAAUACCGUGCACCUUUUGCCGGUAACAUACACCCACCAUAUACCUUCCUCAAAACAGCCACCAUACCUACCUAUUAUGGCAUUUCCAUAGCCAUUCCGAGAUAUAUUGCCAUGCAACUUUCCACCGUCCCGUUUAUUAUGACACACUCCAUCAUUGUCAUAAUGCUUAGCAGGAUCAUGUAGUUGACAUCGUAUUUGUGGCAAAGCCACCAUUCAUAAUUCUUUCAUACAUGUCACUCUAGAUUCAUUGCAUAUCCCGGUACACCGCCCAAGGCAUUCAUAUAGAGUCAUUUCUUGUUCCAAGUAUCAAGUUGUAAUUGUUGAAUUGUAAGAAAAUAAAAGCAUGAUGAUCAUCAUUAUUAGAACAUUGUCCCAGUGAUGAAAGAAUGAUGGAGACUAUGAUUUCCCCACAAGUCGGGAUGAGAUUCCGGACAAAAAAAGAGGCCAUAAAAAAGAGAAAGGGCCCAAAUAAAAAAAUGAGAGAAGGGACAAUGUUACUAUCCUUUACCACACUUGUGCUACAAAGUAGCACCAUGAUAUUCAUGAUAGAGAGUCUCUCAUUGCGUCACUUUCAUAUACUAGUGGGAAUUUUUCAUUAUAGAACUUGGCUUGUAUGUUCCAAUGAUGGGCUUCCUCAAAAUGCCCUAGAUCUUCUUGAGCAAGCAAGUUGGAUGCACACCCACUUAGUUUCUUUUGUUGAGCUUUCAUAUACUUAUUACUCUAGUGCAUCCGUUGCAUGGCAAUCCCUACUCACUCACAUUGAUAUCUAUUGAUGGGCAUCUCCAUAGCCCGUUAAUACGCCUAGUUGAUGUGACACUAUCUUCCCCUUUUUGUCUUCUCCACAACCACCAUUCUAUUCCACAUAUAGUGCUAUAUCCAUGUCUCACGCUCAUGUAUUGCGUGAAGAUUGAAAAAGUUUGAGAAUGUCAAAAGUAUGAAACAAUUGCUUGGCUUGUCAUCGGGGUUAUGCAUGAUUUGAAUAUUUUGUGUGAUGAAGAUAGAGCAUAGCCAGACUAUAUGAUUUUGUAGGGAUAACUUUCUUUGGCCAUGUUAUUUUGAGAAGACAUGAUUGCUUUGUCAGUAUGCUUGAAGUAUUAUUAUUCUUAUGUCAAUAUUAAACUUUUAUCUUGAAUCUUUUGAAUCUGAAUAUUCAUAACACAAUUAAGAAGAAUUACAUUAAAAUUAUGACAAGUAGCACUCCACAUCAAAAAUUAUCUUUUUUUAUCAUUUACCUACUCGAGGACGAGCAAGAAUUAAGCUUGGGGAUGCUUGAUACGUCUCCAACCUAUCUAUAAUUUUUGAUUGCUCCAUGCUAUAUAUCUACUGUUUUGGACAUUAUUGGGCUUUAUUAUCCACUUUUAUAUUAUUUUUGGGACUAACCUAAUAACCGGAGGCCCAGCCCAGAAUUGUUGUUGUUUUUGCCUAUUUUAGGGUUUCGAAGAAAAGGAAUAUCAAACGGAGUCCAAACGGAAUGAAACCUUCGGGAACGUAAUUUUCUCACUGAACAUGAUCCAGGAGACUUGGACCCUACGUCAAGAAACAAAGGAGGAGGCCACGAGGUAGGGGGUGCGCCUACCUCCCCCCCCCCCCAGGCGCGCCCUCCACCCUCGUGGGCCCCCUGUUGCUCCACCGACGUACUCCUUCCUCCUAUACAUGCCUACGUACCCCCAAACGAUCAGAUACGGAUCCAAAACCCUAAUUCCACCACCGCAACUUUUUGUAUCCACGAGACCCCAUCUUGGGGCCUGUUCCGGAGCUCCGCCAGAGGGGGCAUCCAUCACGGAGGGCUUAUACAUCAACACCAUAGCCUCUCCGAUGAAGUGUGAGUAGUUUGCCUUAGACCUUCGGGUCUAUAGUUGUUAGCUAGAUGGCUUCUUCUCUCUUUUUGUACCUCAAUACAAUGUUCUCCCCCUCUCUUGUGGAGAUCUAUUCGAUGUAAUCUUCUUUUUGCGGUGUGUUUGUUGAGACCGAUGAAUUGUGGGUUUCUGAUCAAGAUUAUCUAUGAACAAUAUUUGAAUCUUCUCUGAAUUCUUUUAUGUAUGAUUGGUUAUCUUUGCAAGUCUCUUCGAAUUAUCAGUUUGGUUUGGCCUACUAAAUUGAUCUUUCUUGCAAUGGGAGAAGUGCUUAGCUUUGGGUUCAAUCUUGCGGUGUCCUUUCCCAGUGAUAGUAGGGGCAGCAAGGCACGUAUUGUAUUGUUGCCAUCGAGGAUAACAAGAUGGGUUUUUUAUCAUAUUGCAUGAAUUUAUCCCUCUACAUCAUAGCAUCUUGCUUAAGGUGUUACUCUGUUUUCAUGAACUUAAUACUCUAGAUGCAUGCUGGAUAGCGGUCGAUGAGUGGAGUAAUAGUAGUAGAUGCAGGCAGGAGUCGGUCUACUUGUGUCGGAUGUGAUGCCUAUAUACAUGAUCAUGCCUAGAUAUUCUCAUAACUAUGCUCAAUUCCGUCAAUUGCUCAACAGUAAUUCGUUCACCCACCGUAAAAGACAUAUGCUCUUGAGAGAAGCCACUAGUGAAACCUAUGGCCGCCGGGUCUAUCUUCAUCAUAUUGAUCUUCCAAUACUUAGUUAUUUCCUUUGCUUUUAUUUCACUUUGCAUCUCUAUCAUAAAAAUACCAAAAAUAUUAUCUUAUCAUAUCUAUCAGAUCUCACUCUCGUAAGUGGUCGUGAAGGUAUUGACAACCCCUUAUCGCAUUGGUUGCGAGGAGUUAUUUGUUUUGUGCAGGUAUGAGGGACUCGCGCGUAGCCUCCUACUGGAUUGAUACCUUGGUUCUCAAAAACAAAGGGAAAUACUUACGCUACUUUGUUGCAUCACCCUUUCCACUUCAAGGAAAUCCAACGUAGUGCUCAAGAGGUAGCACUUGCGACCAAUCUCAACUUCAACAAGCAACCAAUGGUAUUCAACAUUGGAGAUCUCGUGUGGCUACACCUUCGCAAGGACCGCUUUCCCCAAAAAUGCAAGUCAAAACUUUGACCACGAGCGGAUGGACCCAUCAAGGUGCUGGCACGCGACCUCUCGCCCUUCCUUAGUGAUGAAGAAUUUGAUCCGAGGACGGAUCUUCCCCAAACUUCCCCAUGGACCUACCACCGUCUCACCAAGUGCCUAGCGGACCCAUGACAUGAGCACAUGCAAGUGCUCUCGAAACCGAGGUGACAUCUCUCCUCUCACACUUCCACUUCGAUACACAUGAGACAUGGUUACUACCUCAAACGGAGACAUUGUGCAUACUCAGGUAUCUAGGAGUUGUCCAUGAAGAAGCUAAGGAGCAAGGAGAAGAAGAAGAGGAAGAUGGACGUGAAGACAGAGAAGAAGAAGAGAUGCGGAAGAAGCUACAGGCUCCGGACGACCGACCAGGACCGGACGUCCGAUGAUUUCUAGGCUCUGGAUGUCCGACCCAGACUGGACGUCUAGCACCUCCUCACCCGAGCCAAAACGAUGGAAUUCUGAGGCCUCCCAGACGACCGACCCCGACCGGACGUCCGACCGAAGCACACCCGAGCCGAAUCUACGGACGUCCAACGGGCACCGGAUGUCCGGACCCUCGCGAGCCUCCGGGCGACCGUUGACUCCCUGACGUCCGACGCCUAUGUGUUGCCAUGAGUUGGGCCACAGCCCAUGUAUCCCCCACUUCGCCCCCUUUUGCACUAAGGCUAUAAAUAGACCUCCUAUUCCUUCUAACUAGGGUUAGCAUUGGUUUAGCUCAUUUUAGAGAUAGAGCAUUGCUCAUCCACAUUGGAUCUACUCCACGAGAGAGACCGCGGCCCCUCUUCGGAGAAGAUCCCUUUGGAUUCAAGACCUCCUUGCGGAUAAGAACAUCAAGACCUCCUCACGGAGAAGACCGGCUGCCUUUGUAUCGUCCUUAGUUGUCCGUGGAUCGUGUGAUCUCUUAUGUACUUGAGGAUCUAGCAGAUGUGUGACUAUUUCGUGUUGGUUUAGUGAUUUUCUCGUGUUUCCUCUCGUGUUUCUCCUCGUUUUCCCCCUUGUGUUCUUCGUGUUCAUCGCGGGAUCCGCUGCUUUCAUGAAAGAUCGGCUGAUUAGGGUUCUACCCUACAUCAUCUUGGUAUCUAGAGCCACGUCGAUCAUGAUUUCGGAGCCUCCCUGUUGUGUUGCUAGCCUAGUUUUUGUUGAUUUCGUCCCUCAUUUGAAAAUUCCCCACAAAAAUAGCCCCAAUUUUUUUGUGAUUUGUUGGUGUGUUGAAAUUUUUUUGGAUUUGAUCCGUGGAUUUGCUUAGCCUUGAGUGGAUCUACCUUUUCCCCCUUGUCUUCCCACCUCUUCCAUCCACGAAAUUGCCCGGAUUCAACGAAUUUCGACAUCUCCACCUCGUACACAUGUUGUUUUUCCCGUGCCCGAAAAUCGGCCAGGCACCGGACGUCCGACCCCUUCCAGACAUCCGACGACCGGGCGACCGGCCCAGCCCGACGAUACCUGGCGAAACUGAUUUUUUUUCAGUUUAGUCACCACCACCACCCCACAUUUCCGCAUACACACUCCUACCACAUAUACACCAUCACCACUUCUGCAUACCACCACCAUUGCUUACCCGUUUCACACUCCGACGCGUUUUGUCAUUUCGAGCUUUGAGAAUUUGAGUUGCGGUUCCGUAUCCUUUUGUGUUCCGUCUAUCUAGGUACGGUUCGACAUCAACAUCACCGUCGCUCAUCUUCGCCACAGACGCGUCAUCAACAACGACCACCUUGACUACAUCUUGCUAUUUGUGCCAUCAUUUUGAUACCAUACCGUAAGCAAGAACGGUAACCUCGUCUUGGUAUUGGACAUAUCACUCUUGCCAUUACAUUGAUAGCAAUCAUAACCUUACUCCUUUGUGUCGCUUACCCAUCGAGACUAGCCGUUGAGUAUUGCCGGCAAUGGGACUUGUGCACAUUAGUGAUCAUACUUCCCAUAGCAUACAUACAUCAUUGUUGCAUAUCUUGGUAUGAUCUCUUGUGUCACAAGGUUGUCAUCGCAUACACAAUUGCUAUCUUGGUUCGUGAAGCAUUGCAUGAGAAAAGAGCUCAAACAACAAAGAGGCAAACAAGCUUUUAAGCAAAAGGGAAAAAUAAGAAAAGAGCUUUUAACAAAAAACCAUAGCAUCAUACAACAUUAAGAUUGUCAUAUUAGAUCAUCUUGGAUCAUAUCAUAGAAACACCUUGCAUAGAGCAUACUUGGGAUAGAAGUCGUUGCAUUUUUGCGUAGUAGGUUGUGCACAAGUCUUUGUAUCCGCCUAUUGUGCAAUCGUGCUAGCGUCUCUCUAGUGUUGUGCAACAAGAGCAUUUUUGUGGAUUCCACAUUUUGGCUCACCCUUGGUUGCACGACCCCACCUAUCUUUUUGCGUGUGUGUUUCUGUGUUCCUUAUAUUGCUUGGUCUACUUGUUGCAUUGCAAUCUUGCGAAUCUUUUCCAACAUUAUUGAAGCUCACUUACAAUUGCAUCAAAUUUUGUGCCACCAUCCUAACCAAGCUCCACCAUAAGCUUUUACUUGUGUAGGUGUGAGAAACCGACAAUAAUUGGUACCAAUUGUGCUAUUUCCUUUUCCACAUUGGAGUGAUUAUUUAUCCACUUUCAACUUCGGUCAGGGUACAUUUGGUAUUCGUUCUUCUCUUUCUACCACUCACAUUUUUCUCUUGGAAUGAUGGAUAGGCCAAGUACUUCUACCAACCCACUCUUCAUUGAGCACGCCGACUUGAACUCCUACGUCACCAAGAGCCACCACUUUGGUGCACAACAUGCUUUGCAUCAAGAUCAACAAGCAAUGAGUGAACGCAUUGACAACCUCGCCGCCGACUAACGACUCUUCAUGCAACAUACAAGGGAUUACUUCGACCACAAGCUCGAUGAUCACAAGCAAGAGAAUGACGCAAGAAUGGACGAGAUUUGCGCUUUGUUGCUGAACCGCUCUUCUUCCACUUCGUCUUCAUCAAGAAGGAGCCGCUCAAGUUGACACUCAGAUUUCACUCUUUCCGGCUCAAGUAGACCGACAUCGAACACUCUUCGAUGUGCCACGCGCAAAGAUCCUCAAGCAAGCCUCAACGCGACACAAACUCUCUAGAGCACCGACAAAGUCAAACCCAAGAGGCUUUUGCGCUAGCACGAGAACGACAACAACAACGCCAACAUGAAUAGGAAGAGCGAGCGCGUCUACACCAAGAUGCACAAGAUGCCGAGGCACAACGCCAAGAACAACAACUCCGUGAAGCUCAAGCACUUGCGGCACAACGUGUCCUUCAAGAUGCAAGUCGAGCCAUAGCCAACCGAGGCCGACAAGCUUGUGAACAUGAAGAAGCACUUCGCGAAGAAGCUCAUGAACGAAGAUUUCAAGCUCGCCUACAUAAUCAAGUUCCUCAAGUUCCUCCUCGAGCUUGACAAGCUCCUCCACAAGCUCGCCAAGAACAUAAAGUUCACCAAGAGCAUGAAGACAAUGGGAAUCCUCCAUGACAAGAGCAACAUGAGGUCGACAACCCUCUUCUCCAAGAGCAACACGAGCUUGACAAUCAUCAACAACAUGGACGUCAUCAUCCCCGACCCCAACACAAUGAAGAGCAACGCUACGGCAAGCUAAAGUUCACCAUGCCCAAGUUCAAUGGAAGCAAUGAUCCCGAAGAGUUCCUAUCAUGGGCAUUGAAGGUCGAGAAAAUCUUCCGUUUGCACAACUAUGACGAAGCGAAGAAGAUCGCGAUGGCAUCCCUUGAGUUCCAAGACUAUGUCCGCAUUUGGUGGGAACAAGUUAUCGAGCGCCGAGAGGCAAGAGGUGAACCACCCAUCACUACUUGGGCGCAAAUGAAGGAUGUCAUGAGAGCACGCUUCGUGCCUACCUACUACAACUACGACCUCUUCAAGAAACUUCAACUACUCAAGCAAGGAACCAAGAGCGUUGAAGAAUACUACAAGGAGAUGGAGAUUGCCAUGAUAAGAGCCAACAUCACGGAAGAUGAUCAGAAAAUAAUGGCACGUUUCCUGAAUGGACUCAACCAUCCUCUCAAGAAGAUCGCCGACUUCCAACCCUACUCGAAUCUUCUCGAGCUAGUGCACCAAGCUACCAAAGCAGAACAUCAAGUGCAAGACGAUUACAAGUAUGCCAAGUUCUCAUCCAAGUCAUACGGCUUCUCCAACACCCAAGCUUCAACAACUCCAACACCGUCAACCAAGCCUUAUACAAGCAACGUCGACAAGUCGAGUUCCAAGAAAGCUUCUUCAACUCCAAGUCAUACUCCUACUACAAGAAAUUUCAAGCCGAAAGCUUCAUCAUCAUCAACCCCCACCGAUGAGACCGUCAAGACAAGUUCCUUCAAAUGCUUCACAUGUGGAGGCCGAGGCCACAAGUCCUAUGAGUGCACCAACAAGCAGACCAUGAUCCUCAACGAUGACGACACUUACGACUCAAUGAGUGAAGGAGAAAUGGAUGCCCUCGAGCAAGUCGCCAUGCACCGGCAAGUGAAUGAUGAAUAAGAAUAAGUGUUUUGCGAUGAAGAUUCAAGCCCUGCUCUUGUUGUCUCCAAGGUCUUGACUCUCCAACAUGACCAAGAAGAAAACCAAUGAUGCCACAUCUUUCAUACCAAGGCCGGCAUCAAUGGACGAUCCGUCAAGGUCAUCAUCAAUGGAGGGAGUUGUCAUAACCUCGCAAGUGAAGAACUUUGCUCCAAGAUCCAAUUUCCCAAGAUGAAGCACCCACAUCCAUACAAAGUUCAAUGGCUUAGCGACUCCGUCACUAUGCAAGUCAAGCAUCAAGUACAAGUCUCCUUCAAAAUUGGUGCCUACGAAGACACCUUGGAGUGCGAUGUCGUUCCGACCGUUUGCCACCUUCUUCUUGGACGCCCAUGGCAAUUUGAUAGAGGUGUCAUCCACAACGGCCGAACGAACCAUUGCAUCUUCAAGAUGAAAGGAAAGGAGUACGUACUUCGACCUAUGUCUCCAAGCCAAGUGAUCGCCGACAAGCAAGCCACCCAUCAUGGAGAGAAUAGUGAGAGAGCGAGCCACCAUCAAGUGAGUGAGCGCCACAAGCCCAAAUCGAGUGCCUCCACGAUGAGCGACAAGAAGAAAUUAGUCCUAUUUGCCACCAAAAGUGAGACAAGAGGAGUGUGUGAGAACCCAUCUAGUGUACUCACUAUUUCCUUUUGUGCAAGGACAAUGCACCACAAGCUAACACCUCUCACGCUCUACCUUUAGUGUUAUCUUCUCUUUUGCAGGAAUUUCAAGACGUUUUCCCCGACGAGCUACCUUCGGGACUACCUCCACUACGAGGCAUCGAGCACCGCAUCGACCUCAUCCAGGGAGCACCCCUUCCGAACAAAGCUCCCUACUGCGUCAACCCCGAAGAAACCAAAGAAAUACAAAGGCAAGUAAAGCAUCUCAUAGACCAUGGACAUGUGCGUGAAAGUUUGAGCCCUUGUGCCAUCUCGGUCGUUCUUGUGCCAAAACGAGAUGGUAGCUUUCGCAUGUUCUCCGAUUGUAGACCUAUCAAUGCUAUCACCGUUCGUUAUAGGUAUCCCAUUCCACGCCUUGAUGAUAUGCUUGAUGAACUUAGUGGUGCCACCAUCUUUUCAAAAAUUGAUCUUAAGAGUGGUUACUAUAAAAUCCGCAUACAAGAGGGUGAUGAAUGGAAAACCGCUUUCAAAACCAAGUUUGGGUUGUAUGAGUGGUUAGUCAUGCCUAUGGGUUUAUCGGAAGCACCGGGUGCUUUUAUGCCCCUUAUGAAUCAUGUCUUUCACCCUUACAUUGGUGUGUUUGUUGUGGUCUACUUCGAUGAUAUCCUUGUUUAUAGCAAAUCUCUUCAAGAUCAUGUCACCCAUGUUCGAACCAUUUUGGAAACUCUUAGAAACGAACAUCUCUUUGCUAACAUGGAAAAGUGCUUCUUCGGUGUGGAUAAGCUCGUUUUCUUGGGUUUUGUUGUUUCUUCUAACGGUGUUCAUGUUGAUGACUCCAAGAUCAAUGCUAUUAAAACUUGGCCACAACCAACCAACUUGCAUGUAGUGCACAACUUUCUUGGCCUUGCAGGUUUCUAUCGUUGCUUUGUGAAAGAUUUUAGCACCAUUGCUUCGCCUUUGCAUGCUUUGAGCAAUAAGAAUGCGCCUUUGGUUUGGGGACCAUCCCAAGAUACCGCUUUCAAUGAGCUUAAGAAUUUGCUUACAAAUGCUCUCGUUCUUGCAUUACCCAACUUUGACAAACCCUUUGAGAUUCAUUGCGAUGCUAGUGGUAAUGGCAUAAGAGGUGUGUUAAUGCAAGAGAAGCGACUCAUAGCUUACUUUAGUGAGAAACUUUCCGGAGCGCAACUCAAUUACCCCAUAUAUGACAAAGAGCUCUAUGCUUUAGUGCGUGUUUUGCAUGAAUGGGAACACUAUCUUCGCCCUCAUGAAUUCAUCAUUCAUACCGAUCAUGAAACGCUCAAGUAUCUUACGGGCCAAACCAAGUUAAACAAGUGUCAUGCUAAAUGGAGUGAAUUUAUUGAGUCUUUUCCUUAUGUCAUCAAAUACAUUAAAGGUAAGGAAAAUAGUGUGGUGGAUGCCCUCUCCCGCAUAUGCAUGCUUGUUACUCAACUUUAAUUGGAUGUCAUUGGCUUUGAGCAUAUAAAAGACUUGUGUGAGAAUGAUCCUACUUUUGCUAUUCCUUAUGCCAAAUUUUUGACGCACACAUCUUGGGAACGCUAUUACAUCAAAGAUAGAUAUCUUAUGAGAGCUAACAAGCUUUGCAUCCCCGAGUCUUCUCUUCGUUUGUUGCUUUUGCAGGAAUCUCAUGGCGGAGGCUUAAUGGGACAUUUUGGACGCAACAAGACUUUUGCCACGCUCUCCAAGAACUACUAUUGGCCCAAGAUGUUUCGCGACGUCAACCGCUUCACGAACCGAUGCUCUACAUGUCGCAAAGCUAAGUCUUAAUCUCAAUCCCAUGGCCUUUACAUGCCUCUCCCAAUUCCAUAUCAACCAUGGGAAGAGAUUAGCAUGGAUUUUGUACUUGGAUUGCCUAGGACUAGAAAUGGAAAGGAUUUGGUAUUUGUCGUUGUGGACCGUUUCUCUAAGAUGGCACAUUUCAUUCCUUGCAACAAGAUAGACGAUGCUUCACAUGUUGUUAAUCUCUUUUGUAGGGAAAUAUUGCGUCUACAUGGAGUGCCAAAGACGAUCGUCUCCGACCGCGACAUCAAGUUCCUUAGCUACUUUUGGAAGACCCUAUGCGCCAAGCUCGGAAUCAAGCUACUCUUCUCCAUGGCGUAUCAUCCACAAACAGAUGGCCAAACAGAGGUGACCAACCGCACACUCUCCCCUCUACUUCGAGUACUCAUCAAGAAGAACAUCAAGGAGUGGGGGGAGUGCCUACCUAUCGCCGAGUUCGCCUACAACCAAGCAAGACACUCAACAACCAGCAAGUCUCCCUUCGAGGCCGUCUACGGAUUCAACCCAUUGUCACCAUUGGACAUCCUCCCUCUACCACUACAAGAGCGCAUUAAUUUGGACGCAAUUGCACGUGUGAAUCAUCUCAAGAAGGUGCAUGAAAAUACAAGGCAAACCAUCGAGUGCCAAGUACAAUGCCUUGCGACCAAGCUCAACUUCAACAAGCAACCUAUGGUAUUCAACAUUGGAGAUCUCGUGUGGCUACACCUUCCCAAGGACCGCUUUCCCCAAAAACGCAAGUCCAAACUUCGACCACGAAUGGAUGGACUCUUCAAGGUGCUUUCACGCAACAACGACAACUCUUACAAGAUCAACCUCCCACGUGAUAAAGAGUUCGUCGUAAGGAGGAAUGAGGAAAUAUUUCUUGGUUAUGGAGGUGACAAAGAGUUCGUCGUAAACAGCUACAUCGAUGCAAGCUUGGACACCAAUAUGGAUGACUCUCAGUCUUGAUCUAGAUACAUAUUGAAAGUGGGAGCAAUUAGCUAGAGUAGCUCCAUGCAAAGCAUUUUAGACAUAGAAAAUUUGCAAAAUACAUACGACUCUGUAUGUGGCAGACCCGUUGACUAAAUUCCUCUUACAAGCAAAUCAUGACCACUCUUUGGGUGUUAAUCACAUAGAGAUAUGAACUAGAUUAUUGACUCUAGUAAACCCUUUGGGUGUUAGUCACAUGGAGAUGUGAACUAAUCACAUAAAGAUGUGAACUAUUGGUGUUAAAUCACAUGACGAUGUGAACUAGAUUAUUGACUCUAGUGCAAGUGGGAGACUAAAGGAAAUAUGCCCUAGAGGCAAUAACAAAGUUGUUAUUUAUAUUUCCUUAUAUCAUGAUAAAUGUUUAUUAUUCAUGCUAGAAUUGUAUUAACCGGAAACUUAGUACAUGUGUGAAUAUAUAGACAAACGGAGUGUCACUAGUAUGCCUCUACUUGACUAGCUCGUUGGUGAAUGAUAUGAUUGACUUGACCCAUCCAUUAGCUUAGCACGAUGAUCGUUUAGUUUGUUUCUAUUGUUUUCUCCAUAACUUAUACAUGUUCCUAUGACUAUGGGAUCAUGCAACUCCCGAAUGCCGGAGGAACACUUUGUGUGCUACCAAAUGUCACAACGUAACUGGGUGAUUAUAAAGGUGCUCUAUAGGUGUCUCCGAUGGUGUUUGUUGAGUUGGCAUAGAUCGAGAUUAGGAUUUGUCACUCGGAUUGUCGGAGAGGCAUCUCUGGUCCCUCUCGGUAAUGCACAUCACUAUAAGCCUUGCAAGCAAUGUGACUAAUGAGUUACUUACGGGAUGUUGCAUUACGGAACGAGUAAAAAGACUUGCCGGUAACGAGAUUGAACUAGGUAUUAAGAUACCGACGACCGAAUCUCGUGCAACUAACAUACCGAUGACAAAGGGAACAACGUAUGUUCUUAUGUGGUUUGACUGAUAAAGAUCUUUGUAGAAUAUGUAGGAACCAAUAUGAGCAUCCAGGUUCCGCUAUUGGUUACUGACCGGAGAUGAGUCUCGGUCAUGUCUACAUAGUUCUCGAACCCGUAGGGUCCGCACGCUUAACGUUCGGUGAUGAUCGGUAUUAUGAGUUUACGUGUUUUGAUACACCAAAGGUUUUUCGGAGUCUCGGAUGAGAUCAGGGACAUGAUGAGGAGUCUCGAAAUGUUCGAGACAUAAAGAUCGAUAUAUUGGAAGGCUAUAUUCGGACAUCGGAAAGGUUCUGAGUGGUUCGGGUAUUUAUCGGAGUACCGGAGAGUUACGGGAAUUCGCCGGGGAGUAUAUGGGCCUUAUUGGGCUUUAGGGGAAAGAGAGAGGGGCUACCUAGGGCAGGCUGCCCGCCCCCCAAGGCCUAGUCCGAAUUGGACUAGGGGGAGGGGCGGCGCCCCCUCCUUCCUUCUCUUCUCUUUUCCCUUUCCUUCUCUCCUACUCCUACUACAUGGAGGGGGGGGGGAAUCCUACUCCCGGUGGGAGUAGGACUCCCUAGGGCGUGCCAUAGUAGAGGGCCGGCCCUCCCCCUCCUCCACUCCUUUAUAUACGGAGGAGGGGGGCACCCCAUGGACACACAAGUUGAUCAUUGAUCUCUUAGCCGUGUGCGGUGCCCCCUUCCACCAUAAUCCACCUCGGUCAUAUCGUAGCGGUGCUUAGGCGAAGCCCUGUUCCGGUAGCGUCAUCAUCACCGUCAUCACGCCGUCGUGCUGACGAAACUCUCCCUCGAAACUUUGCUGGAUCGUGAGUUCGUGGGACGUCACCGAGCCGAACGUGUGCAGAUCGCAGAGGUGCCGUACCUUUGGUGCUAGAUCGGUCGAUCAUGAAGAUGUACGACUACAUCAACCACGUUGUCAUAAUGCUUCCACUUACGGUCUACGAGGGUACGUAGAUGAUACUCUCCCCUCUCGUUGAUAUGCAUCACCAUGAUCUUGCGUGUGCAUACGAAAAUUUUAAAAUUACUACGUUCCCCAACACGCCUGCCCCCCUGGGCGCGCCCCCACCCUCGUGGGCCCCUCGUGGCUCCACCGACCUACUUCUUCCUCCUAUAUAUGUCCAUAUACCCCAAAAACAUCCAGGAGCACCACGAAACCCUAUUUCCACCGCCACAACCUUCUGUACCCAAGAGAUCCCAUCUUGGGGCCUUUUCCGGAGCUCCGCUGGAGGGGGAAUCGAUCACGGAGGGCUUCUACAUCAACACCAUAGCCUCUCCGAUGAUGUGUGAGUAGUUUAGCACAGACCUUCGGGUCCAUAGUUAUUAGCUAGAUGGCUUCUUGUCUCUCUUUGUAUCUCAAUACAAUGUUCUCCUUGAUCUUCUUGGAGAUCUAUUUGAUGUAACUCUUUUUGCGGUGUGUUUGUCGAGAUCCGAUGAAUUGUGGGUUUAUAUUCAAGUUUAUCUAUGAACAAUAUUUGAUUCUUCUCUGAAAUCUUUUAUGUAUGAUUGGUUAUCUUUGCAAGUCUCUUUGAAUUAUCAGUUUGGUUUGGCCUGCUAGAUUGAUCUUUCUUGCAAUGGAAGAAGUGCUUAGCUUUGGGUUCAAUCUUGCAAUGUCCUUUCCCAGUGACAGCAGGGGCAGCAAGGCACAUAUUGUAUUGUUGCCAUCGAGGAUAAAAAGAUGGGGUUUAUAUCAUAUUGCUUGAGUUUAUCCCUCUACAUCAUGCCAUCUUGCCUAAAGCGUUACUCUAUUCUUACGAACUUAAUACUCUAGAUGCAUGCUGGAUAGCGGUCGAUGUGUGGAGUAAUAGUAGUAGAUGCAGAAUCGUUUCGGUCUACUUGUCACGGACGUGAUGCCUAUAUACAUGAUCAUGCCUAGAUAUUCUCAUAAUUAUUCACUUUUCUAUCAAUUGCUCAACAGUAAUUUGUUCACCCAUUGUAAUACUUAUGCUAUCUUGAGAGAAGCCACUAGUGAAACCUAUGGCCCCUAGGUCUAUCUUUUAUCAUAUAAGUUUACAAUCUAUUUUAUUUCGUAAUCUUUACUUCCAAUCUAUAUCAUAAAAAUACCAAAAAUAUUUAUCUUAUUAUUAUUAUCUCUAUCAGAUCUCACUCUCGUAAGUGACUGUAACGGGAUUGACAACCCCUUUAUCUUGUUGGUUGCAAGGUUCUUAUUUGUUUGUGUAGGUACCAGGGACUUGCGUGUAGUCUCCUACUGGAUUGAUACCUUGGUUCUAAAAAACUAAGGGAAAUACUUACACUACUUUGCUGCAUCACCCUUUCCUCUUCAAGGGAAAACCAACGCAGUGCUCAAGAGGUAGCACCGCGUGAUUCGGAUUGUUAUGGCUUCACGGGCGGUUUGAGGGUCCGUGUCGAAGAUGCCCUAAUAAAUCUAGUACGAAUUUGUUUUUUAUAUCAGAGCUAGAUUAAACAACCAUUCUCCGUUCAUGGCUUCAGAUUUGGUUUAUUGUUUAUCCCCGAAAAUGACAUGGCCCGGACUGAAGGAAAUAUGCCCUAGAGGCAAUUAUAAAGUUGUUAUUUAUAUUUCCUUAUAUCAUGAUAAAUGUUUAUUAUUCAUGCUAGAAUUGUAUUAACCGGAAACUUAGUACAUGUGUGAAUACAUAGACAAACAGAGUGUCACUAGUUUGCCUCUACUUGACUAGCUCGUUGAAUGAAUGAUGGUUAUGUUUCCUGGCCAUAUACAUGAUUUGUCAUUUGAUUAACGGGAUCACAUCAUGAGAGAAUGAUGUGAUUGACUUGAACCAUCCGUUAGCUUAGCACGAUGAUCGUUUAGUUUGUUGCUAUUGAUUUCUCCAUAACUAUACAUGUUCCUAUGACUAUGAGAUCAUGCAACUCCCGAAUACCGGAGGAACACUUUGUGUGCUACCAAACAUCACAACGUAACUGGGUGAUUAUAAAGGUGCUCUACAGGUGUCUCUGAUGGUGUUUGUUCAGUAGGCAUGGAUCAAGAUUAGGAUUUGUCACUCCGAUUGUCGGAGAGGUAUCUCUGGGCCCUCUCGGUAAUGUACAUCACAAUAAGCCUUGCAAGCAAUGUAGCUAAUGAAUUAGUUACGGGAUGUAGCAUUACAAAAUGAGUAAAAAGACUUGCCGGUAAUGAGAUUGAACUAGGUAUUGAGAUACCGACGAUCGAAUCUCGGGCAAGUAACGUACCGAUGACAAAGGGAACAAUGUAUGUUGUUAUGCGGUUUGACCGAUAAAGAUAUUCAUAGAAUAUGUAGGAACCAAUAUGAGCAUCGAGGUUCCACUAUUGGUUAUUGAGAGGAGAUGAGUCUCGGUCAUGUCUACAUAGUUCUCGAACCCGUAGCGUCCACAUGCUUAACGUUCGGUGACGAUCGGUAUUAUGUGUUUAUGUGUUUUGAUGUACCGAAGGUAGUUCGGAGUCCCGAAUAUGAUCACAGACAUGAUGAGGAGUGUCGAAAUGAUCGAGACAUAAAGAUCGAUAUAUUGGACAGCUAUAUUCGGACACCAAAAGUGUUCCGGGUGAUUUCGGAGAAAACUGGUGUGCCAGAGGGGUUACCGGAACCCCCCGGGGUAUUGGGCCUUAGUGGGCCUUAGGGGAGAGAGAGGGCAGCAGCCUAGGAGGUUCCCCCCAAGGGGAUUCUGAAUAGGACUAGGGAAGGGGGCGCGGCCCCUCUUUCCCUCUCCCUCUCCCUCUCUUUCCUUCCCCCUUCCUCCUUCCUAGUAGGACUAGGAAAGGAUGAAUCCUACUCCUACUUGGAGGAGAAUUCCUCCUCUCCUUGGGCGCCACUAGGGCCGGCCGGCCUCCCCCCUUGCUCCUUUAUAUACGGGGGCAGGGGCACCCUAGAACACACAAGUUGAUUGUUCCAAGCCGUGUGCGGCGCCCCCUCCACCAUAAUCCACCUCAGUCAUACCGUAGUAGUGCUUAGGCAAAGCCCUGUUCCGGUAGCAACAUCAUCACCGUCAUCACGCCGUCGUGCUAACAAAGCUCUCCCUCGAAGCUCUACUGGAUCAUGAGUUCGCGGGACGUCACCGAGCCGAAUGUGUGCAGAUCGCAGAGGUGUCGUACCUUCGAUGCUGAGAUCGGUCGAUCGUGAAGACGUACAACUACAUCAACCGUGUUGUCAUAACGCUUCCGCUUAAGGUCUACGAGGGUACAUAGACGGUACUCUCCCCUCUCGUUGCUAUGCAUCACCAUGAUCUUGCGUGUGCGUAUGUUUUUUUUUUGAAAUUACUGCGUUCCCCAACACGGACAAGUAAAGUUAUAGAUUUUUUCCUAUAUAAUGAAGGGUGGUGUUACCGUGUUAGAGCAUGUACAGCGGUUCUCCUAUCUUCCUUAGACGUCCACGAACACGCUCGAUCAGUGACUAAACAGGAGAGAGAAGAAGAAAAAUAACCCAACCGGACCCCUUGUAUCAUCUCUAUACGUCUGAGUUGUCCCCGAACCCUCGUAUUGAGGACAAACAUAAGGAGGGUAUGACCCGCCUGGCCAGUUCACCAUAUAGGACGCAACCCAUCCGAACCACCUUUUUUAAGUAACCACAUAUAUUUAAUUUUAAUUACAGAGAGUACAUAUAAUGUCACUGUCGGUGUCAAAACCGGCGGAUCUCGGGUAGGGGGUCCCGAACUGUGCGUCUAGGCUGGAUGGUAACAGGAGGCAGGGGACACAAUGUUUUACCCAGGUUCGGGCCCUCUUGAUGGAGGUAAAACCCUACAUCCUGCUUGAUUAAUAUUGAUGAUAUUAGUAGUACAAGAGUAGAUCUACCACGAGAUCAGAGAGGCUAAACCCUAGAAGCUAGCCUAUGGUAUGAUUGUAUGUUGUGGUCAUUGUCCUACGGACUAAAACCCUUCGGCUUAUAUAGACACCGGAGAGGGUUAGGGUUACACAAGAUCGGUUACAAAGGAGGAGAUAUCCAUAUCCGUAUUGCCUAGCUUGCCUUCCACACCAAGUAGAGUCCCACCCGGACACGAGACGAAGUCUUCAAUCUUGUAUCUUCAUAGUCUAACAGUCCGGCCAAUGGAGAUAGUCCGGCUGUCCGGAGACCCCCUAAUCCAGGACUCCCUUAGUCACCACAACAGACAUACAUAGAUGUCUUGCAAUAUUGCACCAAAGAUUCCACAAGAAGUAAAACUAAAAUUUCACCCCGGCAGAAUUUUGUGCAAUGCCGAAACAUCGUCCACCAUCUUCUUCCGUUGGGAGCUAACAUCAUGCCUAGAUCUAUAGGAGCACCUUUGCAUACAAGGAUACUUCUCGAGCCGGUGAGUUGGACCGCUGCAAGCGACAAGAUCGAGACUUUGUGGCACGUCGGCUGGGGUUCUUGUGCCCGCUAGAUCCUAGCGUUGUCAACUUCAUACGACCCUAUCAAAGAAGAGAAAUGAUGAUGUUCAUCGCCAUCCACGCACCCCACUGCAAGACUGUUGGAAAUAUGCCCUAGAGGAAAUAAUAAAAUGGUUAUUAUUAUAUUUCCUUGUUCAUGAUAAUUGUCUAUUGUUCAUGCUAUAAUUGUGUUAUCCGGAAAUCAUAAUACAUGUGUGAAUACAUAGACCACAACAUGUCCCUAGUGAGCCUCUAGUUGACUAGCUCAUUGAUCAAUAGAUGGUUAUGGUUUCCUGACCAUGGACAUUGGAUGUCAUUGAUAACGGGAUCACAUCAUUAGGAGAAUGAUGUGAUGGACAAGACCCAAUCCUAAGCCUAGCACAAGAUCGUGUAGUUCGUAUGCUAAAGCUUUUCUAAUGUCAAGUAUCUUUUCCUUAGACCAUGAGAUUGUGCAACUCCCGGAUACCGUAGGAGUACUUUGGGUGUGCCAAACGUCACAAUGUAACUGGGUGGCUAUAAAGGUACACUUCGGGUAUCCCCGAAAGUAUCUGUUGGGUUGGCACGAAUCGAGACUGGGAUUUGUCACUCCAUAUGACGGAGAGGUAUCUCUGGGCCCACUCGGUAGGACAUCAUCAUAAUGAGCUCAGUGUGAUCAAGGAGUUGAUCAUGGGAUGAUGUGUUAUGGAACGAGUAAAGAGAUUUGCCGUAACGAGAUUGAACAAGGCAUCAGUAUACCGAUGAUCGAAUCUCGGGCAAGUGUUAUACCGGUACACAAAGGGAAUCAUAUACGGGAUUGAUUGAAUCCUUGACAUCGUGGUUCAUCCGAUGAGAUCAUCGUGGAGCAUGUGGGAGCCAACAUGGGUAUCUAGAUCCCGCUGCUGGCUAUUGGCCGGAGAGAUGUCUCAAUCAUGUCUGCAUGCCUCCCGAACCCGUAGGGUCUGCACACUUAAGUUUCGAUGACGCUAGGGUUAUAGGGAAUAGAUGUACGUGGUUACCAAAUGUUGUUCGGAGUCCCGGAUGAGAUCCUGGACGUCACGAGGAGUUCCGGAAUGGUCCGGAGGUAAAGGUAUAUGGGAAUUCUAGUUUCAAUCACCGGAAAGGUUUCGGGGUUUGUUGGUAUUGUACCGGGACCACCGAAGGGGUUCCGGGGGUCCACCGGGAGGGUCCACCUGCCCCGAAGGACCUAAUGGGUUGUAGUUGGGUGGGAACCAGCCCCUUAGUGGGCUGGUGUGCCCCCCAAGGGCCCAAGGCGCCUAGGGUUGGAAACCCUAGGGGGCCGCUGCCCCCCGGGGGGCGGGCGCCCCCCUAGUUGGAAACCCUAAGGGGGCCGCUCCCCCCCCUCGAGGGCUGCCGCCCCCCUCUAGAUGGAUCUAGGGGGGCCGGCCCCUCUCCCCUUCCCCCUAUAAAUAGUGGGGGGUGGGAGGGCAACCGCACCCCUUCUCCUGGCACAGCCCUACCCCUCUCCCUCCUCGUCUCUCGUAUUGCUUGGCGAAGCCCUGCUGGAGUGCCACGCUCCUCCACCACCACCACGUCGUCGUGCUACUGCUGGACGGAGUCUUCCCCAACCUCUCCCUCUCUCCUUGCUGGAUCAAGGCGCGGGAGACGUUGUCGGGCUGCACGUGUGUUGAACGCGGAGGCACCAUUGUUCGGUGCUUAGAUCGGAAUCGAUCGCGAUCUGAAUCGCGUCGUGUAUGACUCCACCGACCGCAUUCUUGCAACGCUUCCGCAUCACGUUCUUCAAAGGUAUGAAGAUGCACUCCCCUCUCGUUGCUAGUAAACUCGAUAGAUUGAUCAUGGUGAUGCGUAUAAUUUUUCUAGUUUUUGCAACGAUCCCCAACAGUGGCAUCAUGAGCUAGGUCUAUGUGUAGUUUCUAUGUGUAGUUGCCACGUGAUGAUCAGGUGUGAUAGGUUCUAACGUUCGCAUACAACGGGGGUAAGGCAUAUUUACACACGCAAUACACUUAGGUUGACUUGACAAGCCUAGCAUGUACAGACAUGGCCUCGGAACACGGAAGACCGAAAGGUCGAACAUGAGUCAUAUAGAAGAUACGAUCAACAUGAAGAUGUUCACCGAUGAUGACUAGUCCGUCUCACGUGAUGAUCGGACACGGCCUAAUUGACUCGGAUCAUGUAUCACUUAGAUGAGUAGAGGGAUGUCUAUCUGAGUGGGAGUUCAUUAAAUAUUUUGAUUAGAUGAACUUAAUUAUCAUGAACAUAGUCUAAAACUUUGCAAUAUGUCUUGUAGAUCCAAUGGCCCAUGCUAAUGUUGCCCUCAACUUCAACGCGUUCCUAGAGAAAACCAAGCUAAAAGACAAUGGGAGCAACUACACGGACUAGGUCUGUAACCUGAGGAUUAUCCUCAUAGCUGCCAAGAGAGCAUAUGUCCUUGAAGCACCGCUAGGUGAUGCACCUGUUUUCCCAGCAACUCAAGACGUUGUGAACGCCUGGCAGUCGCGUAGUGAUGAUUACUCCUUGGUUCAGUGCGGCAUGCUUUACAGCUUAGAACCGGGGCUCCAAAAGCAUUUUGAGCAGCACGGAGCAUAUGAGAUGUUCCAAGAGCUGAAAAUGGUUUUCCGAGCUCAUGCCCGGGUCGAGAGAUAUGAAGUCUCCGACAAGUUCUAUAGUUGUAAGAUGGAGGAGAAUAGUUCUGUCAGCAAGCACAUACUCAAAAUGUCUGGGUUGCACAACCGCUUAUCUCAGCUGGGAGUUAAUCUCCUGGAUGAUGCGGUCGUUGACAAAAUCCUUCAGUCGCUCCCACCUAGCUACAAGAGCUUUGUGAUGAAAUUCAAUAUGCAGGGGAUGGAAAAGUCCAUUCCUGAGGUAUAUUCAAUGCUGAAAUCAGCGGAGGUGGAGAUCAAAAAGGAACAUCAAGUGUUGAUGGUGAAUAAAACCACUAAGUUCAAGAAAGGCAAGGGUAAGAAGAACUUCAAGAAGGAUGGCAAGGGAGUUGCCGCACUCGGUAAGCCAGUUGCUGGGAAGAAGCCAAAGCAUGGACCCAAGCCUGAGACUGAGUGCUUUUAUUGCAAGGGAAACAGUCACUGGAAGCGGAACUACCCCAAGUACUUAGCGGAUAAGAAGGACGGCAACACCAAAGGUAUAUGUGAUAUACAUGUUAUUGAUGUGUACCUAACCAGCGCUCGUAGUAGCUCCUGGGUAUUUGAUACUGGUGCAGUUGCUCAUAUUUGUAACUCAAAACUGGAGCUGCGGAAUAAGCGGAGACUGGCGAAGGACGAGGUGACAAUGCGCGUCGAGAAUGGUUCCAAGGUCGAUGUGAUCGCCGUUGGCACGCUACCUCUACAUUUACCUACGGGGUUAGUUUUAAACCUCGAUAAUUGUUAUUUAGUACCAUCUUUAAGCAUGCACAUCGUAUUUUGAUCUUGUUUAAUGCGAGAUGGCUAAUCAUUUAAAUCUGAGAAUAAUGGUUGUUCUAUUUAUAUGAGAGAUAUGUUUUAUGGUCAUGCCCGCUGGUAAAUGGUUUAUUCUUAUUGAAUCUCGAACGUGAUGUUACACAUAUUCAUAGUGUGAAUGCCAAAAGAUGUAAGGUUGAUAAUGAUAGUCCCAUAUACUUGUGGCACUGCCGCCUUGGUCACAUUGGUGUCAAACGCAUGAAGAAGUCCAUGUAGAUGGACUUUUGGAGUCUCUUGAUUAUGAAUCAUUUGACACGUAUGAACCAUGCCUCAUGGGCAAAAUGACCAAGACUCCGUUCUCUGGAACAAUGGAGCGAGCAACCAACUUACUGGAAAUCAUACAUGCCGAUGUGUGCGGUCCAAUGAGCGUUGAGGCUCGCGGUGGUUAUCGUUAUGUUCUCACUCUAACUGAUGACUUAAGUAGACAUGGGUAUGUCUACUUAAUGAAACACAAGUCUGAGACCUUUGAAAAGUUCAAGGAAUUUCAGAGUGAGGUUGAGAAUCAACGUGACAGGAAAAUCAACUUCUUACGAUCAGAUCGUGGGGGAGAAUAUUUGAGUCACGAAUUUGGCACGCACUUAAGGAAAUGUGGAAUUAUUUCACAACUCACGCCGCCUGGAACACCUCAGCAUAAUGGUGUGUCCAAACGUUGAAAUCGCACUCUAUUGGAUAUGGUGUGAUCCAUGAUGUCUCUUACCGACCUACCGCUAUCAUUUUGGGGUUAUGCUUUAGAGACUGCCGCAUUCACUUUAAAUAGGGCUCCGUCGAAAUCUGUUGAGAUGACACCGUAUGAAUUAUGGUUUGGGAAGAAACCUAAGCUGUCGUUUAUGAAAGUUUGGGGAUGCGAUGCUUAUGUCAAGAAACUUCAACCUGAAAAGCUCGAACCCAAAUCGGAAAAAAUGCGUCUUCAUAGGAUACCCUAAGGAAACUAUUGGGUAUACCUUCUACCUCAGAUCCGAAGGCAAGAUCUUUGUUGCCAAGAAUGGAUCCUUUCUAGAGAAAGAGUUUCUCUCGAAAGAAGUAAGUGGGAGGAAAGUAGAACUUGAUGAAGUAUUGACUCUUGAACCAGAGAGUAGGGCAGCUCAAGAAAAUGUUUCUGUGGUGCCUGCACCGACUAGAGAGGAAGUUAAUGAUGAUGAUCAUGAAACUUCAGAUCAAGUUGCUACUGAACUUCGUAGGUCCACAAGGACACGUUCCGCACCAGAGUGGUACGGCAACCCUGUUCUGUAAAUCAUGUUGUUAGACAAUGGUGAACGUUCGAACUAUGAAGAAGCGAUGGCGGGCCCGGAUUUCGACAAAUGGCUUGAAGCCAUAAAAUCCGAGAUAGGAUCCAUGUAUGAAAACGAAUUACGGACUUUGACUGACUUGCCCGAUGAUCGGCGAGCCAUAGAAAAUAAAUGGAUCUUUAAGAAGAAGACGGACGCGGAUGGUAAUGUAACCAUCUAUAAGGCUCGGCUUGUCGCUAAGGGUUAUCGACAAGUUCAAGGGGUUGACUACGAUGAUACCUUCUCACCCGUAGCGAAGCUGAAGUCUAUCUGAAUCAUGUUAGCAAUUGUCGCAUUCUAUGAUUAUGAGAUAUGGCAAAUGGACGUCAAAACGACAUUCUUUAAUGGUUUCCUUAAGGAAGAAUUGUAUAUGAUGCAGCUGGAAGGUUUUGUCGAUCCUAAGAAUGCUGACUAGGUAUGCAAGCUCCAACGCUCGAUCUAUGGGCUGGUGCAAGCAUCUCGGAUUUGGAACAUUCAUUUUGAUGAGAUGAUCAAAGCGUUUGGGUUUACGCAGAUUUAUGGAGAAGCCUGUGUUUACAAGAAAGUGAGUGGGAGCUCUGUAGCAUUUCUCAUAUUAUAUGUGGAUGACAUACUAUUGAUGGGAAAUGAUAUAGAACUCUUGGAAAGCAUAAAGGCCUACUUGAAUAAGUGUUUUUCAAGGAAGGACCUUGGAGAAGCUGCUUACAUAUUAGGCAUCAAGAUUUAUAGAGAUAGAUCGAGACGCCUCAUUGGUCUUUCACAAAGCACGUACCUUGACAAGAUAUUGAAGAAGUUCAAUAUGGAUCAGUCGAAGAAGGGGUUCUUGCCUGUAUUGCAAGGUGUGGGAUUGAGCACGGCUCAAUGCCCGACCACGGCAGAAGAUAGAGAAAAGAUGAGUGUCAUCCUUUAUGCCUCGGCCAUAGGGUCUAUUAUGUAUGCCAUGCUGUGUACCAGACCUGAUGUAAACAUUGCCGUAAGUUUGGUAGGAAGGUACCAAAGUAACCCCGGCAUGGAACACUAGACAACGGUCAAGAAUAUCCUGAAGUACCUAAAAAGGACUAAGGAUAUGUUUCUCGUUUAUGGAGGUGACGAAGAGCUCGUCGUAAAGGGUUACGUCGAUGCUAGUUUCGACACAGAUCUGGAUGACUCCAAGUCACAAACCGGAUACAUGUAUAUUUUGAAUGGUGGGGCAGUCAGCUGGUGCAGUUGCAAGCAAAGCGUCGUGGCGGGAUCUACAUGUGGAGCGGAGUACAUGGCAGCCUCGGAGGUACCACAUGAAGCAAUCUGGAUGAAGGAGUUCACUACCAACCUAGGAGUUAUUCCCAAUGCAUCGGGCCCGAUGACUCUCUUCUGUGACAACACUGGAGCUAUUGCCCUUGCCAAGGAGCCCAGGUUUCACAAGAAGACCAGGCAUAUCAAGCGUCGCUUCAACUCCAUUCGUGAAAAUGUUCAAGAUGGAGACAUAGAGAUUUGUAAAGUGCAUAAGGACCUGAAUGUCGCAGAUCCGUUGACUAAACCUCUUCCACGUGCAAAACAUGAUCAACACCAGAACUCUAUGGGUGUUCGAUUCAUCACAAUGUAACUAGGUUAUUAACUCUAGUGCAAGUGGGAGACUGUUGGAAAUAUGCCCUAGAGGCAAUAAUAAAAUGGUUAUUAUUAUAUUUCCUUGUUCAUGAUAUUUGUCUAUUGUUCAUGCUAUAAUUGUGUUACCCGGAAAUCGUAAUACAUGUGUGAAUACAUAGACCACAACAUGUCCCUAGUGAGCCUCUAGUUGACUAGCUCGUUGAUCAAUAGAUGGUUAUGGUUUCCUAACCAUGGACAUUGGAUGUCAUUGAUAACGGGAUCAUAUCAUUAGGAGAAUGAUGUGAUGGACAAGCCCCAAUCCUAAGCCUAGCACAAGAUCGUGUAGUUCGUAUGCUAAAGCUUUUCUAAUGUCAAGUAUCUUUUCCUUAGACCAUGAGAUUGCGCAACUCCCGGAUACUGUAGGAGUACUUUGGAUGUGCCAAGCGUCACAACGUAACUAGGUGGCUAUAAAGGUACACUUCGGGUAUCCCCGAAAGUAUCUGUUGGGUUGGCACGAAUCGAGACUGGGAUUUGUCACUCCGUAUGAUGUAGAGGUAUCUCUGGGUCCACUCGGUAGGACAUCAUCAUAAUGAGCUCAGUGUGAUCAAGGAGUUGAUCAAGGGAUGAUGUGUUACGGAACGAGUAAAGAGAUUUGCCGUAACGAGAUUGAACAAGGUAUCGGUAUACCGACGAUCGAAUCUCGGGCAAGUGUUACACCGGUAGACAAAGGGAAUCGUAUACGGGAUUGAUUGAAUCCUUGACACCGUGGUUCAUCCGAUGAGAUCAUCGUGGAGCAUGUGGGAGCCAACAUGGGUAUCCAGAUCUCGCUGUUGGCUAUUGGCCGGAGAGAUGUCUCAGUCAUGUCUGCAUGACUCCCGAACCCGUAGGGUCUGCACACUUAAGGUUAGAUGACGCUAGGGUUAUAGGGAAUAGAUGUACGUGGUUAUCGAAUGUUGUUCAGAGUCUCGGAUGAGAUCCCGAACGUCAUGAGGAGUUCCAGAAUGGUUCAGAGGUAAAGAUUUAUAUAUGGGAAGUCCAGUUUCAGUCACCGAAAAGGUUUCGGGGUUUAUCGUUAUUGUACUCGGACCACCGAAGGGGUUCCGGGGGUGCACCGGGAGGGUCCACCUUCCCCAAAGGACCUAAUGGGUUGUAGUUGGGUGGGAACCAGCCCCUUAGUGGGCUGGUGCGCCCCCCCAAGGGCCCAAGGCGCCUAGGGUUGGAAACCCUAGGGGACCGCUGCCCCCCUGGGGCAGGCGCCCCCCUAGUUGGAAACCCUAAGGGGGCCGCUGCCCCCCCCCCUCGAGGGGCCGCCCCCCUCUAGAUGGAUCGAGGGGGCCGGCCCCUCUCCCCUUCCCCCUAUAAAUAGUGGGGGGGUGGGAGGGUAACCGCACCCCUUCUCCUGGCGUAGCCCUACCCCUCUCCCUCCUCGUCUCUCGCAGUGCUUGGCGAAGCCCUGCUGGAGUGCCACGCUCCUCCACCACCACCACGCCGUCGUACUGCUGCUGGACGGAGUCUUCCCCAACCUCUCCCUCUCUCCUUGCUGGAUCAAGGCGCGGAAGACAUCACCGGGCUGCACGUGUGUUGAACGCGGAGGCACCAUUGUUCGGUGCUUAGAUUGGAAUCGGCCGCGAUCUGAAUCGCUUCGUGUACGACUCCACCGACCGCGUUCUUGCAAUGCUUCCGCAUCGCGAUCUUCAAAGGUAUGAAGAUGCACCCCCCUGUCGUUGCUAGUAAACUCCAUAGAUUGAUCUUGGUGAUGCGUAGAAAAUUUUAAUUUCUGCAACGAUCCCCAACAAAGACACCAAACACAAACCACAACAGUCGACGCCAAUGCCACAACCAAGAGUGUCGUGCGCCCGCCAUCGGACACAAAUCUCAAUGGAACUGAAGAUCGAACCACCUGCUCCUCGGCGCCGCCCAUUAGAAUGCCACUAAGACGGAGGAAGAGCAGAAAUAGAUUAUUCCAACAUGGCGCUAUCUCCACCGUUGAUGUAGCACCUCUGACAUCCCUACCGAAGAUAAACUGUUGGGGUCACCGUCUGCUCCCGCCGCUGGAGCGGCAGGCGAAGGGGAUGAGGACCCACCGUGUCGCUUGUCUCAAGAGAAGGCAGAAGAGUGCCUACCGAUCGCCUCUCUGGAGCGGUUCUAGGAGAGCGAACAAAGCGGUUCGUUGAUUGACUAGAUACCCUUGGAUCAUUUUUUUCAUCACCACCAACCACAUGCAAAUGACAGGAUAUAUAAGGAAGGAAAUAAAAAUGUGGCUACAUGGACAAAUAGGGGGCAAAGCAAACACGUCGGGUCACUGAUUGGACUCGCCCGCAAACGUUUAUGAGAUCAGAUUUAAUAAGUCAGCCUUUUAGAACUUGUGCUACAGCCGACUAUAAGUCUAUAACCCGUUUCUCUUCUCUCUCUUCCAACUCAUCAAUAAUAUAAUAUUUAAAUUGUUACAGUAAGCUACGUGACCUAACCAGACAUCAUGUGCUAGGCUAGCUUUUUAUUUAUAUAUUUUUUGUGAGGAAUACUUUCAAUCUAUUCAUAAAUAUCCAUGGGAGUAUAAAGAACACUAAGAAAAAUUAUAUCCAGGUCUGUAGAACACCUAGCGACCACUACAUGCACUGAAGCGAGCUGAAGUCGCAUCGCCGUCAUCGCCCCUUCCUUACCAGGCAAACCUUGUUGUAGUAGACAAUUGGGAAGUCGACAUGCUAAGGCUCAGUAUGACCAGCACAUUAGAACAGCAACCAUCACCGAUGAAGAGAUGGGUAGAUCGGAAAUAUCCAAUCUGUAGAGCCACAAACGUUGAGCAACGAAGAUGAGAUCCAAAUAGAUCCAUCAAAGACAAAAGCCGACCAAAUCCUGCAAGAUUUGCCAGAGACAUACCUCGACACGCCCUCCAACGACUAGCUUAUAUUUAUUUAAAAUGCAACACUAAAAAAUGCAUUGUUCCUUGUUUGGCUUUCUUUUUUCCUUGUUUCCUCCUUCUUUCUUAAAAGCACAAUUUGGAUGAAUUCAUUAUUUUUUUCAAAAAUGAUGAAUUGUUAUUAAAUUCUUGAUUUUUUCUUCGAAAUUGGUGAACUUUUUUUCCAAAAUUGUUGAUUUAAGAAAUAUAUUCAUGAACUAUUUCUCAAAUCGUUGAACUUUUUUGAAAUUUGAUGAAAUUUUGUAGAAAUCAAUGCUUUUUUUCAAAAUUGAUGAAAUUUUUUAUCAAAUUCGUGAACUUUUUUAAGGUUCGUGAACUUCUCUUUCAAAAUUCGUGAACAUUUUUGAAUUCUUGAUUUUUUUCUGAAUUUUUUAUAUAUAUUUUUCACCUUUUUCUUCCAAAGUCAACAGUUGACCGGUCAACCGAGAUCGAACGAACAAGGCGAGAGGUUGAGCCAACUGAGCGACCUAGGCCGGCCCAGUUUGCGGACGUGUGAGCAGCGGUUAGGAGUUUGGGCACCUAAAGCACCCAAUAGGAGCUUCUGGAAUAACAUGCUUCCGUAGCAUGAGCAGUGGCCACCAUGGCAAGCAAGAAUCCACAGGCUGGUUUGCAUUCAGUUGCAUCUUGCAUUGGCUCAGGACAUAUAGGUUGGGGAGCACUCCAUCUCGUCACUGAGGCCCACAUAGAAUCUUGAGAUCCUGGUGCAAUGCAAAAGGUUUAGUUCCACUCCCACACCGCCGAGGCAAAUUUGACAAUUUUGACCUUGGGACGAAAUCAAUUCACGGAAUGAACUGCCCAUGAAACUAUUUCACAGCACUGACCCUUUUGUGUAGCGCCCGCCAUGCAGGCGCCACACCCUACGAUGCAACGCCCAGCUCUGGGGCGUUACACGCCCGUCCACCGUGGCAGCCCUUGGGCCCGCACCCAGUAGUGCAGCGCCUCCGAGCUAGGCGCCACACAUGUAAUUGAACUCCAUGGUACUCCGGCCAUAGUUGAACUCCAUGGUACUCCGGCCAUUGUGUUUGGUCAAAGUAUGGGUGAAAGCGGGGAGCCUGUGUUUUCUUGACCGUCAUGAUUGAGAACUCCAACUCCCUCACGGUGCGUGGGUGAUUGAUGUCCACAUUUCUAACGCGACCGGCGGUAUACAAAUGUGAGCAUGGGAGAUGAAGCAACAAUGGCCUCCCGCAAGAGCAAUCACAUUGUGUUAAAGACACCUUGAAAGCCCGACCUCCAUGUUGUCGGCCAUCGUUUGUGGUUCCUCCUGGCUCUUUCACUUCAUACUUCCACUCUUCGUUGUCAUAUAAUAUAGCUUCUUCUGAGUCCUCCUUUCGUGAUUGAAAUUCUAACCAUUCAUCAACCUUGGGUGGGAACUUGUACUUGCGCGGGUUCUCACCCGCUAUCUAUGCAUCAGUUUCCAUCGAGUACUUUAGAAAGUACGCAUUCAUCUUGUCAAAUGUGUAUUGAACUAUUGCCGUCACGGGUAAUCCACGUGCACCUUUGAGCACCCUAUUGAAGCAUUCAGCCAUAUUGCUUGUCAUUUGACCGUAUCUCCGGCCAUCUUCAUCAAAAGCACGUGCCCACUUGUUCCGGUGUUGAAUGUGCCUAUUCAUAAAGUCUUGACCCCCGUGAUCAAGUUUUUUGUGUGCGAGCAAUUUGUUCAAAAAAGUGGCGAGCCGCUUCUCGGAGAAAGCAAGACAACAAUCUUGAAGAUCAUCGGCCAACUCCUUAAGGCCACAUGCCCUAUAGAAGUUCGAACAAAAGUGCCUCAUGCACCAUCGAUGGUGCAACGGAGCAUGCCCGGGAAUGUCAAUCUCCACCGCGUUAAGAAUUCCUGCAUGCCGAUCCGAUAUGACACAAAUUUCCCUUUGAGCGGGUAACACCUUCGUCCUCAAAAGACGCAAAAACCACUCCCAGUUGUCAUUGUUCUCCGCCUCAACCAAAGCAAAUGCCAAUGGCAACACCCGGUUAUUGGCAUCACUUGCUAUCGCAACCAACAAGGUCCCCUUGUAUUGUCCGGUCAAGAACGUGCCAUCAAUGGCGAUGACCGGCCUACAGUGUUCGAAAGCCCUCACGCAUUGCUCGAACGCCCAAAAUGCAUGGCCAAAUACUCGGACUUUCUUUCCUUCAUAAACCUUUGUUUGGUGCCCAUGAGGCUCGACAACAUGAACCAUGCCCGGGUUUGUGGCGGCCAUGGCUAACAACAACCUAGGGAUUCGGUUGUAUGCUUCCUCCCAAGUACCAUACAACAUAUUAAACGCGGCUUGCUUCGCCUUCCAUGCCUUGCCGUACUUUACCUUGUAAUGAAAGAUGGCUUUCACAAGGUCAAUGACAUGUUGGACGCUCAUUGUUGGAAGUGUGGAUAUUGAGUUGGAGAGCCUGUAAGCGAUGAACUUGGAUGUGAGUUGUCUGUGGUCUUGGGACACAAUCUUGCCAUCCACCCUUUUGCCUCGGCACAUGUGAGUCGGCACACAACUCACUACGUGUCAAGCGGGACCUCCUUUCCAUGGUCUUGCACGCACAAUCCACGGACAUAUUUCAUC
This 99117-nucleotide long non-coding RNA is filed under the name Triticum aestivum (bread wheat). Its description in RNAcentral is "long non-coding RNA (TAES_LNC013294)". The record is from RNAcentral. Lineage: Eukaryota; Viridiplantae; Streptophyta; Magnoliopsida; Poales; Poaceae.